UUUUUUUUUUUUUUUUUUUGUGUUUGCUGAUUCUGUUUAGUUCAGCUAAUCUUACUUGAAAGCCAAGGCACAUUGAAGAAAGAAAGAAAGAAAGAAAAUUAUACACAAAUAUUACAGCACAAAAACAUUUUAGGCAUCAAGCCAUCAUUUUAUUUAUAAAUAUUCAUUGUAAUUAGUAUAUCAAACACACAAUCACAGCCACAACAAAUUUAAUAAAGCUCUCACCAAGCUUAUAACAUGACAUACAUAACCUUAACAAGCUUUUGUUUCAUACUCACACCAUUCUAUCUCUUAUUAUUAUUCAACUACUGAAAUAACCAUGCAUGUUCAUGCCUUGACAAGUGAAGCAUCCACGUCUUUUCCAGCAUGAAUCAGCCAGUGGAGGUACUUAGUUGGAGCAGGCUCAUUCUCAUUGAUAUUCUCAUACUCAAUUGUCCAUUUGGCAUAGUUGGACUGGCCUUUUGGAAUAACUUGUAAGCUAGCCUUGUAGCUCUUUAAUUGUUCCAAAAUGUGUCCUCCAACUGCUUCUGCAGUGACAGUCUUGUUCUCUUCAUCCACCGUAAGCCUUUCUUUCAGAGUCUCAACUUUUCCAUCUGGGCAGUAAAAUAUUUAUCAAAUUAAUCCAUUAUUAUAGGGAUAUUCUACCAAAUUGGUGGCAGAAAAACAUGAAGUUAUGAUGCAUAUCAUCUUGAAAUUCCCAGGAAAAUCACCAUAAUAUCAAACUGUUCUACAGUAAAUUUUAAAAAAAAAAAAUCAUGCAACUCUAAUUUGUAACUAUCAAUCUUACAGAGUAUAGAGUUGGUUUUUGUUACCUAUUGCAUAAGUCCAGAGCUUGACAGAGCCCUUAGUUUUCCAGUCACCUUGAUGAACCUUAACACCAUGAACUUUGUCGGAGCAAAGAUUUGGAAGUUUGUGUGCUUUACCACCAAAGCUCUGGAAGAACUCAUCAGGAUCAGACUUAAUCUUUAUCUCAGCUUCUAACUUUCCAGCUAGAAUUGGACUAGCCAUAAUUGGUUGUAGUAAUGCUGAAAAAUCGCUGUGCACCUUUUCCUAGUAAAUGCUCUACCAACUAAACUGGCUGAACCAUGAUUUAUAGAAUCAAAUUUUCAUUUCACAGUAGCUUUUAGAUUAUUACGUAGAUUAAGUCAACAUUUUGUGCGAAACUGUUUAGCAUAGAUGGUUAAUUGAGUGAAUGCAAAACUUUUUGAUGACAAAGCAUGUUCUAUUUGCAGUAACAAACUUGAUAGUUUUAUUAGAGAGGUAAAAAAUGUCAUACCAUUUAUUCACGUGGUAAGUAGACGAAAAAAGGAUUUUUUUUUUCCAAACUUUAUAAUGUUUUUGGGAUGAUUGAAAAGGGAAAUCAGAGUAUGUUGACAAAUUGUUUUUUUUUUUCCUUUUUUAAUAGGUAGUCACGCGUAUUGUUACAAGAAUGGAAAUGAAAAAAAAUUAUUUUGGCCCUUCAAAUCAAGAAAUUGUACAUUUGUCCGCUUCAUGAAUGGUGAAGCACAUCAGAAAGUCAUCUUUUUUUUUAUUCUUUUUUCUUUCUUUGUUCGAUACUCAACAACACCAUGGAUACGCUCAGCAAAAGUCGCAAACGCCAAAAUCUUGAUGAAAGCAGCUCUUCAGCCAUCAUCAUGUUGAAAAUACUGCAAAACAGUAGUGAAGGGCAUUGCAUUCAUGUAUCAAUAAGGCUACUUCUAAGACAAGAGAAAAGGAUUUGAAUAUUUUCUUUUUAGCUGCACCAAUCUAAUUGUUUGCUAAUUUUGGGCAAUUGACUAGGAUGAUCAUCUCAUGCAUUAUCUGCAUUUGAUAAUUGAUAUAGGUAAUUAUCUGCCAACGAAUAAAACCAAUUACACGGUUUAAAAAGGGAACCUAAUUGGUACAAAUUGAGAUAGUUACGUUGACAACUACAUUGUGGCAUUGGAGAGAGGGUUGAAUUAGAUGAUAAGUUAAGAGAGAUUGUAAGUAAGAGGUUUAGGGUUAAAGACCUCCCACUUACAAGCCAAAAAAAAAAAGCUUCAAGGUGGCAUAAAGUGACUAAAAUGAAAGUUCAAUUUAAAAAGUGAGAACUAAUGCCAUAAUACAGAGUAACAACUUCAAAGUGGCGGUUGCUAAUAAUUGUCAACAUAUACAUGCAAUAUUUAUUGAAACCGAGGACCAAUUGGCAUGUACAGGGAUAAAGAUCUUACUAAUCAAUUGAUCCAUCUGAUUCGAUUACAUUCUUUAUCUUUAUCUUUUUCUUUUCAGAGAAUUGGAAUUUUCUUGCUGUAAAUCUUUUUACUGCAGCAGAUAUCUAGAUGCUCCCCUACAAGCAUAUAUAUUAACCCUUGAACUAGCCAGUCCAGGUUUUUUGUUGGACUAGGCUUAUUGUCGUUCAGUUUUUCAUGGUCAAUCGUACAUUUGGCAAAGCUGGAGUCACCUCUGGAGAUAACUUGUAACGUUGCUUUAUAGUUCUUGUAGUGCUUCAUACAAUCUCCAUCUAUUGCCUCAGCAGCAGUGGUCUUGUUCUCCUCGUCAAUUUUGAGCCUCUCUUUGUAUACCUCAACUUUUCCAUCUAUAUUUGCAUCACAAAGAAAUUCAUCAGUGGCUUUUCUUAACACUGAAUAAUGUUUCACUCUUAAUUUGUUGUUUCCUAUAUUAUCUAGCUUUAGGCUCAAUUUGCCACAUUUUGGGAAAAACGAAUUUAACAAGAAAAUGUAAUGGAGAAAAGUAUCAAUUAUUAAAAACUAUUGAUGCUUCGUUACGCCAAACUAAACUACAAUAUAGACUCCUUAUCCUUGAUGUCUUUCUCAUUUCGUUAUGAAAAUUAGAUAAUUGACUGAGUAUGCUAACUACUUCACAAGCUAGAUCGCAUAAAAAAAAUAAAAAUUCAUAAAACUUAAAGGAGUAAAUGAACAUUAAGAUACAGUAAAGUGAUGGUUUUACCUAAGUACAACAAAUAAGAAGUAGGCGUGGCAUUAUUUUUUGUGCAAAAGGGUAAAAACUUUUAUAAUGAAAGUGUUACAAUUCAAGAGAUGAAUGGUAGUAUUAAAAGAAAGAGUGUAAGUGAGAGAUUCCGAAUUCGAAACCUCGCACUUACACUAAAAAAAAAGAUAGUAAUUUUAAAAGUUUAGUAUUAGGUCCUCUUCUUCUUCUUCUUUUUUUUUGUGCUUAUCUUUUGCCUUUACAACACUCAAUAGAAAAAUCUUAUUAUUCUACCGUCUUUACGUAAGAAGCAAUAAUAUAGAGUCAAUUUCUUUGCAUCCAGUGAAAGGAUAAGGAGAUAAAGUCAAUUGAGGAGGCUAAUUACGAUAAUAUGUCAAGCUCAAUAAAAAUGCCAUGAAACAUAUGAUAAGAGUUGUUGUCAAGAAAUUAUACAAAAAGAUACUGAGGGAAGCCCAAAGCCCGUGAAAAGAAUAUAAAAAAAUAAAAGAUUGUGAAUAUAUCAAAUAAAAUUGCGGUCCAUGGGCACGAAAUAAGUUGAGUACAAAUUUUGGCAUGAUCGAUUCAUAAAUUUCUGCUGAAAGAUUGUCUCCUGAAUUAUUUGUGGACAUCGAUUGUGAUGGCUCGGAAAACUUAGUUUCCUCUAAUUCAACAAAUUAGUUAUAUGUUGAUUUAUUUGAUCGAUUCAUAGCUUGCUUUAUCAGUUACCUUUGAUUCAAAAGUCAGUCCAGUGUUUGCAGUACUUACUUAUAAGAAUGUGGUUUAAUAAUUUUGCAGAGUAAAAUUUAGAGAGGUUUCGAGGGCUUAGUUGACGAAAAACAAAUAUAUGGAAGGCCAAGCUAAGAAUCAGGGCCUGACAGAUAUUAUUACACUAUGAGGUCUCAUUUCGAUUUACUCUAGCAUUUAUUUAUUUUUUGAAUAAUUGAAAUGGAAUUCAUAUAUAUUCAUUCUUAAGAAAUUGUUCUGAUCUUGCCCCCUUCCUACCUAGUACUGUAUUAUUUUUUCUUGACAAGGCGCACAAAUAAGUAAGACAUUUUAUUUUAGUUGUCAUGAAUUAGGAAAAGAGCUUUUUUUCUUGAAAUUCAUUUUUUAAUGUUUCUUGAUUUUUGUUUUUUAAUGUUUCUUGAUUUUUUUCUCCUACCAAAAAAAAAAAAAAAAAGUAUUUGUCCUUUUGGUUUCUCAUAUUUUUGCAACUUUUGCAGGUAUGUAUCAACAAAUUGUAAUUGGGAUAUAUGUGUGUGUUUGUGUGUGCGUGCACGCAUGUGUAAGUGUAUGUAUGUACAUACAUGUGCAUAUGUAUAUAUAUGUACAUACAUACAUAUAUACAUACAUAUAUAUAUGUGUAUAUAUAUGUGUGUGUAUGUAUAUAUAUAUGUAUACAUACAUCACGCACACGCAUAUAUAUAUAUGUGUGUGUGUGCGCGCGCGCGCUUAUGUAUAUAUAUGUAUGUACGUACAUACGUACGUUCAACAAGGAUUUUCAGCCAACUCAUUGCUAUGUGUACUAGCCACAAAGGUAUGCCUAACAACUACCAUUUAAUUGUUGGAUACAUUAAUUAAUCUGAAGGACAAACCUGCAAGGCUGUUGGAUCUCAUUAAUUAAAUAAGAGCCCAGUGCACAUCUUGGUCAUUAUGACCAGUUAAUGGCAAUAAGGUUGUACUCUCUCUCUUGCCGAAGAGUGGCCAAAAUGCCAAAUCGAAGAGGCGCCUUAAUGUUUAUCACUACAAACUUACAAAAAUUAUUUUGGGUUUCUACAGGAAAAUUCUGUUGAAAGGCAAAAAGUUCAACCGACAGAAAAUUGUGUGGAUUAUUAAAUCUUAAUGCACAAUAACUUUUGCGAGAAUCUUAAGCCUAAUUAAUACUCCCUCCAUUCCUUAUUAGAUGUCCUAAUCCAGUGUUUCUUUUUAUCUGUCAUUUUAUGAUAUCAAGAAAGCAUUUAUAAACUUUUUUUCAAAUUUAUCCUUGUUUACCCUUUCAACUUUCUUGAAUUGGAACUCUAAAUAAUUAAAUGCAGUAUUUGUAGUAUUAACAAUAGAAGUAGUUGAAGAGAUGAAGAAUUAAAUUGAAAUGUGUCUAUUAAUUAGGUAUAGUUGAAGAGAGAUAAAGGGUAAUUUUGAGAAGUAAAAUAAAACUUUUGUUGACUUUUAGAAAAUAACCAACUUUCUUAAUCUAAGAGAAUUAGUUAUUCAGGCCAUCUAAUAAGGAACGGAGGGAGUAACUCGUAAUCCACCAUAAGCCGUGAAGAUUGCUGCGGCCAAUGCGAUAGGGAAAAAAAAAAAAAAAAAAGAAACUCGUUUUCCAGUCACCUUCGUGCACUUCAAUCCUGUUAACUUUCUCAUUCACAAGAUCUGGGAGUUGGUGUGCUUUAGCGCCAAAGCUAUGGAAGAACUCAUUAGCAUCAGACAUCAGCCUGAAUUCAGCCUCCAACUUACCUACUAAUUUACUAGUCAUAGUAGAGAGUUCCAAGAAUUGAUCAAACCGAAAAAAAGAAGAAGAAGAAGGAGAAGGAGAAGAAAAGCCCUACUAAUAACCUUGAACAAUACUAUGUUUCAUGCAACUCAGCCACUUGACUACCUGAUCUAUAGAUGCUUCAUUAAUUGGUUGGCUCCCACAAGUUACAAAUGUGUGGUUCUCUUUUCUUUUAGCUGCAAAAUAUGCGUGUAAUCGUGAACAUGAAUGCAUGUUGCAAUAUCUUCUCAUGCAAAUGAUAUACUGCUGCGUUUAGCCAAUACUGUCACACUUGAUUAUUAGUUAAAUUGGUAAAUGCUCCACUUCUGUCUCCAACGGGGAAUUCAAUGGGAAAUAAUGAUGUGGGGUAUAUUUCUUUUUUUAGGGGCGGGUUAUACAUUUUUAUCUAAUCCUUAUCCAUAGCAAGCUGAAAUCAAAAUUGCUCUACAUUUCAAUUGAAGUCCAUGAUAAUUAUUUGGACAAGUUUGAUUUGUUUUGUAUAUGCUUAGGACAACAUGCCAAGAAUCGACCAAAAGCAGACUCACAGAACACUAGCGUAGCUUAAAGGACAAUUUCGAUUUUGGAUAGGUAAUGUUUUGAUAGAUUUUCAGCUUGCACUUUAAACUUCUAUUUUAAAGUCUUUUAGUUUUAUGAAUACACUUUUUUUUCUGUAAUCUAUCUGUAAUCAAAAUAUGUAGUGGGCUUUGAGUAUUCCUAAGAAGAAGCGAAAUUCGCUUUUGCAACAGAAGUAAAAUUAAGAAGUGAUAUUGUUAUUUAAAUUUAUAUAUUUGUUGUGCAGGUGCGUACAUUUAUUGUUCCUAUGCAUACAUUGUAGAGUACAAUUGUAACUAACAUUGUGGAGAUGCUACACGCCAAUGUUGUACUUUCUGCUGGUUUAGUUCACCUCUUUGGGGACAUUUAGCAAGAAGUCAAGAUAUGAUAAACAAGUGUGUGUGAUACAGCAAAAUUUUAUUAAAUUACAUGACGAAAUUGUGAUCUAACUGAAGUUUUGCUCAUGUUCCUUCGUUAGAAAAUCAAUUAACGUGUUUGUUAUCACAAGAUUACUUAUGCAAUUUAGAGAUCCUCUUUUGAUUAAGAAACCAAAAGAGAUAUUUAAAGAGAGGAAACUAGAGAGAUCCUUGAAAUUUGAAGGUUCAAAACGGUGAACCGAUGCACUUAGCAUUUAUAUCUUCAUCAACUGAGAUAGAUAUAAAGCCACCUAAACAUUCAUUGAUCUUUGCCUUCAAAAUUCGAAAUUCACUAAUUAGAUUGAUCUUUUCUACGCAGCAUAUAAUUGUAAUUACACAUGCAAUUCGAAAUUCAAGUUACUUGUAUCAAAAGAAUUUUGCUAGUUCAUCUAUGAUGAUAGGAUACCUAAAUCAAAAACUGCAUGAAUGAAAAGUUAUAGGAUGGUACCAGUGAAUGUCGCUUGUUUUGUGGAGUUCUAAACCUUGAGGUGGGUUGGAAUUUAUUGCAGCCAACUUUGAUCCUAUGGGGGGUGGAUAAAAAUCAGACUUUUCCAAUAGAACUGGCUCACACAUUAAAAGGGUGUGAUCCCUUUUCCCUCUUGCCUGUUGCAAUAUGAUUAACUUCCAGUGCGUUUAGGAAAACAUUAGUAUAAAGGAGUGAAAGAACGCCUGAAAUUUGCAAUGACAAAACUGUAUGGACAUUAUUUGUGCAGACAUUUGAGAGAGAAUGCUGAGCUGAUAAUCCUUGAUGGAGCAGGGCAUUCAUGGGCUUAUGAAAAAUCUGAGUUUUAUAAGCACCUAAAAACCUUUCUCAUAGGCUGAAUCAACCAACCGACUUAAGGCACUUCAAUCUUUCCUCUUCAACUCAAAGAAGAAAUUUGUCGUUCAACUCAAUUUUCGAGGCUAAAAACGUAGGGGAAAGCCUCUAAUCAAUUGAAUUUGUAGGUACACUUGGUUUCGUAGAAUAAAUAACUGACAAUGAUGGUUAAUAAUUCUUUCAACAAUGUUCCAUUCAUGAUGUAUCUCUGCUCAAGCUAUUGCAGAUCAUACAAAUUCCACUUGUGGAAGGAAGACGGGAAAAUUAAACCAUGUUCAUGGCUGGCCACUAAAUCCCUUGUUAAUGACUUCUAAUCAACUACUACUAUUUCAAAGACACCAUAUAUAAGACGACCAAAAAUUCAGCUAAACACAUACCGUUCUGGGUAAAAGAUGUCAUGGCCCUCAAAUGACCUAAUCAGCCUAAAUUCAAGAGUACCUAUUAUGAAACGGACCAUAUGCCCAAUUGUUUCACAUCCUAAACUAUCAAAGUAAAAGUAUAUUGAGACAAGAAAAAAAGAAAAAAAAAAGAAUAGACAAACUUUGCUCCCUUUAUUUUCAAAAUAUUCAACCUGUAAGCACUAAUCAAACUGAAUAGUCUCAAAAGCUUAACUCAAUCAUAUAAUGAUCACACAGAAUAGCGAAAAAGAAAGGGAGAAGAAGUACUCUGGUUGCAGACUCCUAAUUUGGUUGUUGGAGAAGGGGCGGUAGUAGUGGUUUUUAACUGAGAAUGAUAGAGACUGAGGUUUGAGAGUCUGAGAGUGUAGACUUACGGUUUAGUUCUUUUAUCCUUCAAAAAAAGGGUUUAGUUCUUUAUCCUUCAAAAAAAGGGUUUAUUCUUUUAGGAGUUUUAUUUUUAAAAUUUUUAACGGGAUCAAAUUGACUGCAAUGCCCAAGAAACUAGCUGUACUACAAAAGUUAAGGGUAGAAAUUUCUCAAUAAGUUCUGAACACUUAUGUGUUUUAAGUCUUUAAUAUUUACACUAGCGCUCGAUAGCACACUAUAUUCCUACUUGCACUCGAGUCGUUACAACAAUCGAACAUGUUUGAAAUUGAUUCAAACACGAUCAAAGUCGAAACAAGACAAUCCAUUGAUCAAGCAGCUUCAUAUGUGCACCCGAGUUGCUCGAUUCGCAUACAUCCCUAUCGCAAAAUCAUAGUAAUUGAACCUUCAACAUCGAGUAUAGGAUUGGCCUUUGUUAUUCACCUAAUGCUCAAGUACAUAGCCUGACAGAGCCGGCAUUCUUCCAAUCACCUUGAUGAACAUCAAUGCCAUGGACUUUCUCGGAACACAGAUUUGGAAGUUGGUCUGCUUUACAACCAAAGCUAUUGAAGAACUCAUCAGGAUCAGACUUGGAUCUUUAUCUCAGCCUCCAACUUUUCUGCUGUAUUAGCCAUAGUUUUUUCUAGCUCUACUAGUCAAAAAGCUACUGAUUUUCAGCUCACCUUCACCUAGUAGAAUGCAAAUGCUAACGUAUAUGUACUUUAACCAUCGGACCACCGCUUAUAUAGGAUCAGUUCCAUUUUUCCGUACAUUUGUGAUGGUUUGUACUAAUAUCUUUGCUUUUUAUCAAUUCUGUUUUAGGUUUAUGUAGUUAUACCGCUCAUACCUAUGCUUAAAUUUCAAUAUACUAAUUGGGCUUAAGUAGCAAAGUUUUGAAAUUUAAUUUAAAAAGAAAAAAAAAACCUGGCUACAUUAUUUUUGGAUUAGGUCAGGAAAUUUGCCUUGCUAUUCUUCUUUAUCAUAGUCAAGACAAAAUUUCUGUUGUUAGACUAUUACCAGGAUUAGGUUAAUUAUCUAUGUCUUUUGAUGCAAUAUCGAGAGGCAACAUGUCCCAGAUUAAAAUUAAGGGGCAGAUAAAAUGUCAUAUUAAUCCAAGAAAACCCAACUGCAACCAGAACUAGAUUUCAUGCUUUGCUUUAUGGCCAUCACCUAAGACGAGUGGGUUAGAAAGAUUUGUUUGCUUGAUAUGUUAUAAUACAGGCUUCGUUAAUAAGUUAUUAAUGCGAAUAUGCAAAACAAAUGGUUACAUUAUAGAUUCCUGUGCUUUGUGUUAAAGCUUCUUUUUUUUUUUUUGGCAACAAAUUUUUGGACUGCACGGAUCAUUCCUUGCUGCUUUUAGAUUUCAAAACAGAAGCUACAAAGUACAGAACAUUUUCAGUUUUAGAAAUGCACCUCGGUUUUUCAAAAGGUGCAUUGACUACUGUAAAGAAUAGUUUCAGCUCCCUGAGAUCGAUGCCAGCAAGAUAGUUAAAUCAGCAGUGAUAAAUGUUAUGCAAUGAACCACUGUUAUAUAAAGGAAGCAUGCUGCGAUAAUGAUACCCCAUGAGGAAAAACAGAAACCCUAAUAAUCAUAGCGAUGAUAGUAACACUAAACCUAGAGUUAUGAACUAGUUCUUCGAGUUAAUUAAGAAUUUCUUGGUCCCAUCUAGGGGUGUAAACGAGCCGAAUUCGAGUUAAUUUUAUGAAGCUCGAAUUUUAUGAAACUCGAACUCGAGUUCGAACUCGAGCUCGACGAGCUCAAAAUAUCAAGCUCGAGUCGAGCUCGAGCUUAAAAAAUAAAAAAAUAAUUAUUAUUAUUUUAUUUUUAAAAAAUAAAAAAUUAUUAUUAUUAUUAUUAUUAAAAAAUAAUUUUUUAAAAAAUUAUUAUUAUUAUUUUAUCAAGCUCGAGCUCGAGCUUAAAAAAUAAAAAAUUAUUAUUAUUAUUAUUUUAUUUUAUUUUUAAAAAAUAAAAAAUAAUUAUUUAUUUUAAAAAAUGAAUAAAACAAUAAUAUUUUAACAAAUAAUAAAAUAUUAGGAAUAUAUAUGUAAUUUUACUAUUAAAAUAAAAAAUAAAAAAUAAAUAUAUAAUUGAGACUCGCGAGUCAACGAGUUUAAUGUUUUUGAACUCGAAUUCGAGCUCGAGAUCGAUUUAAUUAGUUCAAGCUCGACUCGAACUCGAUAUUGAUGAGCUCGAGUCGAGCUCGUAUUCGCUCGAUUCGCGAAACACCCCUAGUCCUUUCUUUGUAGUCAAGUCAUCCAAACAAAAUCGUAUUCCCUCGUUUAUUCCAAUUGUACCAAGAGACCAUUAUUUGGCGAAAAAGACAACAGAGAAAACAUGUCAGAUAUAAUCAUAUAAUCAGUGCUCCCAUAGCCAAAAUGCGCAGGAUUAGAUGUAGUUGGGUAUUAAUGGAUCAAAAUUCUUGACGUCUUCACUUGAGGAGAAGACGACAAACUGAAUUUAACUCGAAAAACUCGAAAAAAAUAAUAAUAAAAUUGCGUUUAAAAGAGCUGCAAUGAAUUUAGUUAGGAAUAUGGAAUUAACCUAUCUGGAGAAAGAUGGACAACAUUAAGCAAACAACAUGCGUUUGAAAACGACUCAGCAUUGAUGAAAGGGUUAAAUGCAAAAUACCCCCCGCCAAUUAUACACCUAGUUGCAGUUUACCCCAUAAACUAUAAUAAUAGGCAUUUUGCCUCCUUGAAUGAUAUGUUUGGACAAAUCUAUCCCUUUUAUUUUAAACAUUGUUAUUUUUCUUUUUUCCCUAUCUUUUUCUUUUUAAAUUCUUCCUUUUUUUUUCUUUAAACAUUGUUUAAAUAAGUAGACUAGAUUAGUCAAAAUUUGUUUAUUUCUUAAUUUCAUAUGUCAAUAUUUUAUAAAAAAAAAAUUUAUGGAAUACAAGAUUUUUUUUCCAAAUGUUGAAGUCAAUGUCAUUUAGGAAAUUGAACUUUUCAAAUAUAUAAUAACAAAAUAGAGAAAUUGAUUAAUCAAUUAGUAGUAGUAUCAAUAACAAAAAAAAUGAACUACUAUUGUUGUUUAUUCUUAUUUUUUAUUUCACUACAAAUAACAAUUGCUAACUUUUCUUUUUUAUGUGAUAUAUAAUAUGUUACUUUUAUUAUAAGUAGUUGAGUAACUGUGAACUCUUAAUUAGUUUAUAGGCACUUAAAUUGUUGAAUUACUAGAUUAAUACACUUUACAAUAUAAGCUACAUAUAUUUUGUAAUAACAAAGAGUUUAUGACAAAUUAUUAAGAAUGAAUUUAACAAAUAAACAAAUUAAAAAAGCAGUUUAAAGAAUAUUAAAAUUUUUUAUGUAAGUCCUUUCACAUCGGAGAGAGACAUUGGCUAGUUCCACGAAAGAAGGAGAAAAUAAAGAAAAAAAAAGGAAAAAAAAAAAAAGAAAAAAAAAAAAAAAAAAAGGAUUUCAGAUAGUAGGGAUAGUAUUGUCCAAACAUAUCAUUCAGGGAGGCAAAAUGAUUAUUAUUAUAGUUUAGGGGGUAAAAUGCAACUUGAUAUAUAAUUUGUGGGGGUUUUUUGCAUUUAACCCUUGAUGAAAAGACUAAUAAAGUCAACAGUAUGCCCCCACAAAAUUCAAUUUCCAAGUCACCAUUCCAACCACUUCCUUGACUAAUCCUAAACUUGGAGAUUGAGCUCCAAAAAAAAGUUUAUUCAAAGGCAAUACGAUUUGGGAAUUGCAAUGGGAAGCAAGUCGUUAAAUGAAGUAAUCAAACAUCACUUAGUAAAGGCUUACUAAACUAGUUAAUAAAGAUGUUGUUGGGCUGCUGUAUUUACCAUGAAUUGAUUUAAAGAUGAAAGUUCAGGAUCUUUAACAUGGAAUAUGGUGAUUUUUCUCCAAUUCCUCCUGGCUUUCUCUUUCUCUUUUAUUCAGGUCUCCCCGGCAGGAAAACAGAUACACACACACACACACACAUAUAUAGACACAAGCAUUUGAAGGUUCAUUAUCGUGAACCAGUGCACCAAGCAUUUAUAUCUUCAUCAAGCCAAAAAAAAAAAAAAAAAAGAAAGAAAGUUAAGAUAGAUAUAAAGCCACACGAAACAUUCAUUUUAUUUUUCGUCAUUACACGUAGAAUCGUUAACACAUACAAAUUACAACCAAGCACUAACAGGAGUAGAAUUGCUAACACUUAUACAAAUUACAACCAAUCACUAGCAGGAGUAGAAUUGCUAACACUUACACAAAUUACAACCAAGCACUAACAGGACUAGAAUUGCUAACACUUAUACAAAUUACAACCAAUCACUAGCAGGAGUAGAAUCGCUAACACUUACACAAAUUACAAUCAAGCACUAACAGGAGAGCAAAUUUUUGGAGGCUUCACUAAGCCCAGACAAUGGAGUACAUUAAAGAUUCUCUUUCAUUCUUUGUUUUUUUUUUACUCCGGGUACCCCGGACCAAGAUGGCAAUGAAGAUAAAUAUAUCACCCAUAGAAGAAUUAUAUGGUACAUAUAGAUGUAUUAUUUAUUUUCGUGCGCUUUGAGAAGUGAAGCAUCCACAUCUUUUGCAGCAUGAACUAGCCAUUGGAGGUAAUGAAAUGGAGGACGCUCAUUCUCACUGAAGUUCUCAUAUUCAAUACCCCAUUUGGCAAAGUUUGAGUCACCUUUUGAGAUAACCUGGAACUUAGCCUUAUAGGUCUUGUAUUGUUCCAAAAUGUGCCCUUCAAGAACUUCGUAAGUGAUUGUCCGGUUCUCCUCAUCCACUCCAAUCCUCUCUUUUACAGUUUCAACUUUCCCAUCUGUAUAAAUUUUCACCAAAGUAGAUAUUAAACAAAGUAAUCCAGCAAGGUUAAAAGCAGUUUUUGGAUCCUUUCCAGUACUAAAAUUGUUUCUUAAUCGAUGAAGACGAAGGAUACGUCAAACGAUGCAUAUGUAUUCACGACUUUCUUAGAAAAUAAUUAAUAAAAAUUCAAAAAUGUCCCUUAGCAAGGAUGACACCCUAAACCUUACCACCUUUUCCUAAUCCAAUAAAAGAUUUUGAUAAUAGUAAACGAAACUUCAAGAUCGAGUGCAGGGUUGGCCUUUGUUACUCACCUAUAGCAUAAGUCAAUAGCUUGACAGAGCCUGUAGUCUUCCAAUCACCUUCAUGAACAUCAAUGCCAUGCAUUUUAUCAGAGCAAAGACUUGGAAGCUGGUGUGCUUUGCCAGCAAAGGUGUGGAAGUACUCAUCAGGAUCAAACUUGAUCCUUAUCUCAGCCUCCAAUGUUUCUGCUGUAUUAGCCAUAGUUCCUUCUAGCUCUGCUAGUCACAAAACCACUGAUCAGCUCACCUUGACCUAGUAGAAUGCAAAUGCUAACGUGUAUGGACCUUAACCAUCGGACCAACAUUUAUAGAGGGCCAGUCCCAAGUUUCCGUACAUCUGUGGUAGUUGGACUAGCAUCUUCAAUCUCUGUCAAUUAUCUUUUAAAUUUUAUGCAGUUAUACCAUCAAAAUUAGACAUCUCAAAUUUGAAUGCGCUUAAAUUUGUCUUGCUAUUUCUCUUUUUGAUAGUCGAGAAAAUUUUGUAUCAUCUGGAACAACUUUUAAUAGGAUUAGAUUUAUUAUCUUUGAUAUAAGAAUAGGAGGUAACAUGUCACAGAUUCAAGCUCAGAGGAAGAUAAGUGUAGACGUAUAGUAAUUGGCGAAAACUCAUUGUACCGUAUACUUCAUUAUAGACAAAAUUCUGUCCUUUCACCACAUAUUUGCGAAAUGAAUGCUCUCAAAAAAAAAAAAAAAAAGUGAUCUAGUGGCUUAAUUAUAUGACCACACCUAUUCUUUUCGGCAAAUAGGCCCCAAUUCAUCAAUCAAACUUUAGUCACAGGUCUUAUUUUACAGAUCAACCAUGAGACAAAAAGCAAGACUUGGUACAAUCUCAUGACCAAUCGCUCGAAGUUCAUCAAGCACAAUUUCGACAACAAUGAAAGCAGUAGGUACCCAUUGGCCAUUUCGCCUGAUCCUUCACGCUGGAGUAACAUCAAUCGAGCUGUUUACCUCAUCGGACCUCCUUCUUCAUCAAUGCCAAUCCAUCCACCAUCUGAAUGAGACAUUACAUUACUUUGCUCAUAAUGCGCUCCCCACUCUGGGAAUUAAUAUUUGACUAUAGUUUAGCAAAAUUGCUUAGCUACAAUGUUGUCCUCCAGCACCAAAAAGCAUCUAUAGCCCCCAAAUUUAGUUCUUUUUCUUUUCCUUUUUCUAACUAUGAAGUAUCUCUUUUUCCGACAAAUAGACAACAAGGUUUUAAAUUUCCUUACUCAAGUUGGAGGGCCCAAUUGAUUGACCCACUAUCAGACCAAACCGAUGCACUACACAUCUGUAUGAAUUUAAGCAAUUUAAAGUGGCAAGCCACAUAUAGUAGCAAGUAGUGAAAAAUAAAAUUUGAACUCUUGACCUCCUACCUCACCAAAUGUUAAAGAUUAUGGUAGUAACCAACAUCCCAAAUGACUGUUGGUUUAUUUCUAUCUCAGUAGUUGUUCACCCAAUAUUCUAAGUACAGAUUUCUCGGUCCUUUUCAUGUUAAAAUGAAAAAGAAAAAAAAAACAGUAGGAAGUGCUUUGUCUGUUAUUAUUAAGGAUAUAAAUGUUAGCUAAUCUUCUUGCUAGUAAAAACUUUACUCUUUCUAGUAUAUAUAAACAUCGAAUGCAGGUUGUGUUUAUCAACAUACUACUCUUUUAUUCUUCUAUUUCUCUAAAAUUAAAAAAAAAACAUAUGUUUAUUUGAACCAAAUGCGCAAGCUAUAUCGCGUAUUUUGCCUAUACAAACAAUUGAAGUAUCAUAAAGUACGCUUGCGUGGAACUCUAAGGAGUUAUUCAUCGUAGAAAAGUUGUAAAAUAAAAAUUUAUUGAAAUAUAAAGAAAAGCUCUUAAUUUUUAUCCUAAAACAACUUUAUCAUUCCAAACCCUUGGAGUGAACCAAAAUAUGUUUACUCUAAUAUAAGAAGGAUCUAAAAUUCUGCAAUCACUGAAAAGUUUAUGCAACAAUUUUGUUACUAAAAAGUGUAAAAUGAUCUCAAUUAAUUAAGCAAUGCGUCACUCAUGAUUUCAAUUUGAAGUUGAAAUUUCAAUGCAUCACUCAUUAAGCAAUACAUAGUUGAAAUUUGAAGUUGGCUACAAUGAAUUACUUUCACACAAUUAUCACACACACACACACACACACAAAGAGAUAAUCAAGUAUAUGCUGGCUAUUAGAUAAAAAUUAAUUAUUUGAUGACUAUCAAUGGAAGAUACACUAUUAUUGGAUACGCUCCCACAAGCUGAAGUCAAGUCAGUCACGUACAGUAAAGACGCCUGUCCCUAAAGUUUUAAUCAAAACACAUUUCAUCCUUAUAGUUCUAUAAUUUUGAUCGAUUUCAUCCCUAAAGUUUCAUGUAAACAUAUUUUAUCCUCAUAGUUUCAUAAAAUUAACCAAUUGAGGACAAUUGAAUAAUUGUUAACCAAUUUGGACCAAGUAUCAUUACAUAACUAGCAUUUCCCAUUGAUAAUUGUAUUAAUACUUAAUUCGAUUAUUGAUUAAAUUAUAUAAAUAACAAUGAGUGUGUUCGGAUAAAAUAUUAUUACUUUUAAAUUUGUGAUAUAAUAUAUGUGAAAUAAAAAAAUAAAUUAAAUGAUACAUAGACAAUUUGAAAAACAUGUAUAUAAUGCUACGAAACAAAAAUUUUAGAAACAAAUGGCAAUCGAAACAGUUCUUUCUUUCACGUUAAUAUUUUUCUUCAAUUGAUUGCAAUGGGAUUGUUUGAAAGAUUUAUCCAAUUGGCUAUAAUGGAGUUAUUUCUUCUCCAUGACUUCGUUUCCUCUCAAUCUUUUUGUUCAAUUUGUGAUUAAGAAGAGAAUCAUGGUGGUUGAAAAUUUCUUAGUUUUGUUUAAAUAAGAAAGUGAAUUAAAAAAUAAUUUUUGAGGUUUUUGGUUGAUCCAAUAUUUUCUGAAUUUUACUAACAUGCAUGCUAUGGCCAAGUGAUGAUAUUCCAUUCAAAUUGCUUGGCAAUCAAUCAAUUAUUCUUAAUUAGUCAAAUUUACGAACUUAUGAAAAUGAAAUGUGUUUACAUGAAACGUUAAAAAUGAAAUUGGUCAAAAUUAUAAAAUUGUAAUGAUAAAAUGUGUUUUGACUGAAAUUUUGGGGACGAAAUUGCCUAACACCUCAAAUAAUGAGGACGAAAAGUGCAUUUUUCCCUAAAAAUAAAAUGAACCUUCGUUCUACCCCUUAUGUUUUUGGGCUACACUCCUUUUUAGUUAUUAAUUACUAUGUUGAUAUUCAAGAUAACCGAACGUAUAUAGCUAGACAUGUUCCUUUCGAGGAAUCUAGUUUUCCCCAUUCCCUGGUCCUUCUAUACUUGGUCCACCACCACGUCAAAACAAACCAAUUCAAUCCACCCUUGUUCUACCAAUUCAUGUUUUCAAAUUCAAUGGAUCCUACAAACAUUUUUUAUCAAAAACCGACCACUACUCUAAUCCUUCUUGUCAAAGUCAAAUGAACUGACCCGAUGCUACUUCGUCACGUAACCAACCAGAACAAAAACACUACUACUUUAGCAAAACUUAUCUCUAAACCUUCUGUGGCGUCAUCUGAACUUAUCUCUAAAUUGAAAUAUGAAGUUAGCUGACAAUAAAUUACUUUCACUCAAUUAUUACUUAACAAAAUAAGUACAGUAUAUUGAAAAUCAAGAUGAGAAUGUGGGGUUGGGACAUCUACAUUUGCUUUCUAGUAUAGCGUCCAUUUCACCAUGUUCACAUCACCUUGGGCAGUUGCCUGGAGAGUGGCUUUUACCAAAACAAAGGUCUAAAUUUAAUUGAAAAAUAAAAGUAAAUAUCAAAAUGGUGGAAUUAAAACAAGCAUGUAUAAGCUGGAAUCCAUCAACAAAAUUAAAAAAAAAAAAAAAGAAUAAAGAGAUUAAUUUGUUAAACUCACAUAGUAAUUUUCAAGGCCAUAAAACUAUGUUCAUCCCAGAUAGAGUCUGAUCAUUAAUCAUUUGGAGUACAUGACAGGCCAGUAUAAUUUCUUAUAUUUGGAUAGAUUAGAUCUAUGUAGAUCUUGUGAUUCAAAUUUUGUCAUAUCAUCUCACCAACUGAAGAAUUGAUGGUGUAGAAAAUUGUACCACAAGAUCAAGCCUAUCCAAGUUUUUUACCUUCUCGGUAAACUAUGAGUGUGUUUGGAUUGUAAGUUAUGUGAAAUAUUUUUACUGUAGCACUUUUUGUGAUGUGAUGUAUGUGAGAUAAAAAGGUAAUUGGGAAGAUAAAAAGGUGUAUUGGAAAUUGUAAUGGUGAUGUCAGCAAAUAUAUUUGGCCAAAUAAUUGGCUGUCCAAACACGCUCUAUAUCAUUACUUAGUUUUAUGGGUAUCUUUUCCUUGCCAAGAAAACUAAUGAAAUGACUGAUUUUUUUUUUUUUUGGCGGGUAAAGGCAACCACUUGAGUGAUUUCAGGAUAGACAAUGAUGACUUUAAGCCAUCAAAGUUUACUUUGCAGUAAAAAUGUAUGGCUCCAAAAUUUUUCUCAGUCUUGUUAAAAGCUAUCAUAUAUAUAUAUAUAUAUGUGUCUGCUUUUUCUCCUACAGAUUACUUACUGAGUAAUAAAUUUCUUGGCCCAUGACAAUAGGAACCGUCCGUCGUGGUGUCACAUACCUAAGGGAGAUUCCACUGAUAUUUCUAAGGUAGGUAGGACCAAUAGGAACCGAAAGAUGACUCAGGAGUUUCAAAACUCGGUUUGGACUUUGGACCCCAACCACUUUACACUAGAGCGCAUUGUGCAGUACAUCCAUGGGCCUUCACACCUUCCCCACCACAAAUUACAAGGACAGGACAGGAGCAUAAAAAUUGGCCUUCCGUUGCCGCCCUAUCUCUUUCACUACAGAAGAACGUGUUGUAUGUGUAUCCAUGGGCCUGGUCCUGGGCCUUCCCAACCCCACCACUAAUUAAACGAGAUGGGACAGCGACCCACGUGUCCAUUUGUUUUGUUUGUGACACUCUAAGACAGCGCCAAUAGAGGGAACUGUCAACUACUCACACCAAUGACUCAUCUUCGCCUAUGAUAGGACAGCAACCUUUUGACCAUUCUACGGUGGCCAAUUUGUACGUGUCAGAAGAGUAAAGGUAAACGUAACAUGCUGUCAAACCUCUCGUUUAGGUCGUGGUGGAUUGCUGAUUUUGGAGUUUCUACAUAAAAAUGUAUUAUUAUAGUGAUUGAAUGUAUGCAGAAAAAUGAGUAGAAAAUUUAUUUACGGGAAAAAUGUGAUUUUUUUUUUUUGGAAAAAAUGACUUUCCAAAUGAUGUCUAGAGUCGGGUACAAACUACCCACAACGAAUACAAACUAUCAAUCACAAUUAUUAGAUUUAAACCACAUGCUUUUAUCUAUUGUCUGAGAGCAGUAAUUCUUAAUUUCAGCAUUACUAGAAAAAUGUAAAACCGAUUCCGCAGGUUUAUACUUGAUGUGUUUGAAACCGCAACGGAUCUUCUGUCCCACACCCUGUGCCACUCUCUGUCCCACUUUUUAUUAUAUUGCUAUUUCUCCUACAUAAAUAUCAUGUUUUAGUUCUUUUUUGUUUUCUUAAGAUCCAACAACUAUUAAUUGAGUUAUACACAAAAUUUAACAUACUCAAAAAAUCAAAAUGCAUAAAAAAUGAGAGUUUUUAUGAAAUUUCUGCUGUAUUUUUUAAUUUUCUAUUAUAUAUUACUUUUUUGAAGCUGCUGUAUUUAUUUUUUACUCAAUUAAUAGUUAUUGAAUGUUAAGGAAACAAAAAAGAAUUAAAACAUGAUAUUUAUGUAAGAGAAAUAGCAAUAUAAUAAAAAGUGGGACAGAGAGUGGCACAUAGUGCAAGACAGAAGAUCCGUUGCGGUUUGAAACACUUCUCUUUAAAACUCUUUUCUCUCCCUUCUGACUAAAAACUCUUUUAAUCAAAAUCUCCUUCAUCUCUCCCAUCAGAAAGAAAUCAAAUCUGAUCCUUUUCCAUGGGAGGAAGUACUCUUUAUAAUUUCUAGUUUCUCUCAUUUGAAUAAAUUAUCUCCUAAGAUUUCAUAAUGAGAGAUUCUUCUCUCUUAAGAUUUUCUAGCAAGAGUUUCUUCUCUCUUAAAUUAUUUUAGUGGGAGUUUUAUUCUCUUCUGGGUUUUUCCUUGUGAGAGUUUUUCAGGUUUUUAUCUUUACUAAAUUUGAGAUUUUAUAGAUCUAGAAUCUAGUUUCUCAUAUCCGUAAUUUCUCUAUUAUUUUCAGAUCCAAAUUUCUCUUUGAACUUGAAUCAAUUUUAAUCAAAUCUGAUUGUCAACAAGUGUGCACUAAUAUAUUGGAAUACAGCAAUCCAUCUGGAUGGAAGAUAUAUAGAAGUACAAUGUUAUCUUUACUUAUAUUAUUUUCUUAGAUCUAUUAUAUCUAUUGAUUUCAGAUAUAUAUCUAUCUGUGUCAUGAUUGUUUGAUAUAUUUUCUGCUAUUAGUGCAGAUUUAUUUGAAUGAAAUGAUCUUUUCUAUAUAUAAAUCUGUGUCAUGAUUGUUUGAUAUAUUUUCUGCUAUUAGUGCAGAUUUGUUUGAAUUAAAUGAUCUUUUCUAUAUAUAAAAAAGGGAUAAUCUCAGAAACUUCCCUUGAGAUUUUUGACAAUUUUAGGAAGCCCCCCUCAAUAAAUUAAAAUUACACAUACCUCCCCUAUCAGUGCAAAAGUACUCUACUACCCCUCAUAGAAUACUUAAAGACAUUUUUUGUUGGAAAAUUUUUGAAUAUCCAAACCAAAAACAAAAACAGCAACAAUUGAUUCUCUCUCUUGGAUGCCCCUUACCUUGCUUUUUUUCCCACAUCCUCCUUUGCCCAACUUCCCAUCGCCCGUCUCCAAUUCUCGUCUACCCAACUUUCCUGUUCUACUUUAGGACCUAACUAUUGCCCAUCAACUCUUGCCCGUGCUUGUCCCCCUCUUUUUCCUACUUGACUUAUCCUUUUUUUUUUUUUUUUACUUUUUCUACAUCAAUUCCCUUCUCUUUGCAAACUUGAUUUGAUUAGACUCAUCCCUUCCUCCUUUUUUUUCCUAUUCAGGGUGUGGUGGGUUUGAUUUUUUUUUUUUUUUUGUAUCUAUGUUCUUUAUCCAAUUUUAGUUGAUUAUGGGUGAUAAAACUUUGUGAUGCCAAAGAUCAAUCAUUGAGUUUUUCAAAAAUUAGUUUUUCAAAUACUAUAAAAAUUUUAAAAAGUACUCUAAAAGGUACUCUAAAAAGUAGUCUUAAAUUUUUUUUAAUGUUUAAAAAAUAUCCCAAAAUAUAUUCUAAAAACUCUACUAUUCUUAAAUAUUUCAAAAUAUAUUCUAAAAAUAUUUCAAAAUGUACUCUAAAAACUUCGCUGCAGUCAAAUUUUUUAAAAGCAUUUCCAACAACAGCUAAUCCAAAGGGCUCAGUCCAAGAGUUUGAGAAAUGGAUCUUUGGUUUCAUAAAAUGGGUUGUUGAAAGAAAACAAAAGGCUGCAAAGGGAGGAAGAGUAAGGGGGUUUGACAUGUGGGAUUGGUUGCUGAUGGAGUGUUGGUUUUAGAUCAAAUUUGAGGUUUUUUUUUAUUUCUGGUAAAAUUUGAUGGAGUAUCGAUUUAAUUUUAUCAGUUUAAUAAUAAGAGGCGGGUGUAUUUACCUUGUAGAGAAAGUGUUGGGGCUGGAUAGAGAGUAAGAAUUAGCCUAGGCUGCCGAAAGUAAAUUGGAUUGCGAUGUUUUGCGUGCCUACAAUUGUUGGAAUUGCUUUUGAUUCAGCUUGGGAUGUUUGCUUGGCUUUUCCGAUGGUGUUGCCAAGAAAAAGCAAUCAUCAAAAUUCUUUUUAUUUUAUUUUUAAAAAAUUUUUGGUAGAGAGGAUUUCUUGGCUUUUGAUAGUCUUGCUUGGAAGAAGACAAUCAACAAAAGAGGGCAAUUAGUGAAGACGAUUAGCAAAAAUCUUUUUCCUUUUCUUUUUUUUUUUUUUUUGGCAAGAAGGGUAGUUUAGGAUAUAUGAAGGAAAAUGUAGGCUCUUGGGUCUAUUUUGAAGCAUAAAUAGUGAAAGCAGGGGUGGUGGUGUAAUUUUUAAAAUUUAAGGGGAGCUCUCUGAAAUUGUUUGAAACCUCAGGGGAGGUUUCUGAAAUUAUCCCCAAAAAAUUUCAGCAUUACUAAAGUAAUUGUAUUGUGUUUAAACAACUUGUUUAUUUGCUUUUUCCUCUUUCACAUCUACUAACAUUUAUCAUUGUAAUCAUAUUUUACAUGUAAUAACGUGCAAAACAAAACCAUCGUAGUUAGCAAUUACUCCACUUCAUAUUUUAGUCCUUUUCCAAUUACUCAUGGUCACCAUUGCUAGAGUUAGGCAUUAAUUUUAAAAAUUGUAUCAAGUAUGUGAUCCGUUUUCUCUAUUGUCCAAUAAAAUGUCCUCACUAAUUAGUUUUCUUUUUCCAAUUCACUUUAUCCGCAUAAAUGAAAAUAAUAUUAUUCGUCGUGGAAUCACAUUUUUUUUAAGUGUAUUUGUGUUCUAUCAAUAUUCAGUGACAAAUACAAAUUUACAUUCAUUUGUCUCUUCUUUCAAUCUCCAAUGCACAAAUUUAAUAAAAUUAUAUAUUAUUUUAUUUCUUAUAUUCACUGAAUUAUACAACCAUGUACUUGUAACUUUUGCCUAGCAUAAUGAACAUUGUCUAAUGUAAAGGGCUCUAUUACCAUAUAUAUAUAUAUAUAUAUGUAGAACUCAAAUUUUUAAAGAUUUCUAUUAGUGGCAACACCUGCAGUUAAGAUCUUAUAAAUUCUCUUGACUCUUAUAGAUACUCUUAACAAGAUUUAUUAACUAAUGUUUUAUAUAUAACCUACUAGACUUAUUGUGUAAGAAAUCACUUACGCAAAAAAUUGCUAAAUAAAGUAUAAAUUCCUAAAUUACAUAACUACUAAAAACCUGAUUCUAAAUAAAACUACUAAAUGAUUAGACAAAAACUUGUAGUCUUGAUUCAUUUGCCAGCAAAUCAAUCAUAUAGUAUUUGUUAGCCACUAAUUUUGUCAACCCAUAUCAAGUCUUUUACGUGCCACCAAUAAUAGCUCUUUUAUCGGCAUUGACCUAUUACCCAAUUUGAACUUCAUCCCUGCAAGAAGCACGACGAUCUAAUUUGGACAACAAAGAACUCGAUCAGGGUGGGUGGGGGGAACCAGAAGAGAUGGGACCUUAUGGCCCUGCUCGCCAACUCAGUUAUCUUAGAGUUAAUUGCAAGAAAAUCUCGUCCAAAACGUGCACAUCGUGUUUUGCCUUGCCAUCUAAUCUUCUUCUUCUUUUUUUUUUUUUUUUGCUUUGCUCUCUAACCUGACUGUUCUGACACCAGAAAUAUUUGUAAAUUUAUUUCUUGCCCAUUUGAACAAACUUGAAAAUAUAAAAAAAAUGACCUCUUUUAAUGCAGUAUCAAUUACUUCUGGAAAGCAACUUUGCUAUAAAACGCAACCACCGAUACCCCAGUCACUAUUUAUUUGACACAAUAACAAUAAAUCUUUUUUCUACGCAUGCUUCAUGUCAUAAUCAUCGAACUUUACAUGAAGUGUUCAUCAAAAUUGGUCUCCCAACUUUGAUCUUAUCAGCUCAUUCUACCAUUUAAUGCGACCGAAAAGAAAGUGAAACCAUCCCCGGCCCAAAUCUGCCCGAAUACCAUCAAAUGAGUAGCCUACAUGAAUGUGUUAUGUACUACAAUCUUUUUCCUACUGCAGCUUGAUGAAAAUGGGAAUUAGUUUUACCCUUCAACUCGUACAGACCAUCAACUCGUAUAGACAAUCAAUAUACACAAAUUUUCUUUUACUGCAGUUUCUACAUUGAUCUCCUUUUUCUAAUAUUAAGUAACACGAUGAAUUAAUCUCUUAAACUUCCAAAUUGCAGUAAUUACAGACAGAUGUUUGCCAACUUACAACUACAGCUUCGCUAAAUUUCUCAAAUGUAGGUAUGAAACCAGAGAAUUCUAGUAGGGUUAAUUAGAAAUAUCCAAAAAUAUUCAGGCAAUUCAUAGAAUUAUACUUAUUAAAGCAUGUCCUAAUAAUUAUAGUGGAAGUAGUUUAAAAAAAAAGGAAUGUUGGGAACAAAUUAAGCUAAUUAAAAAUAAUCAUUGUCUUUGUCAUACCUAACAAUUUCAUUCAAAAAUAAUUAUUGUCUUUUUCAUACCUAACAAUUUCAAGUUAAUUAAAUUACGGCUUUUUUUAAAAAAAAAGAUAGUAAGACAACAUCGUAUAGUUUAGCUUAUUAAACAUUCAGUUUUAGAUGUUUAUCAAACAUUAUAGAUAGAUUCAGUAUUAAGAUUCAGAUAUUUAUAUAUUUCUUUUCAGCACUUAAAAUUUAGCAAAUUAAUUGUUUCAAUAUUCAGUUUCAGAAUUCAGAUUCAAUUUUAUCAAAUAGGAUCUUAGUGUGUACUCCUAAUUGUAAUUGAAUUUGAUAUUUUAAAAUUGACAUUCAAUACAAACUUCUAUGUUUAACUAAAUUUGAUUUUUCAAAGCCACAAUUAAUACAAAAUCUCAAAUUUAACUAAAUUUGAUUGUAAAUCAUAUUUAGUACAAGAUGUUAAUUUUAACUAAAUGUGAUUUUAUAAAUGUGACAUUCGCUACAAACUCUUAAUUUUAACUAAAUUUGAUUCUCUGAAAGUCACUUUCAUAAAAAAAUAAAAAAACAAUUUUAACUAAACGAGAUUUCCUUACAUUCACAUUCUAUACAAACUCACAGUUUUAGCUACAUUUGAUUAUUUGUUGAAACGUGAUGCAACAUGUUUGGUAUACGUAACUUGAUGGAACAAAUUUGUGCGUUUGAUAUUUUGUUUGAUCAAUGUUUCUAAACAAACUUGAAGUAACAUAUUUGCGGACGUGCUAGUGUACAAGUCAAUAUUCCUAGCUACUCAAUUUGUCAGGAUCAUAAUCUGUUUUAUCUUAAUUUGUCAGGAUCAUUGUCUGUGUUACUCAAUUUGUCGUUGCUGUUUAGUUCAGCAAAUGUUACUCCAAAUCCUAGGCACAUGAAACAAAGAAAAUUAUACUUCUUUUUUGGUACAAAAAGAAAAAUUACACUUCAAUUACUGCAUUAGUAUAUGGUAUUUUACAAAAUUGGUGACAGAAAGAAUAAGUUGUGAUGCAUAUGUCAUCUUACGCACCUUAAUAUGCAACACUGGUCUGGAGUAAAUAAAAAGGAGAAUUUAUGUAAUCAAAAUAGCAAUUAAUCAAUCUUAGAAUUUUAGUAUUGAGUUAGUUUUUGUUACCUAUUGCAUAAGUCCAAUGCUUGACGGAGCCCUCAGUUUUUCGAUCGCCUUCGUGAAGAUUAACACCAUGUACUUUGUCGGAGCAAAGAUUUGGAGGUUGGUGUGCUUUACCACCAAAGCUAUGGAAGAAUUCAUCAGGAUCAGGCUUGACCUUUAUCUCAGCUUCUAAAUUUUCCAGCCAGAUUUGGACUAUCCAUAAUUGGUUGAAGUAAUACUGAAAAACAACUAUGCAUUUUUUGCUAGUAAAUGUUGUAUCAACUCAACUGGCUCAACCAACGUUUAUAGGAUCAAUUUUCAUGUUGCAGUAGCAUUAAGAUUAUUACGUAGAUGAAGUCCACAUUUUGUGCUUAAGAUCUCAAUUGGAGAAAACUUUCAGAUGAUAGUAUUUACUACUUGCGUAAUUAGCUUGAUAAUUUUAUUAGAGGGGUAAAAAAUGUCGUAGCAUCGGUUCACUUGGUAGUAGACAAAUUUUUUUUUCCCAAGUUCUACAAUGUUUUUUGGAUGAUUGGAAAAGGAAUUCAGAGUAUGUUGACAACUUUUUUUUUUAAGGUAGUCACUCGUAUUGUUGCAAGAAUGGAAAUAAAAAAAAAAAAAAAAUUGGCCCUUCAAACCAAGAAACUGUACAUUCAUCCACUUCAUGAAUGGUGAAGCGCAAUAGAAAGUCGUCUAUUUUUUUUUACUUUUUACUUCUUCUCCUUACUUUGUUGGAUACUCAACAACACGAUGGUUUUGCUGAACAACACCAUGAAAGCAACUCUUCGGCCAUUUCCAUGUUGAAAAUUUCAGAAUGGAAACCUCAAUUGUUGCAAAGUCGAUGCUUGACAACUUUAAGGUGGCAUAAAGUGACUAUCAUGAAAGUUCAAAAUACAAGUGAGAACUAAUGCUAUAGUACAAAGAAACAACUUCAAAAUGGCAGCUGCUAAUAAUUGUCAUCAUACAUAUGCAACAAAUAUUGAAGACCUAGGAUCAAUUGGCAUACACAGGGAUAAAGAUCUUACUGAUGAAUUGAUCCAUGUAGCACAAAGAUAUGCAUCUAAUUCGAUUACAUUCUUUAUUUUUUGUUUUGCUUUUCCGUGCAAUUUUAUUGUACUAAUUCCUUUUACUGCUGCAGAAAUCUAUAUGCUCCAUUAAUUACAAGCAUAUAUAUUAGGCCUUGAUAAGUGAAGCGUCCACAUCCUUCCCCAUAUGAAGUAGCCAGUCCAGAUAUUUAGUCGGACUAGGCAUAUUCUCGUUCAGUUUUUCAUAGUCAAUGGUAUAUUUGGCAAAGCUGGAGACACCUCUGGAGAUAACUUGUAACGUUAUUAUAUAGUUCUUGUAGUGCUUCAUGCAAUCUCCAUCUAUUGCCUCAGAAGUAAUUGUCUUGUUCUCCUCGUCAAUUUUGAGCCUGUCUUUGAAGACCUCAACUUUGCCAUCUAUAUUUUCAUCACAAGGAGAUUCAUCAGUAGCUAUCAGGCUCUAUUUGCCACAUUUUGGUAAAAAUUCAAUGCAAAAUGAAAAUUCCAGUGGGAAAAAAAAAUGAAUUAGGAAAAGUUCCAUGCUUCACAACACCAAACUAAGUUACAAUAUACACUCCUUAUCCUUGAUGUCUUUCUAAUUUUCUUAUGUAAAAAUUAAACAAUUGGUCAGGUAUGCUAACUACUUCACAAGCAAGGGCACAAAAAACUCAUAAAAAUGAAAGGGGUAAAUGGACAUCAAGACACGAGUGGAAUGGUGGCUUCACCUAUGACAUAAGUCCACAGCUUGAUAGAGCCGUCAGUUUUCCAGUCACCUUCGUGCACUUCAAUCCUGUUAACUUUCUCAUUCACAAGAUCUGGGAGUUGGUGUGCUUUAGCGCCAAAGCUAUGGAAGAACUCAUCAGCAUCAGACUUCAGCUCGAAUUCAGCCUCCAACUUACCUACUAAAUUAUUAGCCAUAGGAGAAAGUUUCAAGAAUUGAUUAAAAAAAAAACUACUAAUAACCUUGAUAAUACUAUGUAUUAUGCAACUCAGUCACACCUGAUUUAUAGAUGCUUCAUGAAUUGGUUGGCUCCCACAAGUUAGAAAUGUGCGGUUCUCUCUUUCUUUGCUGCAAAACACACGUUGCGAUGUGUUUUCAGGCAACCACACAUUUCUAACUGCGAAUUGCACUGUGAAAUACUAUUGAUCAUAUGGGAUUUACUUUGCUGUCUGAUCCCUUAUCCAUUGAAAGCAGAAAUCAAAGUUGCUGUACAUUCCAAUUGAUAAUUCCUCGGGCAAGUUUUCUUUAUUUUGCUAAGCUGUGCAUCUAGGGCAUCAUGCCAAUUAAAUUCAACCAUAGAGAGAAUAAUUUCCACUUUGCGUCCACAAUGUUUUAAUAGAUUUUCAGUCUGCACUUGAAAAUUUUAAUUUAAAUACUUUAUCAUAUUGGAAAUUACAUAUAUUUUUCUCUUAAAAAGUAAAAUUACCGUCGUUAAACUACAUUAUGUUUUACCACAAAUAUUUUUGUAAUCUUUUGGUAACUCUAUGGUUUAAUCCAGAUAUAAAAUGGGAAAAUAUACAAAUGGAGCAUCGUUGAAAGGACAGGAAAUUAACUUUUGGUAUGCAACUCCAAAUAAUGUAGCUAAGAAGCCAAUAUUGCUUUACACCAGUUAUUUAUAUUCAUCUACUUUUUACGUACCUGUACACAUUUGUUAUUCCAAUGCGCAAGUUUUAGAGUACAUUUUGACGAACAAUAGUUGUGGAGAUUCCUGCUUGUUUUGUUCACCUCUUUGGGGACAAUUAAUUGGCAGGAAGUCAAGAUAUGAUAACUGAUUAGGGAGAGUCUAGGGACAUCAUCUUAAUUUGCUAUGGUCGAUAUUAAAGUCCAUCUCACCAUAUCUCUAUCAUACAUCUCAGGACGAAAAAGCAACAUUUUACUAAACUGCAUGGCGAAAUUUUGAUCUAAACUAAGUUUUUUCUUGUGAAAUUGUGAUCUAAAUUAAGUGUUUUUCGUGUUCUUUUGUUACAUAAUCAAUCAGCGUGUUUGUUAUUAAUAGGUUGCUUUUCAAAUUUACAUAGUUGUUUAUUGUGAUAGAAUUGCACUUUCAAUUACAAAGUUGGUGUCAAGAAAACUAUCAUGUUUUUUCCCCCUUCAUUUGUAAGUACCGGGGCCUGCAUUUGCUGCCACAAAUUAUGGCUAGAGAGGCAAUAAAAAUGCAUGCCCAAGAUUCUGUAUGUUACUAAUUACUUUUUUGUGUUUGACUUAACACUCAUAAUAAUUGGAGAGAAAUUGGUACCUAUUUUUGGAAGAAAUUACCGUAAUUGUUUUCCAAUUCUCAUUCAAGACUUGAAUAAAUGCUUCACCAAUACGACUUCUAUUUCAACUAUAUGUUUAGAAGAUUUUUUUUUUUUUUUUUUGGGUCAGUUGGCAACAUCUACCCUAUCUUUACACUAAUCUGUUCAAGGAGAAGAUCCAACCUAUCCAAUAAGGGCUAGAAGGACAAAUUAAGUUCACAUCUCUUUUUUUACCACUGCAUCUUAUGUUUUGCCCUUUGACUAACACCUGGAGCUUGUUGGUUAGAAAAGUUUGCUUACUUGAUACGUAGAUAUGGAUUUGUGUCAUUUUAUUUUUGAUCAUUUUGAUACGUAGAAUUACUAACACACAUAAAAAUUACGACCAAGCAUUAACUCGAUCGAGAGCUUAUUCUUAAAAGCUUCGCUAAGCUCACUUCUAUUCUAUUACAUUCAUUGUUUUUUUCAAACGUAUAUGGUAUCCAAGUCAAGAUAGCUAUAUAUAGAGAUAAAUAUUUCAUAUAUAAAAAGAAUUUUCAUAUAUAAACUUAUUUUCGUGCUUUGAGAAGUGAACCAUCCACGUACAUCUUUGAAUAUAAUAAUAUGGAUGAUACGACAAAAUUGGAAAAAUUAAUACAAAUUAAAAGAAAAAAUGUCCCUUAAUUCUCAUGGAUGAUACGACAAAAUUGGAAAAUAAUAAUAUGGACUUAAAAGAGUAUCUAUUGCAAAAUCAUAGUAAUUGAACCUUCAAAAAAUUAAGUAAAGAGUUGCCUUAAUUUGUUAUUUACCUACUGCAUAAGUCCAUAGCUUGACAGAGCCAUCACUCUUCCAGAACAUCAAUUAAUGCCGUGCACUUUCUCAGAGCACAAAUUUGGAAGCUGGUGUGCUUUACCACCAAAGCUACGAAAGAACUCAUCAGGAACAUACUUUAUCUUUAUCUCAGCUUCCAACUUUUCUGCUGUGUUAGCCAUAGUUGUUUCUAGGUCUCAUGCUCACAAAUUAUGCUACUGAUCAGCAAGAACCUUGACCAAUAAUCCAAUGCAUUAUGCAAUUCAAUUUCUUUACCACCUGAUUCGUAGAUGCUUCACGAAUUCGUAAUAGCGCCCACAAUUUAGAAAUGUGCGGUUCUCCAUUGUCUUGGCUGAUCAAUGACAUAAAUCCACAUGUUGCAAUAUCUUUUCAGGCAAAUGAUAUGCUAGCUGCAGGGUUUAGCCAAUAUGCAUGUCACACUUGAUUAGUAGUUAGAUCGGCAAAUGAUGCACUCCUAUCUCCAAAAGAGAAUUGCAAUGUGACAUAAUGAUGCGGGAUUUGCCUUAGUUUAAUUGAGUUGAAAGAUGGUACAACAAAAAUUUAGAUAUGAUGCAACUAAAUUAAAAUAUAAUGUAAUAAAAUUGAAAUGAUCCUUUUACCCCCGAAAUGAAAUGAAAUGGAACUUUUGAUUGCCCAGAUCCUUAACGAUUCAAAUUAAGAGGGAAUGGCACAAAACACUAGCGUAACUUAGAGGACAGUUUUGACUUUGCAUAGGUAAUGUUUUUUUUUUUUUUUUGUGGUGGUAACCUUCUGGUAAAUCUAUGCUAUGAUCAAAACCCAUAAUGGGCAGAUAUACAAACUGAGUAUCAUUAAGAAGAAGUGAGUUUAACUUUUGAUAUGCAACUCAAAAAAUAUAUAGUUAAGAAAUUGUUGUUGCUUUACACUUGUUAUUUAAAUUGUGUACACUUGUUACGUACGUUUGUACAUUUAUUGCUCCCAUAUAUGCAUUAUAGAGUACAGUUAUAACUAACGGUGUGGAGAUACUUCACCUAUGGAGUAGUGUCUUUCUGAUGGUUUAGUUAUAAUAACUGAAGUAGGGACAAAAUCAUAAUUUGCCAUAGCCCCCAAAUUUCCACAAUAAAUCGCAGGAGAUAAUUAAAGCAAAAUUUUUAUUAAAUUACAUGAUGAAAUUGUGAGCUAAAUAGAGCAAUUGCUCAUGUUCCUUUGUGUACGUAACCAAUUGACGUGUUUGGUAUCAAAAGAUUGCUUAUACAAUUUAGAGAUCCUAAGAAACAAAAAACAAAAAACAAAAAAAAGAGGUGUUUAAAGAGAGAAAACUUAGAGAGAUCCUUGAAAUUUGAAGGUUCAUUAGGGGUCAACCAGUGAGCCCAAAAAAAAAAAAAAACUAAGACAGAUAAAAAGCCACACGAAACCUUCGUUUUAUUUAUUUUUUUUAUCAGCAAACGUACAACGGUUAACACUCAUAUGAAGUACAACCAAGCCUUGACAGGAUAGCUCCAUUUUAGAGGCUUUUUUUUUUUUUUGAAGGACAUUUUAGAGGCUUCACUAACCCCAGACAAUGGGGUAUAUUUAGAGAUUCUCUUACAUUAACUUAUAUUGUAUAACAUUCUUUGUUUCUUUUUCUUUUCUUUUUUUCCCCGGUAACCCGAGCCAAGAUGGCAAUCAUAUGGUAUCUAUAGAUAUAUUUAUUUUCGUGCUUUGAGAAGUGAAGCAUCCACAUCUUUUGCAGCAUGAAUUAGCCAGUGAAGGUACUUAGUUGGAGCAGGAUCAUUCUCCUUGACGGUCUCAUACUCAAUGCUCCAGUGGGCAAAGUUUGAGACACCUUUUGAAAUAACCUGCAACUCAACCUUAUAGCUCUUGUAUUGUUCCUUAAUGUCUCCUUCAAUUGCUUCCAGAGUUACUAUCCUGUUCUCCUCGUCCACUUUAAAUCUCUCUUUCGCAGUUUCAACUUUCCCAUCUGUGUGAAUUUUCACCAAAGUAGAAAUUAAACAAAUAAUCCAGCAAAGUCAAAAGCACUUUUUGGAUCUUCUCCGGUACUAAAAUUAUUUGUCGAUCACUAAAGACAAACAAAGUAAUACGCCCGAACGAUGCAUAUGCAUUAAUGAUUUUCCUAGAAAAUGAUUUAUACAAAUUAAAAAAAAUGUCCCUUCGCAAGGAUGACACCCUAAAAUCGAGCAAUAAUAUUAUAUAUACAUAUACAUACAUACAUACAUACAUACAUAUAUGUGUGUGUGUGUGUGUUACAAAAUCAUAACAAUUGAAACUUCAAGAUCGAGUACAGGGUUGGCCUUUGUUGCUUACCAAUUACAUAAGUCCAAUGCUUGACAGAGCCCUCAGUCUUCCAAUCACCUUCAUGAAGAUCAAUAGCAUGCAAUUUCUCAGAGCAAAGAUUUGGAAGCUGGUGUGCUUUACCACCAAAGCUAUGGAAGAAUUCAUCAGGAUCAGACUUGAUAUUUAUCUCAGCCUCCAACUUUUCUGCUGUGUCAGCCAUAGUUGUUUCCAGCCCUAGGUAGUCUCAAAACCACCGACAUUUAUAUAUAGGACCUUGAUCUAGUAGAAUGGAAAUGCUAAUGUAUAUGGACCUUAACCAGUGGACCAACAUUCAUAUAGGAUCAGUUCCCAUACAUUUGUGAUAGCUGGGCUAAUUAAUACCUUCAAUCCCUGUCAAUUAUGUUUAAAAUUUAUGUAGUUAUACCAUCAUACCCCGUAUUUUCAAUUUUAGAUGCUUAAAUUUGAAUGCGCUUACCGCGCUUAAAUUUGUCUUGCUAUAUUCUUCUUUUUGAUGGUCAAGAGAAAAUUUUAUGUCAUCGGUAACAACUUUAAAUAAGAUUAGAUUAAUUAUCUUUGAUAUAAUAAUAAUAGGAGGUAGCCCUCAUAGGGGUGGUCCAGCGGUAAGCGGGCUUUUAAGGAUUCUUGAGCUCCUGGAUUCUAAUCUUACCCUGGACUUAAACCCCUGUGACUCGCCCGGGAUCGCUGCGUGGGGUGGUGGCGCACUCCUCUGGUUUGAUGUGCCGGCUCGAAUCCUAAGGGUUCGAGUCGGGUAUGUUCUGGGUUACAAAAAAAAAAUAAAAAUAAAAAAUAAUAGGAGGUAAAGUGUCAUAUAGUAAUUGAAGAAAAUUCAUUGCACCGUACACUUCUUUAUAGACCAAAUUCUAUCUUUGCACCUGUCUUCACAUAUUUGCAGAAUGAAAGCACUCAAAAAACAAAAAAAAAAAAAAAGAGAAAAGAAAAUGUGAUCUAUUGGCUUAAUUAUUUGAUCACACCAAUUUUUUUUUUCAGCAAAUAGGCCCCAUUCCAUUAAUCAAUCUUUAGUCACAGCUCACAAGUCUCCUUUUAAAGACCAACCAUGAGAUAAAAUCAAACCUUGGUACAAUUUUCUCACUCCAUACUAAUUAUGCCACACAACCUCAUGACCCUUUGCUCCAAAAGUUCAUCAAUCACAGUUUUAACAACAAAGGAAGCAGUAGGUACCCGCUGGCCACUUCACCUCAUCCAUCAUAAAGCUUUGGUCAAGAAAAAAGCUGGAGUAACAUCAAUCAAGCUGUUUACCUCAUCGGACCUCCUUCUUCAUCAAUGCCAAACCAUCCACCAUCUGAAUGAGGCCUUAAUCUGCUGAUAAUCAUGAGCUCCCAAUUCUAGGAAUAUCUAUUUGUCCAGUUCUUCGCAAUUUUGCUAAUUAAAAGGUUUAGCAAAAUUUCUUAGGUACCUCCUGCGCCAAAAAGCAACUGUAAAGGUUAACAACAAGUGUUUAAACUUCUUAACUUAAGUCGGCAUUUAUAAAGGUUAAUUAACUGGUUUACAUACUUAGAUCAUUUUAUCAAUUCGGUUCUAUAAAAUGUUUUGAAUGGAAACAAUAAUAAUAUCGUUUCCAUGAUUAAAGAAUGGGAAUAAAUUUUGCAUGAUUCAGAAAACAAAUUUUGUUCUGCAGGAUUGGUACCAUGUACUACUAUUUCUCUGUAGUUGUUAGCCGACAUUCUAAGUAAGUACGAAUUUCUCGAACCUUUUUAUGUUAUGGGAAAAAAAAAAAAAAGAGUAGGAAGUGCAACCAAACACCCACACAAAUUUGAUCGGAAAUAGUCCAAAACCAAAGUCCAUAGGACUGAAUAGAUGCAAUGAGUUGGAAAAUGAUAAAUCAGUAACCUAAAGUAACAAACCCCGCUUUAGGUGUUGUACCCAAGCUCCAUGAAUGAUUUACAUGGCAUGCCAAAGUACAAAAAAGGCCCUUUAGGAAACGGACGGAAAACUUCCCAAGGGUGAAAUCAAAGUCCUUUUUGUUAUAUAUGUAAGAUUAAGGAUAUAUCUUUUAUAUAUAAUAUAUUCACUUUCAUCAUUAAAUAUGUUACACAUAAUUUAAAUUUGAAUUUAAGAUUCAAAUUUGUAUAUGUAUUAUACAUCAAAUUAUGAUAGUGUAUGCACUAUUAAUGUACGUAAAAUUCCAGUUAUUAUCUAAUCUUCUUGAUAGUAAAAUUUAACUUUUUCCAGUAUAUAUGAACGUCCAACGUAGGUUAAGUUUAUCAACAACAGACUACUCUUGCAAUCUUCUAUUUCUCUAAAAUUUUAAAAAAAAAAUGAGAGUUGUACGGUGGGAUAAUUUUCCACCACCAUUGUAAAAACUACUAAAAGUGACAUGCAUCAAUGAAAGUUUUCUUUCCUCAAAAAAAAAAAGGACCCUUGCUAAAAUAACACACAAUUAAAAUCACGGAUAACUUUUUAAUAUACAAUCAGCGUAUAAUUUUUUUUACAGUAACAAGUUUAAAUUAUUGCCACAUAACAUGAAUUCAAAUUUGAAAUUUAAAUUAUACACAUGUGGUAUUCAUUCGAAACUGUUACUAUAAAAAAAUCAAUACACUAUUAGAACAUAAAAGUUAAUCCUUAAAAUCAGUGCUGUUGAUCUUAGUCCUUUUUGUGUGAUCUGGGAAGGUAUGCAUCCACGUCUCUAGAGAAACUUAUCAAAAAAUCAAGAUGAGAAUGCGGGGGUUGGGACAUCAUCAUCUGCUUUCUCGCGCUCUAGAGUCCAUUUCACAAUGUUUCUAUCAUCUUGGGGAUUUGCGUCAAGUGUUGCUUUGAAACUCUUGAAUUGAUUGUGACUUCACCUCUAUAAGCUCGAUUAUGAUCGUUUUGUUUUCCAUGUCAGUAGCAUCAAUCUUGUCUUUUGCAAUCACAGGACCGCCUGUUUUAGCAAAAGAUAGGUCUAAUUUUAAUUGGAAAAAAAUGUAGAUAUCAAAAUGGUGGAAUUAAAACAAACAUACAUAAGCUUGAAUCAGUCCACAAAAUAAAAAUAAGUGAAUAAAGAGUUUAAUUUGUUAAGGGAAAUUAUUACAAGAUAAUAAAACUGUGUUCAUCCUAGAGUCAAUUAUUCAUCCUCAUAUUUUUCAGUGAACUGUUAUCAUCAAAUUUUUAGGGGCAUCUCCUCUUACGACGAAAAUAGAUGAAAAGACCCCCAUUUUUUUUUUUUUUUAAGUCAAGGGCUUGAGUCAUUUCACGAGAAGAGAUAAUGUUUUUCAUUGUCUCUUCUGAAAUGACUUGGAAUUUUCAUUGUCUAACUAAGAAUUUAGUGAGUUACUUAAUAAGUAAAAGUCCAGGACAUUAAUUUCAGGUACAAAUAGUUGCUCCCAAAACUUUUCUCAAAUUUGAACACAGUAUUCCCAAAUGCUAUCACAUGUAUCCUUUUUUUUUUUUUUUCAGUUUUUUCCCUAAAGAUAAGUUACUCAGUAAUUACUUUCUUCACCCAAGACAUUAGAAGUGUUUGCUUGGCAGUUGCCAGUAUUGGAAGAAAUACCACAGUUGUUGUAUAAUACCAGUAGUCAUUUUCUGGCCAUAUGAAUACACAUGAUGUUUUAACUUCUGCCAAUGUACAGAACACCUUCAAUAGCUGAACUAACAAUUGUAUGGUUGAAAUCCUAACGCUUGUCUAAACAGACAAGACAUUAAAUUGUUCUUAAUUGCGGUGGUUGUUGUAUUGCAUCUAUCAAAAACUGUGGUAUAUUAAAGCACACUUGGAGAAAUUGUAUCCAGAAAUUUGUAUAUCAAAAAAUCCAAGCACUUGGAGAAUAUGAGGAACUGAUCAAUCGCUUUAUGUCAUUUUUAGCCUCUUUGUUAAUGUUCUCAGUUUUUGUUUCUAAAUUUAUGAAAUGCAAUUGUAAUUGGAGGAAGGUUUUUUACCCCCCAGAAAGUUUCCUUCUUCUUACAAAAUUAGAGUGGCCACUCGAAUUUUUUUAAAAAAAAAAGAUAUUUAGAAAGAGUGAUUAUCCUAUAAAAAAAAUAUUUGAAUAUCGCAAUAAACACAUAUUUCAUACAACCAGUCUAGAUCAACUGAGCGAAAAAUAAAAUUAAAAAAAAAAAGGCAAUACUAUGGCAAGGCAAGGUGAUUUAGUUAAUAAUAAUAGUACUUACCCAUGACACAACUCCAAAAUCUGAUAGAGCCAACACUGUUUCCAUCACCUUCGGUCCUUCGAGCACUUGAAUGCUUUGCAGUUUGUCAGGACUAAUCUUGGGCACGCGGCUGGUUUUGUUCUGGCAAACAUCAAAUACCCUCUCGGGAGAAGAUUUUAUUUCUGUCUGGAGCUCAAGCUUACGAAGUUGAGCCAUUGUUGUACUACUAUUUUCUUGACUUUUUUGGGCUAUGUAAAAAGGAAUAACUUUGCUAACUUGAUAUCAAGACGUCUAGAAUGUGGCCUAUUAGUAAUGUCAAAAGAAGAUUGCCUGCUUUAUUAGAUGAAUCAUUCCAUACUGGUUUUGGGUUCCAAAAGAAGCUAUAAAGUACAAAAUAAUUUCAGAUUCAAAAAACGCACCUUAGCUUAUAAUAAUGGUACCGCAUGCGGUACAACAGAAUCCCUAAUAAUCGAAUGACAUUAAUAACACUAAACUCAUUUAUAUUUUCAUAUUUACCGGUCAAUAAUCAAAUGGUUAACCUGGUUCUUGAUGUAGAAAUAUCUAGAGAUGGCAAAAGAUCAGGUUUGGGGUGGGAGAUGACCCUUUUUACAAAAAUUCUCCUCGCUCUCUGCCCCAUCCCCCGCACGCCCUGCCCUAUCCCACUAUUAAUUUUAUUUUGAUAAAUUACCUUUUAUCUCGAUAUGAUUUGGUGUUUUAUCACGUAGCUCUUUUAUGAUUUAGAAAUCUAUAUAUAACUCUCUCAUGAUAUACGUUAAAGUGCCAUCAUUAAACUAAUAAAUUGACAAAUUCACCAUUUCGUCACUUUUUUUUUCUUUUUUCUUUUUUCCUUCUCUCUCUCUCUCUCUCUCUCUCUCUCUCUCUCUCUCUCUCUCGUCAAGAGACGAGAUGAUUUUGAAAACUUAUAUUUUGGCCUACAAAAUCUUAAUUUUCUUCAAAUACAAAAGAGAUAGAAGAGAAAUAAAAAGUAAAUAAAUAAAUAAACAAAAAAAGAUGGAAGGAAAAUAUAAAACAAAUAAAUAAGAAACAAAAAAUAUCAAAUGCUUUUUUUACUACAAAUAUCAUUAUAGGUUUUUAAACGAAAUCUUAAUGGUAUUUACUAGUUCUUAUUUAUUUAUUUUUUAUUUCAGUUUCUGCUUUUUUAUGUUUGGAGGAAAAAAGAAGUAAUGAAAGUGUAAUUUUAUCAAUCUAUUAAUUUGACUUUGACUUUGACUUUUUAUUAUUGAUCAUUAGUUUUAAUAGAAAUAUUAAUGAUGAUACUUUAACUCAAUCCACGAAGGAGUUACAUAUAGAUUUUUAAACCAUAUGAAAGUUAUAUGAUAAGAGUAAAAGUUUUCUCUUCUGUAUUGGGAAUAUUGAGGGUUCAAUCAACAAACAAGUUCGGUAAAGUUCUCUCUUUAUUGUAAGCAGUUCCACCAUUUUGAAAAUAUUAUCUUCUGUCCUAAUCAAAAUUUAAUUUUUGCGUAAACAAACAAUAAGAAAGAAUUCUUCAAACCUUAUUUUUUGGUUACCAAAAUGUUGAGUGGGAGCACCAUUUGACUUUUAUCUCGUUUUGAAAAACCUGCUUAGCAAUUGACUCAUCUCUUGUUAGUUUUAUUUGUUAAUUACCAAGAAAUUAAGGCAGAUCUAUAAAAAUCCUUGAUACAACGACACGGGUACCAACAUGUCGGCUGCCUUUUUUCUUUCUUAAGUGAGAGGUCUUAAAUUCAAAGUUUCUUAUUUAUACCUCCCAUUUAGAAUCUCUCUACAGUAUAAGAUAUUGUGAUGAUUUUGACAAGUUGGUAAACUGUGUAUAUUUGUCAUGCAAGUGAGCAUAUUUAUUUUUCCCAUAUAUAUGUGUUGUAGAUAAAUCGAACCGCUCGCGAGCGGCUCGAGUCGAAUUCAAGCUGGUCGAGUCGAAUUCGAACUCGAACUCAAGUUUAAAAUAUUGAGCUCGUUAGUUCUCGAGAUUGAGUAGAUAUAUAUUUUUCGAGCUAUUAUAUAUAUAUAUAUAUAUAUAUAUAUAUAUAUUUUAAAAUAUUGAGCUCGUAUAGUAAUAUUUUUUAUUUUUUAUUUUUCGAGCUAUUCAAGCCGAGCUCAAGUUUCAAAAUUAUCAACUUAUCGAUCUCGAACUCGAGUUAGAGUUCGAUAAAACUAAGUCAAUGCUCGAUUCGAUUUGAUCAAAUCUUAAUUCAUUUUGAUUCGUUUGCAGCCCUAGUUGUAAACUACAAUAUAACUAACGUUGUGGAGAUAAUUCACCCCAGUAUUGUCUUUCUCCUCGCUUAGUUCGCCUCUCUGGCGACAUUUAGCAGGAAGUCAAGACAGGAUAACUCGAGCAGAGUAGAGCAGGGACAAUUGAUCUGAACAGUGUAAUAUUUUUUGAACGUUUUAUAAUUCUAUAUAAACUUCUUAUACAUCCUUACAAUAGAGGUGUGAUAUUUUGUUACUAUUUAUGUGAGUCUCAUAUGUAAUAAUUGUGUGUUUGGUGUUAAAUUUUAUAACUAGUUCAUGUAGAAUUACGCCUUAUUCAAAAAUAUUAUUUCAUUCAGAACGAUUGUUAUUAACAACCAUCGGGGCCAUUAGUCCGCCGACCAAGAAGGUAUGACAACUGAGCAGGGACACAAUCAUAAUUUGCCAUGGCCCCUACCAAAGUCCAUCUCACCAAAUUUUUUUUUUUUUUCCUCACCAAAUUUCUACGAUAAAUCUCAGGAGAUAAAGCAAAUUUUUAUCAUAUUACUUGACGAAAUUGUGAGCUAACUAAAGUUUUGCUCAUGUUCCUUUCUGUACAUGAUCAAUUAACGUGUUUGUUAUCAAAAGAUUGCUCAUACAAUUUACAGAUCCUAAAAAGCACGAGGCGUUUAAAUAGAGAAAACUAAUGACAUCCCUGAACUUUGAAGGUUCAAUAUGGCGAACCAGUGCAGUGAGCAUUUAUAUCUUCAUCAAGCCAAAAAAACACUAAUAGAUAUAAAGCCACACAAAACAUUCAUUUUAGAUUUUAUCAUUACACGUAGAAUUGAUAUAAAUUACAACGAUGCACUGGCAGGAGAGCUUAUUUUUAGAGGCUUCACUAAGCCCAGACAAUGGAAUACCUUUAGUGAUUAUCAUAUAUUGUAUUACAUAUCUUUUUUUUCCCCUAGUAUUAACAUGUAUAUGGACCUUAACCAUCGACCGACAUUCAUAUAGGAUCAGUUCCAAUUUUCUGUGCAUUUGUGAUAGUUGGACUAAUAUCUUCAAUCUUUGUCAAUUAUGUUUUAAAUUUAUGCAGCUGUACCAUCAUACCCCAAAUUUUCAACAUUGAUUAGACUUAAAUUUGAUUAGGUUUAUUGCGCUUGAAUUCGUCUUGCUAUCCUUUGCUUUAGUCAAGAGAAAAUUGUGUGUCAUAAGUACCAGCUUUUAACUAAUUUCAAGAGUUGGGUAGUUAACUAAUCUAUGAGGUUAGGAGCUGGGUAGUUAAAUUCUCAAAUUUAUCUCAAGAGUUGUCGUCUUUUGAGAUUAAAUUUGAGAUUAAAUUUAACUAAUCAAUUUCAAAAAUCUGAAAAAAAAAAAAAAAGUACCAGCUUUUAAUGAGAUGUGGUCAAUUAUCUUUGAUGUAAAUAUAGGAGACAACUAGUCACAGAUUCAAAUUAAGGGGCAGAUAAAGUGUCACAGCAAUCGAAGAAAACUCAUUGUACCAUAUACUUUUUAAUAGACCAGAGAUUCUAUCCUUCCACCUGUCUCCAUUUAUUUGCAAAAUGAAAGUAUUAAUGAUUUGAUGUCACCUAUUUUCAGCAAUUAGAUCCCAUUUCAUCAAUCAAUCUUUCAGUCACAAGUCUCCUUUUUCAGACCAACCAUGACAUAGGAGCAAACCUUGGUACGAUUUUCCAAUUCCAAACUGAUUAUGCCACACAACCUCAUGGCCAUCUGCUUGAAGUUCAUCGAAUACAAUAAUUUUAUCCACAAAAGAAAGCAGUAGGUGCCCAGUUCAUCUCAUCCUUGAUGUAAAGUUUUGGUCAAGAAAAUUGCUGGAGUAACAUCAAUCAGCCUCUGAAAAUAACCACAUCACACCUUCUUCUUCAUCAAGGCCAAUCCAUCCACCAUCUGAAAAUAAAUAUUUGUCCAAUUCUUCGCAAUAUUGCCAAUUAAAAGGUUUACCAAAAUUUCUUGGCUACAAUGUUUUUCUCCAGCACCAAAAAGCAUCUGUAACUCCCAAAUUGAGUUCUUUGUUUUUUUAAUCUAUGAAGUAUCCCUUUUUCUGAUAAAUAGACAAGAAGUUAAAUCAUGGCAACAUUUAUAAAGGUUAACUGGUUUACGUGCUUAGAUAUUUUUAUCAAUUCGGUCCUAUAAAAUGUUUUGAAUGGAAAUAAUAAUAUCGUUUCCUUGUUUAAAGAAUGGGAAUAAAUUUUUUCAUGAAUCUGAAAACAAAGUUAGUUCUACAAGAUUGGCACUAUGUGCUGCUAUUUCUCACUAGUUGUUUACUAGACGUUCUAAGUAAGUACAAAUUUCUCGGUCCUUUUUUGAUGUUAAAAAUGGAGAAAGGAAAAAAAAAAAGCAGUAGGAAGUGCUUUGUCUGUUGUUACUAAGGAUAUAAUUAGUAUCUAAUCCUCUUGAUAAUAGAACGUUACUUUUUCGAGUACUAUUUCUAUAAAAUUAAAAAAAAAAAAACAUAUGUUUACUUGAACCAAAUUGGCGAGCUACAUCGCUUAGUUUGCCCAUACAAACAACUGAAGUAUCAUAAAUUACGCUUGCGGGAAACCCAAAGGAGUUAUUCGUAUAGUAGAAAAUUUAUACAAUGAAAUUUUAUUGAAAAAUGAAGAAAAAACUCCUUCAUUUUUAUCCCAUGAACAACUUUGUCAUUCCAAACCCUUGGAGUGAACCAAAAUAUGUUCAGUCUAACAUAAGAAGGACUGAAAAGUUUAAGCAACAAAUUUUCUACUGAAAUGUGUAAAAUGAUAUCAAUUAAUUAAGCAAUGCAUCACUCAUGAUUUGAGCUUAAAAGCAUUUGAAUCCCGGGGAUUUAUUAGUUGAGUUUACCAACAAAAAGCGAUUAAAAAAAUUAUGACAUGCCCACGCGAUAGAUAUAUAAAUAUGUAAAUUCCCAAAAUCAAAGAGGUGGAUCAUCAUUUAUUUUGUUUCUGUCGUAUAAGUCAUAUAAUGGCUUAAAGUCGGAUUUUCCCUAUUAGUUUUUCAAACUUACCCCAUCUUUGUUAAUUUUUUUUAUCGUAUAUCAAGUACCUCCACCAAUUUGCACAGACGAAACCAAACCAAAGAAAAAUAAAGACUUUCAUAAUUACAAGCCCAAACCAACAAAACCAUACUUCACAACAACACUGCAAGCAAGAAUGAAACACAUGGACGAAGAGGCAUGCUGUUAAGCAGUUAUCGAAAUAUACACAAAAUCAAAAUCACUGCCGAUGAUCUCAAUUAAUUUUUCUGUGCUUUGAGAAGGUAAGCAUCCACGUCUCUAGAGCAACUUAUCAGAAAAUCAAGAUGGGAAUGUGGGGUUGGGAUAUCUUCUCUUGCUUUCUCGUACUCUAGAGUCCAUUUCACCAUGUUUACAUCGCCUUGGGCAAUUGCCUGGAGAGUGGCUUUGAAGCUCUUGAAAUAGCUUGUAACUUCACCUCCUAUAAGCUCAAAUGUGAUGGUUUUGUUUUCCAUGUCAAUAGCAUCAAUCUUAUCUUUUGCAACCACAGGUGUCUCUGUUUUACCAAAACAUAGGUCUAACUUUAAUUGAAAAUAAAAGUAAAUAUCAAAAUGGUGGAAUUAAAACAAGCAACCAUAAGCCGGAAUUCGACCACAAAAUUUUUAUAAAAAAAAUGAAUAAACCGGUUAAUUUGUUAAGGGCAAAUAGUAAUUUACAAGGCUAUAAAACUAUGUUCAUCCUAGAGUCUGGCCAUUAAUCAUUUGGAGUCCAAGAUAGUCCAGCAUAACUCGAUAUAUUUCUCAGUAAACCGUCAUUACUUAAUUAGUUUUAUGGGUAUCGUUUCGUUACCACGAAAACUGAUGAAAUGAUUUUUUGUUUUUUCUCUUUUCUUAAAAUGCCAUUGACUGGAGUCAUUUCUGAAGAGACAAUAUAAUGAUAGUAACUUUUAAGUCAUCAAAGUUUCCUUUGCUGUAAAAUUGUUUGCCUACAAAUUUUUCUCAAAACAAAAACAGAGUCUUCAUAAAUGCUGUCAUACAUUUGUCUGCUUUUUCUACUACUGAGUAAUUACUUUCUUCACCCAAGACAGUAGAACUAUUUGCUUGCCAGUAUUGGAAGAAAUACCACAGUUGUUGUACAAUACCAGUUGUCAUUUUCUGGCCAUAUGAAUACACACGAUGUUUUAACUUCUGCCAAUGUACAAAACACCUCCAAACAAUUGUCUGGUUGAAAUCCUACCGCUUGUCUAAACAGACAAGACAUUAAAUUGUUCUUAAUCGCGGUGGUUGUUGUAUUGCAUCUAUCAAAACCUGUGGUAUAUUAAAGCACACUGCCCAGGACAAGUUUUUGAUUAAUUUUAUCCAGAAAUUUGUACAUCAAAAAAUCCAAGCACUUGGACAAUAUGAGGAGCUGAUCAAUCAUAUAUUGGUUUUUUUUUUAACCAAAAAAAAAAAAGGCAAUACUAUUGUAAUAUAGUACUUACCCAUGAAAUAGGUCCAAAGUCUGAUAGAGCCAACACUCUUGCCAUCCCCCUCGAGCACUUGAAUGCUUUGCAGUUUGUCAGGACUAAUCUUGGGCAUGAGGCUGGUUUUGUUCUUGUAAACAUCAAAUACCCUAUCAGGAGAUGAUUUCAUCUCUGUUUGGAGCUCAAGCUUACAAAGUUGAGCCAUAGUUCUACUACUAUUUUCUUGACUUUUUUGGGCUACGGAAAAGGGAAAUAAUUUUGCUAACUUGAUAUCAAGACGUCUAGAACGUGGCCUAUUUAUAACGUCAAAAGAAGAGUGUGUGUUUUAUCAGAUUCUCGUGCAUUUGCAUAGCUUUGGCUCAGGCAAUGAUUUAGAUGAAUCAUUCCUUGCUGCUUUUGGGUUCCGGAAGAAGCCACAAGGUACAGACUAAUUUCUGAUUUUAAAAAACGCACCAUGGCUUAUCAUAAUGGUACCGCAUUUGGUACAACAGAAUCCCUAGUAAUCGAAUGACAUUAGCAACACUAAACUCAUUUAUAUUUUCAUAUUUACCAGUCACCAAUCAAAUGGUUAACCUGUUCUUGAUUCUGAAAUAUCUAGAGAUGGUAAGUAGUCGGAUCUGGGGUAGGAGAGACCCUGUUCUACCAAAAAAAAAUAUAUAUUCUCCUCAUCCCCGCUAUUAUUUUUAUUUUUUAUUUGAACUUAUUUUUCAAUAUAUAUAACACUAAUAAUAAUUUUACUAAUAAUUUCUUUUUUGAAAUUUUAGCCAAAAAAAUUGAAGGUAAAGUAAAGUUUAAAUAUCACUUUGAUCUUUUUAAUUUAUUUCUUCAUAUUUGAUACAAUAUAGAAUUUAAACUAAUUGCUACUAUUUCUUUUAAUAAACCUGCAAUAUGUGGAAAAAAAAAAGAAAAAUAAACUAAGAUAAUAAAAUGAUCAUUUUACGACAAUAAAUUGAUAAUAAAAAUUGCAUCAUUUUAUCACAAAAAAAAAAUAUCAUGUCCAUCAUAUAUCAUAUUAUAUAUUAUAUAUGAUAAUAUCAUAGUAUUUAUUUCAUAUUAUACAUAUAUAAAUAUAUUACACAAUUAUCAAAUCAUAAGUGGGGGCUAAAGCAGGAGUAUCCUCUCGCAACCUGUAAUUAAAGUAGGGGGAGAAAAUUCUCCCGACCUCGCCCCCUUCCCUACCCAGCUGCUUCCAGCAGAGCGAUGCCUCCGUUGCCAUCCCUACAACUAUCUUUCCACAGAACAAAAUUGAGGAUCUUUUCUGCUCAUUCUUUUCUGCCCUUCUACUCCGUCAUUUAGUACCAAUGGACAACGAAAAUUAUGGUAACUGAAAACAUAACCAAUACGUCAAGGUACCUAAUGUUUUCUCCCAACAGUAUGGCCAGAAGGGAAUUGGAUUAGAAGCUAGUUGGCCAUUAAUGGAGCACAAUUCUAGAUAUCUUUCCGGAUGAUGAAAACGACAAAACGCAUUUUCCUACAGGUAAAAAAAAAAAAAAUUGAUGGAAUCAAGUUUAAAGGAGCUGCAAUGAAUAUAACCUGGCACAUGGGAAUAUUUGAGGGUUUCAAUCAACAAACAAGUUCCAUAAAGUUUUCUUUUUAUACUGCAAAAGCUAUUCCAUAAUUGUGUAACUUUAGUAAGUUUGAACAAUUGGGGGUUAACCAACUCCCUCUGGAAGGAGUUGACCACCACAUUAAUUGUGUGGCGGGAGAUCAAGGAUUCAAACCCAUAUGAUCUUAUAGUAAUUUAUUCCCUGUCAGGUUCCCUCGACUUAGUUGAAUCACUCCUUUAGAAUAAGCUCCCCCAAUAGGAGUAGAACUAAGCUAGGUUAGACUUAGUUAUGCAUACUCACUAUUCAUUUCUUGGUCUGCUUGAUAAAAUAACUUCAAUUGCAAGAAUCAUUUUCAGAACUGAUCCUCCAGGCAAGUGGAAAAUUGUGGUGGCGUCUCUUCAUAAACCGGCUGAUCACUUCAACGCUUUUUGGAGACGUAUCAAAACACUUGAACUCUACUUCAUUUUGAACUUUAAAUACAUGCUUUACAACUUUGAAGGACCAAACUUAAAAUGAAAUACAGGUUGUGUUUUGUACAGUACUGAAAAAAGAAGCACAACCCAUUCCCUCCCACAUUGGAUGCCUCCAGUUAUCAACAAAAUAAGAGUAAAUACCAAUUUAACAAAAAUAGUGUGGACCCACUGUAAAGGUAAGGAGACUGGGUGAAGGUUAGCACAAAUUGGGGUUGUGGUUUGGCGGCGUUUAGGUUCAACAAAACAUCAGCGCAGUGGCGAACUACAGAUGACAUGAAGCUCAAAACCAAACUGUUCAAUUCAAUGGCAAGUAUGCCAUUUCAUUGCAUGGCCAUCAUCUACAUAAAGAGGAACAUCAGUUGAUCAGAUCUAAAAUAUAAAUAUUCCAAUUUGUUGAUGCCUGUAUUUGUCUAUUUAUGUCACAUAAUUAGUUGAAUGGUCAUAUCUCCAUCUAGUGCGGCCAUACUAAAACUCUCUCUUGCGCAUGCGGCAACAAAACUGUUGUGUAUCCUGGGUCAGGUGUGAAAAUACAAGCUCAAGCUACAAGUCUCACUUCUUUAAUAAGGUACGUGAAUCAUUUCUAGAAUUGACAAGAACUGAAGGGGUAGACAACAUGUUUUCCUUAUCUGGUGGAUCGCCGCCUUUCUCGAUGCUUCUUUCAUCUUUUUGCGAUGUAGUGGAAGACGAUGCUCCUUGUAUCUGUACUGUUAAGCUUCCACCUAAAAUUGAACGGUAUAGAUAUGGUAAGCAUCUUCGCAACAAGUGUUUUGGAGCAUGUGGGGUUAGGGGAGAGCAAAAGCACAGGCAAACUCAAGUUUCUGCGGGGCAAAAAAGAUGUUACUCUGAUGCUCACAAACUGUAAGUGCUAUAGUCAUUUUAAGAACCAGUUGAUUUUCUUAGUCAAUUAACCUGUCCAUUUAAGUAGUUAAAAUGAAAUAGAUGGCACAGACAAUAGCCAGAAAGGAGAUGAGGAAUAGACACACCAGGUACGGAAAGCAAAUCUGAAGAGGAUCAACUUGCCAAAAGCAUCAGUUUUAAAGUUACCAUUGCGAAAUAAUCAGUCACCAGUAAUUUAUUCUGGCAUGUAUUGCUACAAAUGGACAAUCACACUACAAUAUAGGCCACGUCAGAAAUAAUAAUUGUGAAGAUUAGCAAAACAAAAAGCGAUUCACUUGGAAAACUCCAAGGGGUCAACAAAAUGUCCCUGAAGCACUAUAGCAUCACAGAUACCUUGAUGGCAAGACAGCCUGAGUUGUAACAUUGUUAAAAACUUGUCCUUCUUUCAUCAAGUAGUUAUUUUGCUAGAAGUCAAUUAAUUGAGUCAAUUGACUACAUGUUUCUACCAUGCACGGUUGGAUUUUAGAAAUCAUAUAGCAGAUGGAAGAUGUCUUAUACCUAGAACAAGAGCAGCUCCAAUCCAUCCAUUGACACCCCAUCUCUCUCCAAGAAGAAACCAUGCAAAUGCAGCACCCCAGAGCGGCUCCAACCCAUAGAUUAUUGCAGUUUCUGUGGCUGAAACAUCUCGCAUGGCCGCAAUCUGUAUUAUAAUGCUAGGUGAUUAGAUCAAGACUAGCUAGCAAAACCUGCUUAAAGUAGAGAAGAACAAUGAUCUUUGUUUAAGAAUCACCAAUACCGAAUAAGCAUAUAUUGGUUGUCUUGGUUUCAACGAUUUAUUUAUUGAAAAAAAUAAAAAGCUAAAUUUUGCAACUAUAGUUCACAAUCAAGGUCUUUUCUUUAAAAUAAAAUUCAUCUAAAACACUUCAGACAGUCAAACCAAAUUCCAUACCUAUUAGUAUUAUCUAAUAUUGCAGCAGAAAUCAUGUAGUGAAUUAUUCUGAUUUCUACCAAUUAGAAAUUGUAACAAGAAUUGUGGUAUGGAAGUGGUAGAAGAAAAUCAAUAGUUUCUCAUCAUGGGAAGUAACAUCUUAUUAGACAGGUAGUUUGAAUCAUCUACUCUUGGACUGAGAUAGAGAGCACUUGUUUUGAUAGACGAGACAACAGAUAUGAUUGAUGCAGUAAGAAAGAGAAGGAAUUGGAUACCAUUACCAUCACAGACUGAAAAGACAAGACAUAACAAACCAAAACAUUCCAAGGCAAGAUGCUCAAGAACAACCAGUACCUGGCACGCCCUGGAAUAGCCCAAGCCUCUGAUUCUGCAUUCUCCAAUUCAGCUUUUAUUUAGGUAAACCUUGGUUUUGGUCUUAGUUUUCUUGUCAGUCAUUUCAGCAGUUAACUUUCCCUUCUCACAAAGUUAUCAUCUGAGGUAAACAUCUAGUUCCUAAAUUUUGAAAAUAUGUAGGAAACUCCUUUGUAUAUUUAUGUGACCAGAGUAACAUAAUAAAAUGCAGGAGCUAAAAAUAUUUCUAACUGCAAAAUAACAAGUAAUUUUUUCUGAUUAAAAAAAGGUUUAACAUAAUGCAUAUACUAAAAUACUUUUGGUUCUUUUAUGAAUACAAGGAAAAAUACCAUUGCCUCUUCUAUUCUUAUCAGAUUAGCAGUAAACCUUUAUUUCCAUCUAGCCUUCCUUUAAAUACUUAAGGAGAGAAUUUAUAUUUCAGUUUAACAGACAAACUUUAGACUACAACAAAUAGAUGAGUACGCGCAAUUCAAUUCAAUCAACAGAACAGGAUUGCAUAGAUGGAACCAUAUGGAAAGUUGCUCAAGAUAUGAGCACAAAGGCAUGCAAAAGAAGAACUUUCACAAGUAAACACUCAACGUAGAAAACCAAUACUUUAAGGUGGCCAUACCUCUACCCAUAGACAUAAUCCUGUGGAGACAACACCAGUAUAAAUUGCAGGUACCCAUGGGAAUGCUACCAUCCAAUCCGCAAAUUUUGCCCAUGUCCAGGAUGAUGGGUUUAAUGCUUGAGUGCCACCAGAACAAACUCCAAGGACAUACCAGAGUGUUGAUAAAAAAGCAACCACACAUACCUAAAGGAAAAAAUGUCCCAAUAAUUCAUGUAAACUGAAAAUACAAAGCCAACGGAUUGAGGUGGCACUGAGAGUAAUUCAAUUCCUUCUAAACUAACCUCAUAUCCGAGGAGAGGUAAGAGGUUCUCUUUGGUAGUAGCUCUAGAAAUAUGUUCUGUUCUUAGCAUGUGAACCCCAAAAAAUACGGCACUUAAGAAAUUCAACAAGUCCCCAACCUGAAAGGUCACACCAAACUGGUGAGUACUCUUGCAUGUCUGUCUUCUGUCGAAUGACAAAUAAUGGUUUCCAGUAAACAUAUUCACUUGAGAAGUCAAAGUUAACCUCUUCACACUUGCAUGUAAAAAUUUUGAGGAAGCAAAUAAACCAGGAAAUGUAGAAGACACUUACACAAGGAGGUGAGCCACUGGAUUCUAGCAUUCCAACUCCUACUAUAGACAUGAGGGCUCCAAACCAAGUACGUGCAGGGAUCUUCGAUCCUAGGAUACCAUCAAGCAAAGGAACCACAAUCACCUGAAGAAUUGUACCAAAAUUUUGGAAUGCUGGCUUAUAUAUCUAUCAGUGUCAAAAUAAAAUGGCAAAAAAUUUGUGAAUUGAAUGAGAUCCUUGCAUAUUUUCUUACAGUGAACAUUGUGAGGAAAGAUGCCCGUCCUGCACCCGAUGUCUGCAAUCCAAGGGCUUGCAUAAGGUAGCCAAGGCUGACCCAAAAUCCCAAUUCUAUCCCAGCAUUCCGGGUUUGAACAUCAUCUCUUGCUUUCAAAACAAAUGGCGAAAAUGCAAUUGCAGACAAAACAAAUCUGACAAUAGUGAAUGUGCCAGGAUCAAUAAAUGCUUCCACUUCUUUCACUAUAGGAAUAUUGCUAGCUGCACAAAAGAAAUGAUGAUAUUAGUUAAGCACAAUACCAAAGGCCACAAAAGAACUAUUUGCUACACAACAAAUUUUGGCCUCAUUUGUCAGCCUCAGAAAAACUAUGAAAAAGCAAGCAUCAUAGAUUCAUAAGGCUUGCAAAGAAUUAGAGAAUGCAUUUGCAUACUAUGAUCCCAGCCAUUCGCAAGCCAUUAAGAAAUGUUUCUAGAACAGUCAGAGCUCUUUCUCAUCACAUAGGAUUGAAGAGAAUCUCUACAGUGUAUUUAUCAUAUACAAGUGACGCGAAAUUCAGGAAAGUUUACAUAAAUGAAGACAUGUUUAUGUAAUUAGCUUUCUGUAACGCGAAAUGAUACAAUUGAAGAUCUCAAAGUAACAUGGUAAACAGUCGAAAUGAAAACUCAACUAGAAAAAAAAUUCUUUCUCAACCAAAGUUUGAUUCAACAUGUCCCGUGAUUUUCUGAAAUAUCUCGAUGUGACUCCUCUUGAUGCUCUCAAAUGUCAUCAUUAGCUCAAAAAUGAGCUCCACUUAAAGAUUUCCAUCCUACGUUAUAUACAUUCUCCCUUUAACAAGUUCAAAUAAGAAUCUAGAAUUACUUCAAGAAAAGCAUAAUAACGACUAGGAAUCUUGGCCUAUCACUCUGUGUAUGGAGAUCAGUCAUCCUUUCUACGACUACAUCCACCUCAUAGAUCAUCAAACUCAAAUCAAGAUUACAUUUUUCCUUUUUUCUUUUACUAGUAUUUUUCCUUGAACCGACACAACCUACCAAUUUCUCCUGACUCAUAAGCACAAUAUCAUAUUUUUGCAUCAUAGUAGUUAAUUCAUUACCUUAAAAAUUAGAGUAAACCUUUCCUAUGGAUAGUGUAUAUACUAUCAUCUUUGCAUUCAUGACAUGUGGCUAAAAAUUAAAUUUUAAAUUUAAAUUCAUCUAAUAAUAAUGCUGAUAAUGUAUAUACUAAAGAUUAAUUCUAAAAAUUAACCGUUAAAACUAGAAAAGAUUUUCAGAAAAGUUUUGAAGAAAAAACUGACCGUAAAUUAUUGUGAUGGCAUUGAGCAAGAGAAUGCUCCUCACUUUCUCCGAUGCGAAUAAAAUCUUUCUCCAUAGCGCUUUCCGUUCAAAGCUUCGACUUUCCGGCAAACUAACGCCUUUUUUAGAUAAGUCGGGCUCCUUUUCACUAUUUGAGAAAUCGCCAUCUCGUAAUUUAACUAAGAAUUUCGGCUCGCGUGAUUGUUUCUGUUUAACGCUUGUUCCAUGCGACGUCGUAGUAAGUUUGUUAUCCGUCGGACCGGAACUACUACGGUGGCAAGUGAAAGAAGAAAAGAGGUGAAAACGACGUCGGAUCGGGGAAUAGUAGUGACCGAGCUUGAUUGCUGCAGCAGAGGUGCAGUGAAACGGACAUGAAGGUGCAGCCAUGGUAGAAUGGGGUGCAGCCGCAGGUGAACACAGACAGAUUUCUCCAUGUCUUAUUUUUUUUGUAUACUUAAAUUUGGAGAACUUGAGGGGAAAUUGGACCAGUGAUGUACUGACGCGUGUACAUUUGUUUUGGGAUGCAGAGUGUGGAACUUUACGUGGCGAGUGUUGAUUGGCUUGUUGUAGGGUCGGCAGUAGGUACAGAAGAAGACGGAAAUGGUAGGAUAGACGUCAAAGAAGCCUGUGUCAAUCUAAAGAUUGAGAGGUUUCGUUCUCCUUAGUGUCUCAACGUUGUCCAAGCGCAUGACGUUGAACUUCAAGAUCAGGAUAUCUUUGUUUGUACUUCAAGAUUAAUUUUCCGUAAACACAUUUUUUCCUUAAUUUUUUUUAUAUAUCAAAUCGUUAUAUUAUAUUUUUUUUUUUAGAAAAAAAAGCUUAUGAAAAUACCAAUUCAAGCGGACUCUUAAUUUCUUAUAUAUUGUCUGUGUGAUAUUUAGAAAUGCAAACUAAUCAUAAGGAAUAGCAUCAAACUAAAUAAGUAAAUAAACGUGAGCGUGUAUAUUGUAUAAUUAAAAAUAUCAAAUUGUGUGUUAUUAACAAAUGCUAUCGGAGCUCUCAAAAUAAUCUCGAAGUGGAAAAAAAAAAAUUUAGCAUAUGACUUUAUUCUUUUGAGAUAAAUUAGGGUGAGGGGAAAUGAAGUAAAAAUUGCAAUUAUGUAUGAAAUUUCGAUGUAAAGUGGUAAUCAUAAGCCACAUUUUGCACACCCAUAUUCUAUUGCUCUCUAUGUAUCUGUCACGCUAGGUACAUAUUGUAUUUCGAUAGAGUUGAUAUUACAUUUUAAACUACUCGUGUAACAAAAAUUUUACAUUCUCACCGUAUAAGAAGUUUUUUUUGGAGUGAGUAAUUUCUUUUUUCUUUUUUUAAUUAAACCGGAUUGAUUAAUACUAAGUUCACAAUUCCUCUAUUGCAAGAAAAAAUGCUUUAAAGGGAUUCAACAUGAGAUUGGUUUGUUACCUCCCAAAAAAAAAAAACAAAAAAAAAACCAAAAAAGGGAGAGAGAGAGAGGCAUGAGUUUGGUUUGUGGAAUGUCCAACUUGAACGUGGUUCGGGCGACACACCCUGAUAUAGCAACGCUUAUGGAAGUUGUAACUCAUUAAACCAUAUCAGGCCUGUCAACGGGUCGGGUCUAGACCCGGAUCCGAACCGGAUCCGUGAAAUUAUUGCGGGUAUGGGUAGGGAUUUAAUUCCGUUUCUCGAAUCCGAAUUCGGGUCCGUUUUGUCAAAUAAAAAAACGGGUCGGAUACGGAAUAUAGUAUUCCGGCCCGUAUUAGACCCGGAUCCGGAUAUAAAUGAAUUAAUAAUUUAAAAAAUAUAUAUUUAUCAAUAUAAUUUGAUUAGGGUGAUGUAUUUUAAUAAAGUUAAUUUGAUUUCUUUUCUUAUUUGAUUUUUUCUUUGCAUUAGUUAGAAAUUAGUUUACUAGUAUAUUUUUUUCUCAUUUUUAUUAGAAAUUUAAAAAUUUGGUAAAUUUGUUCGGGUAGACCCGGAUCCGGAUUCGGGACCGCCGGAUCCAGAUCCGAAACGUAGAAUAAAAGACCCGUCGGGUAAACGGAUCGGAUCGGGUCCGGCAGAGUAAUUCAGGUCCGGGUUCGGAAUAAUGAAUUUCGACCCGGACCCGACCCGUUGACAGCCCUAACCAUAUGGCAUUCAAUCUGGGCUUAAGUCUCUUCUUACCCGUUCUCUUGAGUUUGUAACGUUGUCCAUUGGUGCCCAAUUGACAUCUAAGUGUUGUUUUUGGGCCCAUUUAUCGCAUAUUUUGAACCAUUUCAUUUACUUCCCUUAUCAAUAAAUGCUUCCCCUAUUAAUAAAUGGGUUAAAUUACCUUUGACAAUUCCUUCCAAAAAUAAAAGUUCCAAGAAAAUUUUUCUUGGAACUUCACAUCUCUCUAUAUAAUGCAUGAGCAAUGAAAUUGGUGUUAAAAAAAUCUGUCAUUAUUUGUUAUUCCAAUUUUACCCUUACAUAAUAGAAUAAUAUACGACCACCUCAUGUUUCAAAUUCAUGUUUACAUAUUUAUCCCAAAGUCUUCCUCCCAACUUCAUUGAAAAAAAAAAGUAGAAAAAAUCUCAUAAUAUAUUUUUUCCAUUAUUUGUUUUCCCUUGUAUCAUGCACAGCCGUAGGUAUGCCUCGCCCACUAGGAUUAAUAAUAUCUUAUCACAAUUUUUUUUUUCGGCAACGAUAACAACUGGAUAAUCUAUUCUAUCCUAAUCUAUAGGGAGGGGAAGUGUAAGGAGACUUGUGUAUUAGAGACUAAUAGAUAUGCAAAGCUAACUAUACCAAAGGAGUGCUAUAAGACCAUCCAUGAAUUUUUUUUGUUGUAGUGAACCCCCCACAUACAGACCAAAGAGGACUUAAAUCCCUUCCUGGUGGCCACUGAGCUAAGCUCCGUGGUUAUCUUAUCACAAUUCAAUUGCUAAGAUCAUCAAUCUAACUUCUUCUUCUUAGUCGUGUCUCAUUAGUCGUAGCUGUUAUGAAAACCAAGUCGCUGGCUAAGAUUAAAUCCGCUGCAAGGAAGUCCAUACGAAAAUUGUGGAGCAAUUUAGGAGUCAUAAUUUCGAGUCUUAUGCUCUCACUUCUUUACGCUAAUUAGCCUUUUCUAACCUGUUCACGUCAGUCAAAGCAUGAGAAUAAUUCCAUUUAAGGUUCGUACAGACGAUAGACAUCAGGCUUAGCAUGGGACUAUUUGCACUCAAUGUCCAAUUCAUGCAUUUGAGGUACAAUGAUUUUAUGGACGAGGAGAAACAAGGAUACUGAAAUGAUCGUUGGGUGGACAUCGAAAUUCGUUAUUCAUUUUCUGGUUUGCCCAUUAUUUACUUUCUCAUCCCGCAAAACUGUUUAAUGUAACAACAUUUAUACUACUUUGAGUUGCAAAAACUCUCUUCCUUCUCUCUUAAAAAAACUCUCUAGCCAAAAUAUUCUCCAGCUUUCCCAUGAAGAAAAAUCUAGCCAAAACGUCUUCCAACCCUUUCAUGGGAGAGAGAUUAGAUCUUUCUUCUGAUAUUUCCCCAUGAAAGGAGCCUCUCUCUAGUUUUAUUUUUGUUUGUGUCAAUAAAGUCUCUCCUAAGAUUUUUUACCAAGAGUUUCUUCUCUCUUGGACUUCGUUUGGGAGUGGAGGAUUUGGACAAAAAAGAAAGGGAAAAAAGAGAAAGUUAAGUUUUCGUUCAUUUGUUGGUUUUUAGUAGGAAAGAAAAGAAAGAAAAUGGAAGGAUUUAAAAGAAUGAAUGGUAGCCAAAAUUUUUCCUCCCAAAUUGGAAAAUAAAUGGGAAGAAAGUUUGAUGAUCCUUGUCAAUUUUUUUAAAAUGCCUAUUUUGUCCUUAAAAAGGUCUUCAACAAAUUUUUAAUGACUUUCAUAUCCAAAAUCUUUCUACUAAUUCUCAAAACUCCUAAACAACAUAACAAUCUCUUUUCUUCUCUUCUCUCAUAACUUAGUUUUCCCUUCUUUUCUUUUCUAUCCUAAACUCCCAAACUAAGCCUUAGGGUUAGCGAGUGAGAGUUCUCUUCUCUCCUAAACUUUUUUAGUAAGAAUUUUAUUCUCUUUUAAGUUAGGUAGUUUUUCAUUUUUUUUUUUCUAUUGUUAGAUUUGACGUUUUUUUUUUUUAGAUUUUGAUUGUCAAAUCUAAAAUUUCUUAGGUCUAUUCGGCAAAUCUCACCAUAAUAUUUGAAUUUGAAAUAGCUAAUCAGUAGAUUUGACGAUUAAAAACAUACACACUUGUUCAUGGGGCCACAAUUAUUUUAUCUUAAUUUUUAUUUGUUUUUCAUAUUUGUAAUAUCCAUUCUUUGAUAUCCAUGUAUUAUCAUAUCUGUUUUUUUGACAUCUAUAUAUGAUUGUAUACGAUUGAUGAUGCAACUUCUGCCACUAAUUAAUCCAAAUUUUAAUGAAAUUAUAAUGUUUUAUCAAAAAAAAAAAAAAAAUUAAACACAUCUAUGGAAUUGCACAUUCAAAUGAGAAAGUCUGGUUCCAUGAAUAUGAAUCUCAGGAUAACCAAACACAUUUACUCCUGCUUGCUAAACUUAAAAAUCAAGGUUAAUUUUUAUCUUUCACGUAAAAUUAUUUCACUAUUAGAAUUGUACAUUCAAAUCUGUUCGUCAUUGGCAUCAUUAUUUUGCACAAUUAAUUUAGUUCGCCAAUGGAAUCACUUAUUUUCCUUUUGUUAUGAAGCAAAUUAUAUUCAGCAAAAUAAUAUUAUAAAGGGCCGACAUCAGAACUAGGAAAAAGCGUAGGGAUAAGGUUAAGUUAGCUAGACGGAUCCUACGUAGAGCGCAACUGUUCAAUUCAAUGGCAAGUAUGCCAUUUCAUAGCAUGGCCAUCAUCUACGCAGAGCGGAACAUCAGUUGAUCAGAUCGAAAGUACAUAUAUUCCAAUUUGUUGAUGCCUGUAUUUGUCUAUUUGUGUUACAUAGUUAGUUGAAUGGUCAUAUCUCCAUCUAGUGCGGCUAUACUAAAACAUUCUCUUGCGCAUGCAGCAACAAAACUGUUGUGCAUCCUGGGUCAGGUGUGAUAAUACAAGCUCAAGCCACAAGCCUCACUUCUUUAAUAAGGUACGGGAAUCAUUUCUAGAAUUGACAAGAACUGGACGGGUAGACAACUUGUUUUCCUUAUCUGGUGCAUCGCCGCUUUUCUCGAUGCUUCUUUCAUCUUUUUGCGAUGUAGUGGAAGACGAUGCUCCUUGUAUCUGUACUGUUAAGCUUCCACCUAAAAUUGAACGGUAUAGAUAUGGUAAGCAUCUUCGCAGCAAAUGUUUUGGAGCACUAUAGCAGCACAGAUACCUUGAUGGCUAGACAGCCUAAGUUAUAAUGUAAUAUGCAGGUUGAAACAUUGUUAAAAACUUGUCCUCCUUUCAUCAAGUAGUUAUUUGGCUAGAAGUCAAUUAAUUAAGUCAAUUGACUACAUGUUUCUACCAUGCACGGUUGGAUUUUAGAAAUCAUAUAACAGAUUGAAGAUGUCUCAUACCUAGAACAAGAGCAGCUCCAAUCCAUCCAUUGACACCCCAUCUCUCUCCAAGAAAAAACCAUGCAAAUGCAGCACCCCAGACCGGCUGCAACCCAUAGAUUAUUGCGGUUUCUGUGGCUGAAACAUCUCGCAUGGCCGCUAUCUGUAUUAUAAUACUAGGUGAUUAGAUCAAGACUUGCUAGCAAAACCUGCUUAGAGAAUAAGCAUAUAUUGGUUAAGUCUUGGUUUCAAGUACUUAUUUAUUGAAAUGAAUAAAAAGCUAAAUUUUCCAACUGUAGGUCAUGAUCAAGGUCUAUUCUUUAAAAUGAAAUGCAUCUCAAACACUUCAGACAGUCAAACUAAAUUCCGUACCUAUUAGUAUUAUCUAAUAUUGCAGCAGAAAUCAUGUAGCGAAUUAUUCUGAUGUCUAACAAUUAGAAUUGUAACACGAAUUGUGGAAUGGAAGUGCUAGAAGAGAAUCACUAGUUUCUCAUCAUGGGAAGUAACAUCUUAUUAGCCAGGUAGUUUGAAUCAUCUACUCUUGGACUGAAACAGAGAGCACUUGUUUUCAUUGGCGAGACAACAGAUAUGAUUGAUGAAGUAAGAAAGAGAAGGAAUAGGAUGCCAUCCCCAUCACAGACUGAAAAGACAAGACAUAACAAACCGAACAAGUUACCAACCUUUUUUAACAUUCCAGGGCAAGAUGCUCAAGAACGACCAGUAACUUGGCAUGCCCUGGAAUAGCCCAAGCCUCUGAUUCUGCACUCUCCAAUUCAGCUUUUAUAUAGGUAAACCUUGGUUUUGGUCUUAGUUUUCUUGUCAGUCAUUUCAGCAGUUAACUUCCCCUUCUCACAAAAUCAUCAUCUGAGGUAAACAUCUAGUUCCUAAAUUUUGAAAAUUUGCAGGAAACUCCCUUGUAUAUUUAUGUGACCAGAGUAACAUAAUAAAGUGCAGGAGCUAAAAAUAUUUCUAACUGCAACAUAACAAGUAAUUUUAUCUGAUUAAAAAAAGUUUUAACAUAAUGCAUAUACUAAAAUACUUUUGGUUCUUUUAUGAAUACAAGGAAAAAUACCAUUGCCUCUUCUAUUCUUAUCAGAUUAGCAGUAAACCUUUAUUUCCAUCUAGCCUUCCUUUAAAUACUUAAGGAGAGAAUUUAUAUUUCAGUUUAACAGACAAACUUUAGACUACAACAAAUAGAUGAGUACGCGCAAUUCAAUUCAAUCAACAGAACAGGAUUGCAUAGAUGGAACCAUAUGGAAAGUUGCUCAAGAUAUGAGCACAAAGGCAUUCAAAAGAAGAACUUUCACAAGUAAACACUCAAGGUAGAAAACCAAUACUUUAAGGUGGCCAUACCUCUACCCAUAGACAUAAUCCUGUGGAGACCACACCAGUAUAAAUUGCAGGUACCCAUGGGAAUUCUACCAUCCAAUCCGCAAAUUUUGCCCAUGUCCAGGAUGAUGGAUUUAAUGCUUGAGUGCCACCAGAACAAACUCCAAGGACAUACCAGAGUGUUGAUAAAAAAGCAACCACACAUACCUAAAGGAAAAAAUGUCCCAAUAAUUCAUGUAAACUGAAAAUACAAAGCCAACAGAUUGAGGUGGCACUGAGAGUAAUUCAAUUCCUUCUAAACUAACCUCAUAUCCGAGGAGAGGUAAGAGGUUCUCUUUGGUAGUAGCUCUAGAAAUAUGUUCUGUUCUUAGCAUGUGAACCCCAAAAAAUACGGCACUUAAGAAAUUCAACAAGUCCCCAACCUGAAAGGUCACACUAAACUAGUGAGUACUCUUGCAUGUCUGUCUUCUGUUGAAUGACAAACAAUGGUUUCCAGUAAACAUAUUCACUUGAGAAGUCAAAGUUAACCUCUUCACACUCGCAUGUAAUAAUUUUGAGGAAGCAAAUAAACCAGGAAAUGUAGAAGACACUUACACAAGGAGGUGAGCCACUGGAUUCUAGCAUUCCAACUCCUACUAUAGACAUGAGGGCUCCAAACCAAGUACGUGCAGGGAUCUUCGAUCCUAGGAUACCAGCAAGCAAAGGAACCACAAUCACCUGAAGAAUUGUACCAAAAUUUUGGAAUGCUGGCUUAUAUGUGUAUCAGUGUAAAAUAAAAUGGCAAAAAAUUUGUGAAUUGAACGAGAUCCUUGCAUAUUUUCUUACAGUGAACAUUGUGAGAAAAGAUGCCCGUCCUGCAUCGGACGUCUGCAAUCCAAGUGCUUGCAUAAGGUAGGCGAGGCUGACCCAAAAUCCCAAUUCUAUCCCAGCAUUCCGAGUUUGAACAUCAUCUCUUGCUUUCAAAACAAAUGGCGAAAAUGCGAUUGCAGACAAAACAAAUCUGACAAUAGUGAAUGCUUCAGGAUCAAUAAAUGCUUCCACUUCUUUCACUAUAGGAAUAUUGCUAGCUGCAAAAAGAAAUGAUGAUAUUAGUUAAGCACAAUACCGAAGGCCACAAAAGAACUAUGUUGCUACACAACAAAUUUUGGCCUCAUAUGUCAGCCUCAGAAAAACUAUGAAAAAGCAAGCAUCAUAGAUUCAUAAGGCUUGCAAAGAAUUAGAGAAUGCAUAUGCAUACUAUGAUCCCAGCCAUUCGCAAGCCAUUAAGAAAAGUUUCUAGACCAGUUAGAGCUCUUUCCCAUCACAUAGGAUUGAAGAGAAUCUCUACAGUGUAUUUACCAUAUACAAGUGACACAAAAUUCGGGAAAGAUUACAUAAAUGAAGAUAUGUUUAUGUAAUUAGCUUUCUGUUACGCCAAAUGAUACAAUUGAAGAUCUCAAAGUGACAUGGUAAACAGCCAAAAUGAAAGCUCAACUAGAAAAACAUUCUUUCUCAACCAAAGUUUGAUUCAACAUGUCCCGUGAUUUUCUGAAAUAUCUCGAUGUGACUCCUCUUGAUGCUCUCAAAUGUCAUCAUGAGCUAAAAAAUGAGCUCCACUCAAAGAUUUCCAUCCUACGUUUUAUACAUUCUUCCUUUAACAAGUUCAAAUAAGAAUCUAGAAUUACUUCAAGAAAAGCAUAAUAACGACUAGGAAUCUUGGCCUAUCACUCUGUGUAUGGAGAUCAGUCAUCCUUUCUCCGACAACAUCCACCUCAUAGAUAAUCAAGAUUACAUUUUUCCUUUUUUCUUUUACUAGUAUUUUUCCUUGAACCGACACAACCUACCAAUUUCUCCUGACUAAUAAGCACGAUAUCACAUUUUUGCAUCAUAGUAGUUAAUUCAUUACCUUAAAAAUUAAUCGUUAAAACUAGAAAAGAUUUUCAGAAAAGUUUUCAAUAACAAACUGACCGUAAAUUAUUGUGACGACAUUGAGCAAGAGAAUGCCCCUCACUUUCUUCGAUGCGAAUAAAAUCUUUCUCCAUAGCGCUUUCCGUUCAAAGCUUCGACUUUCCGGUAAACCAACGCUUUUUUCAGAUAAGUCGGGCGCCUUUUCACUAUUUGAGGAAUCGCUAUCUCGAAAUUUAACUAAGAAUUUCGGCUCGCGUGAUUGUUUCUGCUUAAUGUUUGUUCCAUGCGACGUCGAAGCAAGUUUGUUAUUCGUCGGACCGGAACUACUAUGGUGGCAAGUGAAAGAAGAAGAGAGGUGAAAACGACGCCGGUUGGGGAAAUAGUAGUGAGCGAGCGUGAUUGCUGCGGCAGAGCUGCAGCGAAACGGAGAUGAAGGUGCAGCCAUGGUACAAUGGGGUGCAGCCGCAGCCGCAGCCGAACACAGACAGAUUUCUCCUUGUCUAAUUUUUUUGUAUAUUUAAAUUUGGGGAACUGGGGAGGAAAUUGGACAAGUGGUUUACUGACGCGUGUACGAUUUUUGGACUGGGAUGGGGAGGGUGGAAUGAAAAUAGAGCCGUCUGCAUUACGUGUCGGUUGUUGAUUGGCUGGUUCUGUGCUCCGGCGUAGGUACAGAAGAAGAAGAAAAUGGUUGGACAGAGAUCAAAGAAGCCUGCGUCAAUCUAAAAGAUUGAGUGGCUUCGUUCUCCUUAGUAGUUAGUAUCACAACGCUGUCCACGUACAGGACGUUGAACCUCAAGAUUAGGAUAUCUUUGUUUGAACUUCCAUAAGCACAUUUCUUUCUUAUUAUCUUUUCUUCGUAUAUCAUUAUAUUAUAUUUUUUUAUCAAAAUAAAAAGGCUUCAGAAAAUAACAAUCAAAACGGCCUCUUAACUGCUUAUAUAUUAUUGUUUGUGUGAUAUUUGGAAAUGCGAAAUAAUCAUAAGAAAUCGCAUCAAACUAAAUAAGUUAAUAAACGUGAGCGCGUAUAUUGUAUAAUUAAAAAUAUCAAAUUGUGUUUAAUAACAAAUGCUGUCGGAGCUCUCAAAUUAAUCUCGAAGUAAAACAAGUUUAGUAUAUGACUGUAUUCUUUUGAGAUAAACUAGGGUAAAGGGAAUUGAAGUAAAAAUUGUGAUAAUAUAUGAAAUUUCGAUAUAAAGUGGUAAGGGAAAUUUGUCAAAUUGGUCCCUAACAUUUACCAAAAACACUUUUUUAGUCAUUUACAUAUAAAAUCAGCCAAAAUGGUCCUUCACAUUUAAAUUGUGAGCCAAUGUGGUCCUAUUGCUCGUUUUUGCUCAUUUUUCCGGCUAAAAAUAGCACGCCUCUCUCACGUGAUCAUAUUUUUAGGGGCAAAACCGGAAACACAUUUCAUUACCUGUUAAAAGUAAAAGGUGUAGACAACCACCAAAAUACACAUUUCACCUUUGGCCCUCAAAGUUUCAAGAAACCCUAAAUUGCAUCCCCGAAUGGUGGCGAAAAUUAUUUUGUAAUUCUCCUGUAUAAGUGAUGUGCUUGAUGAAUCCAUAGAUCUGGUUCUUGUUUAUUUAUAUCCGAAAGUCCUAACCUUUCCAUUCUAAGUGAGAGUCUAACAAGUCCAGGACAUUUGUGCAACAUCGAUCCCACGAAUCCAAUUUGGGCCUUAGCUGGAACCCUAAGCCUCAGCUCCUCCGCCGCCCGCCAAAGCCGCUUACUUGUGUCCCUCCAUCCUUUGCAAACCCUGGCCGCCGACAACAGUGUUGGAGGCGGGAGCCUCCUCAACACCUCCCACAGACAACUCAUCGGCAGCUUCCCGGACCCGGCAAGAUCCGAUUCGGGGCUCCAGCUCGAGAAGCUCCUCCUCAUCUUCCUGGUGCUCUUCCUCAUCCUCUCCCUCGUCUUGCGAGUCCCUCGCAUCAAUAUCAUCGUCGAAGGAGAGAGCUCGCCGGAGGUUGGAGAAAUGUUGGCGAUGAGGAGGGGGAGGGGGAGGACGGACAAUGGAGAGAGGAGAAGGGAUAGCGAGGGAGGAGGUGGCUGAGUCAGUUGAGGGCGUGGCGGUGGGAUGCAAUUUAGGGUUUCUUGAAACUUUGAGGGCCAAAGGUGAAAUGUGUAUUUUGGUGGUUGUCCACACCUUUUACUUUUAACAGGUAAUGAAAUGUGUUUCCGGUUUUGCCCCUAAAAAUAUGACCACGUGAGAGAGGCGUGCUAUUUUUAGCCGGAGAAAUGAGCAAAAACGAGCAAUAGGACCACAUUGGCUCACAAUUUAAAUGUGAAGGACCAUUUUGGCUGAUUUUAUAUGUAAAGGACUAAAAAAGUGUUUUUGGUAAAUGUUAGGGACCAAUUUGGCAAAUUUCCCAAGUGGUAAUCAUCAACUACAUUUUGCACGCCCAUAUUCAACUUCUCUAUAUAUUUGUGAUGCUAGGUACAUAUUGUACUGAGCAAAUUGCGGGAAAUGCUGCUAAAUUAUUGCGAGGUGUCGAUUUUGGCCACUAAACUUUUUUAUUAGUCAAAAAUGUCACUGAACUAAUAAAUAUGUGUCGUUUUGAUCACUCUACGUACUAAUGCCGUUGGAAGAGAUGGAAAGUAACUUUUUGUUGAGAGGCAAUUUCGUCUGCACAACCUUUUCCUUGAACCUCUCUAACUUAAAUCCUCUCCCUCCAAUUCUGUCGGUCUCUCACCUCCUGGCUCCAUCUCCCUUUUCCCCCAUCCCAACAUUAUACUAUUAUAUAAAUUUCUAUUCUACUACUAUUGCUGCUACGAAAAUCUUCCCCCCUCAUCUUCCCCCUUCUCGUCCCCGGAGAAAAGGGGGGAAAAAACUUCUCCCUCCUCCUACUACAUUUUCAAUUUACUCCCAUCCAAAAGUUAAAAAAAAAAAAAACAAAAAAUGAGGGAAAUCUUGCACAUUCAAGGAGGUCAAUGUGAGAAUCAAAUUGGUUCCAAAUUCUGGGAAGUAAUCUGCGACGAGCACGAGGUUGAUCCAAUCGGCCAUUACAGGGGAUAUGGCUCCAAUGUUCUUCAACUGGAACGCAUCAAUGUCUAUUUCAAUGAGGCUUCCGGUGGCCGUUAUGCUCCUUGGGCUGUCCUCAUGGAUCUCGAGCCGGCACCAUGAACAGCAUCAGAUUUGGCCCUUAUGGCCAGAUCUUCGGCCCCAACAACUUCGUCUUUGGUCAGUCUGGUGCCGAUAACAACUGGACUAAGGGACAUUACACUGAGGGUGCUGACUUGAUCAAUGCCAUUCUCAACGUCGUGCGUAAAGAAGCCGAAAAUGGUGACUGCUUGCAAGGUUUCUUUAUUAUUACAUUGACCCUAGAGGGGAUUUGAACCAUGGACUGGUAGAACUUCAAACGGAUGGAAAUAUUAGACAAUUUUGUAGUUGGAUUUAUGAGUACAAGUUGAUGGAAGUAUACUGUCAUCAUAUAACGGUUGAGGAAAUAUAUAACUUGCAGAAGAAUAAACAACUGGAAGAGUCCUCACAGAGAAAGAGUUCAGUUGUAAUAUAGAAGAUCUCGGAUGAUGGUGAAAUUUUUACACAACAGACUACAACACCUCAUAUUGAACUUACACCUCAUAUUGAACUUGUGAGUUGUCAGAUACAUUUGAGAGAAUUUAUGUUGGAGAGCUUCAAGGAAAAGGUUGUGUAGAUGAAAUUGUCCCUCAAAAAGUUACUUUCUGUCUCUCCUAAAGGCAUAAGUACAUGGAGUGACCAAAACGGUAUAGAUUUACUAGUUCAGUGAUAUUUUUUGCUAAUAAAAUAAUUUAAUAACCAAAAUCGUCACCUUGCAAUACUUUAGUGAUAUUUCGCGCAAUUUGCUCUAUUGUAUUUCAAUAGAGCUGAUAUUACAUUUUAAACUACUCAUGUAAGAAAAAUUUUACAUUCUCACCAUAGAAGAAGUGUUUUUUUUUCUUGGAUUGAUUAAUUUCUUUUUUCUUUUUUUUAAUUAAACCAGAUUUAUUAAUACUGAAGGAUUUAAAUUUACAAUUCCUCUACUGCAAGAAAAAAUGCUUUAAAGGGAUUCAACAUGAGAUUGGUUUUUUACAACAACCCCCCUUCCCGCCCCCCAAAAAAAAGAAAAAACAAAAAAAAAGGGAGAGAGAGAGAGAUGAUUUUGGUUUGUAUGAUGUCCAAUUUGAACUUGGGUCGGGCCAAACACCCUGAUAUGGUAAGGUAUGUGGAAGUUGUAAGUCAGUAAACACUGGGCUCAAGUCUCUUCUUACCUGUUUUCUUGAGUUUAUAAUGUUGUCCAUUAUUGCCCAAUUGACAUCUAAGUGUUGUUUUUGGGCCCAUUUAUCACAAAUUUUGAACCAUCUCAUUUACUUCCCUCAUCAAUAAGUUUCCCCUAAUUUUCUUUAUCAACAAAUGCUUCCCCUAUUAAUAAAUGGGUUAAAUCAUUUUUGACAAUUCCUUCCAAAAAUAAAAGAAAAAAGAAAAAAUUUCUUCGAACUUCACAUCUUCCUAUAUAAUGCAUGAGUAAUGGAUUUAGUGUUAAAAAAAAUCUAUCGUUAUUUGUUAUUCUAAUUUUACCCUUACAUGAUAGAAUAAUAUACGAACGACAACUUCAUAUUUCAAGUUCAUGUUUAUAUAACUGCUAUACCGCAUUACCGCUCUACUACGAUUCUUAUCUACUACUGCGUUUACAUAACCACUACUCCUAUACCUAUCUACUAUUACUAUAUUUAUCUCAAUGUCUUCCUACCAACUUAAAUAAAAAAAUUUUCAUAAUAUAUUUUUUUUUCCAUUAUUUGUUUUCCCCAAUAAUAUGCACAGCUGUAGGGUGUGCCUCACCCACUAGUUUUAAUAAUAUCUAUCACAAUUCGAUUGCUAAGAUCAUCAAUCUAACUUCAUCUUUGUUUUUUUUCCCCCUCAAUCUAGCUUCUUCUGGUCGUGUCUCAUAAGUCAUAGCUGUUAUGAAAACCAGUUCGCUCGCUAGAUUAAAUCCGCUGUAAAGAAGUCCAUGCAACAAUUGUGGAGUAAUUUAGGAAUCAUAAUUUUGAGUCUUAUAUGCUCUCACUUCUUUACACUAAUUAGCCUUUUCUAACCUGUUCACGUCAGUCAAAGCAUGAGAAUAAUUCGACUUAAGGUUUGUAGAGGCGACAGACUUCAGGCUUAGCAUGCGAAUAAUUGCACUCGAAGUCCAAUUCAUGCAUUUGAGGUACAAUGAUUUCAUGGACGAGGAGAAGCAAGGAUACUGAAAUGAUCGUUGGGUGGACAACGAAAAUUCGUUAUUUAUUUUCUGGUUUGCCCGUUGUUUACAUUCUCAUCCUACAAAACUGAGUAAUGUAACAACAUUUAUUCUACUUAACAACAGGAGUUGCAAAGACUCUCUUCCUUCUCUCUUGAAAAACCUCUCUAGCCAAAAUGUUCUCCAGCUCUCCAUGAAGAAAAAUCUAGCCAAAACGUCUUCCAACCCUUUUAUGGGAGAGAAAUCCGAUCUUUCUUCUGAUAUUUCCCCUUGAGAGGAAUCUCUCUCUAGUUUGUUUUUGUUUGUGUCAAUAAAGUCUCUCCUAAGAUUUUCUACUGAGAGUUUAUUCUCUCUUAGGGUUAGUGAGUGAGAGUUUUUACUCUCCUAAACUUUUUCAGUAAGAAGUUUAUUCUCUUAUAAGUUAUGUACUUUUUUUUUUCUUUUUUUAGAUUUUGAUUGUCAAAUCUAAAAUUUCUUAGGUCUAUUUGAUAGAUCUCACCAUAAUAUCUGAAUUUGAAAUAACUAAUCAGUAGAUUUGACGAUUAAAAACAUGGACAAUUGUUGAUGGGGCUACUAUUAUUUUAUCUUAAUUUUUAUUUGUUCUUCAAAUUUGUAAUAUCCAUUCUUUUCAAAUCUAUUCUUUGAUAUCCAUGUAUUAUCAUAUCUUUUUUUUUUUUUGACAUCUAUAAAUGAUUGUAUACGAAUGAUGAUGCAACUUCUGCCACUAAUUAAUGCAAAUUUUAAUGAAAUUAUGAUGUUUUAUCAAAAAAAAAAAAAAAAUUAACCACAUCUAUGGUAUUGCACAUUCACAUAAGAAGUCUAGUUCCAUGAAUAUGAAUCUCAGGAUAACCAAACACAUUUACUCCUGCUUGCUAAACUUAAAAAUCAAGGUUAAUUUUCAUCUUUCACGUAAGAUUAUUUCUCUAUUGGAAUCGUAAAUUCAAAUCAGUUCGUCAUUGGCAUCAUUAUUUUGCACACUUAAUUUAGUUCGCCAAUGGAAUCAAUUAUUUUCUUUUUGUUACGGAGCAAAUUAUAUUCAGCAAAAUAAUAAAAUAACAAAGGGCCAAUAUCAGAACUAGGAAAAAGCGUAGGGAUAAGGUCAAGUUAGCCAGACGGAUCCUAGGGGAGUCCUAAUAUCAUCCGUCAAUUAACUUCCCCAGAGGACCAUGAAACAUUCUCCCGGUAUGGCAUUGCCAGCUUUAAGCAUAGUUGAACCAAAACAAUGAGGGCAACCGUGACCACAUUCAUUAAGACAAAUCCAUGGAAGCCUCUUCUCUUUAGCUAGUUGUCCUUGGCGUGAUAAAGUUAGCCUUCUAAAUAUCUUCUCAAUUAAUGCAUGGCUUGUUUUAAUAGAAAGAGGGAGGUAUCUAAUUAAAGACAUUAGAGUAAAUGGCAAAACCAUCACUCAACUAUUUAAAAUUACAUAUUUUGGUCACCUUUUUUUUUUUUGUCAAAAAGGUCACCAAAUUCUUAGAAGUGUACGUACAUUUUUUUGGUCAUUUUAUUGGAUUCUAGUGCUAAGAUGGUUGGAAAUAUAUCCAUGAGAGCAGUACCUUCAAAAUUUUCAAGAAUAAAAAUGUCUCACAAUUUGGCACGUAUUAAAAAAGAUUAAGGACCUCUUGAGUUUUCAAACUUUACUAAUUUUCUCUAGAUAUUGACCAAAAUUCCUAAGCAUUGUUAACUAUUACAAUCAUAAUCUAGAGAAAAUUAGUAAAAUUUAAAAAUUGAGAAGGCCCUUUAUCGUUUUUUAAUGCACGCUAUAAUUUGUGAGAUAUUUUUAUCAUUGAAAACCUAAGCAUACUGCUCCAGCUGUGAUUACAUUUCUAGCCGUCUUAACACUGAAAUUCGAUGGAGUAAUCAAAAAACAUAUACAUUUAUGAGUUCAGUGAAUUUUUCAGCUAAAAAAACGUUUGGCGAUUGAACAGUACAAUUUUAAAUAAUUGCAUCACCUUUUUUUUUGUCAUUUAUUCAAGAUAUUACAUUGACACCACGUUAUCUUGUGUAGUUGAUAAAAAUUUAAGUGAACUUAUGGCGAAGUAGGAUGAAUUUGUAUGGACUGGACCUUUUCGUGGCCAUUAUGGCUUUCUCAAUUGGUGAUAUGAACGUCAAUGAAUAUACAAUGAAGAUGUUGCUGGAUUUGAAUGUCAUGCCAAUAAAUUGUGAGCCAGCUAGCCAGCAAAGAUGGCAAUGACUUGGGUGGGUGGCUGCAAUAAAGAUUUGUUUCAUGUAAGCUGGCAAAUGGAAGGAUGAGGCUGUUGGGCCAAUAUCACAGUCUAAUUUACUCGCAUUUGUACACUCUGCCUUGCCAUCGUCUUCAAGCAAACAUUCAUUUCGUGGGAGAAACCAUUUUCUUGGCCCUGGCACAAAACAAGAGAUGCCCUACACAGCAUCUAUGAAUUCUCUCGCUCCUAGAAUCUUUUGAACUAUGUAAAACUUUUUGUAUCGAGAAAAAAACUUUCACUUCUCUAACUGUUUCUGGGGAUUUUUAGAUGAUUUUGGCUGAAAAAAACUCAUUCCAAAGAAGUUUCCUGUCUGCAUUUUAGAUCCCACCUUGAGAACAUGGAAAUUGUUGAAAAAUAUAAAAAGUUGUAACAUUGGAAGAACAAAACUAAGUAUUUUACCUGUUUCGCUUUUUGGAGACAGCAUGCAUAUCAAUGUUCACAUACACAGAUGAAGACGUAGAUUUAGUAUUUUAAUGCAACGUUUUUGAGAAAUAAGUACACCAACUGCUCUGAGUGAAAAAAUAGUUUAAAAAAGAAAUUGAAAGGUUGCUGUAAAUCCGGGGAAUACUGGAGUCUGCAUUUUCUUGAAUCAACUCUAGAAUGCCUGGCAAAUUAUCGAUGAUCCCAAAUGAUAGUGAAUUUCUAACAGAACAUAUGACCAAAGUUUCGACUGCCAAGCUCCUCCAUUCAAUACGAAAUUUGGGUUAAAUAUUGAAUUUGACAUGGAUUAUAUGUACCACAUUCUUAAGAUUUGAAUCACAUAAGCCACAUUAUUGAGAGAUUUGUUGCCUAUAGUUGAAUCAAAAUAUUCAUACGUGAUUAUUAAUCAAAUAACAUUGUAGUACUAAUAUUUGAGUAAGCAAGAAUCAUUAUAAAAUAAUAAUGAAGCUGGAAGCAAUUAAUAGACGUUGUGGUACAGCGUUCUAAGGCUUGAGAAUGCGUGUUGGCCCAGCAAGGACAGGCAUCCCCAUUGAUAAAAACGGAGCAUUUAAGUGAAAUAAAACAGAUAGGGACUUCUAGGAAUAAUCAAUCAGGAGCCCCCACCCCAGCUCAUAAUAAAGGCUCUGGACACAGAUCCAAACUAGGCACUUACUACACACUUACUCUCUCUUAGCCCUUAGGACAUCUCUAAUUCUUGUGGUUGACUCGAGAACAUGCUAGGUGAUGCUAUGGUCAAAAUCACUUUCCUCAAUUCGUUAUGAAAUUUAUGUCAAUCGUCAUUCAAGAAAAUCAUCGAGUAGUAUUAUGAUGGAGCUAUAACAUGAUAAACUGACUUGGGAUCUUUAGGUUUCACUCCCAGUGUAGGCGCAACGAAACUACCUCAAUACAAUAAUAGUGGUGCGGCAUGAGUACAUUGUUAUUAGUUAAGUAUACCCCUAAUUCCCAAGAAACAUACUUUGCCCAAAUUACAACAGAUGUAGCUUUGGUUUCCUUUUCCUUUUUGGGAAGUGAACCUAUUGAAAAAACAUGAUGUCAAAUGAAUAUCCAUGCAUGUGCCUGCCUGAACUUUUUCCAUGUUUUGUUUCAUCAUCCCUGUCUACCCUUUCUGGUUCUGAGAACUGAUGACUGAACCUAAUAAAAGGGGUAGCAGUGAAACUGUUCAGAGCUGAAAUUAUUCAGAUACCUGGGCCGUUUAGUCCUGAAGUUUAACUAAUAUCAAACAUCGUGACUAUAAAUGGAGAAGAAUCAGAAUGAUCCCUCAUUCCAUGCUCCACAAAAAUAUAACUGUGUUCAUCAGUUCUUUAGUACUUAAGGUCUUAUUAGCAUUCGAAGGUUUGCAGUACUGCCGUUGGCUUGCUGAGGGUUUUCUCAAUUAGUCACUGGUCACUAGCAUGUUUCAUGAUGACUGACUGAUCAUGAACCAUGAAUAUUGCUGGCAAAAGAAAUUGAAAAGAUCCAAAAGAAUAUGAAGUAGAUGAACAAAAGUAACUACAACAAUUAAUACAACGGACAGAAGUUUCAGCAGAAGGUACAGAAGGAGAAAUACCGAGAAGUAAACAAGAGCAUUGAUACCAUUGCCAGCCUAGCCCUCUUGCUUAUCAGCUCUUUUUUCUCAAAACUUGCCGGACUUUCCCCACUACCCCCUUAACACAUGACUGAAAAAGCUAAAAGCUUUGCUACCAUUAAUUCUAAUUCAGGAAACUAAAUAAUGACAAUAAUAGACUGAAACUUUUACAAUUAUUUCUUGACUGAAUAUUAAUGAAAAACUAACCCUUAGAAUCAAUUGUAGCAAAGCUCUCGCUUUUUUUUUUUUUGGUCACUAAUUGUGAAGAGGGUUCGGACCAGUAUGCACUAUUCUCUCAUCAUCUCCGUAUAUGAUAUCAGAGCUGGUGUUCUGAUGAUAUCUUCCAAGAUUUACAUUAUUUGUUCUUGAAGCUGCAUGGAAUGAUGAAGAUACCUUAUGGAAAAAACGUGCCUUUCUUGCUGGUGACCAAUGCGACGGAGCAAUGUCAUCAUUAUUCUCAGCUGAAGAAGAUAAACAAAACUGAGGAAAAAUUAGGAGUAAUCCAAGAAAGAAAGCUGCUGCUUUAGACGAAUCAUAUCUCUGUCUUCUUCUUGUUGUUCUUGCUGUUUCUGCUUCAAUGUUUGGAAGUUUCAUUGGAUAGCCUGCAGUGGGAUUUUUCACCUGGGAAUUUGGAUGUUUUUCUAGGUGAAUAUGACCAUUUGAAAGUUGUUGAGACUUGAGAGAUCUCUGACUGAAAUUUGGUAGUAUUAUGGAAGAAUUUAGAAACUUUUGACCCUUUUUAGUGCGUGGUGUGCGUGUUUGGGGGAGAAGAAAAAGAGAGGAAAAAGACAAGGUGAGAGAGUUCUAUGCUUCCUUAUCUUGUGCGUUUAGUCACAUGAUCUUGACCCUUGAUUCCUGGAACCUUCUUAUAUUUUCUCUUCUGAAUUCUGAAUCUUCGAACUCUGAACCCUCUUAGUUAAACACUAAAGUGCAAAGGGUUUUGGUGCUUAUGUGGUGAUUUCUUGAUGGAAAUGCAUAUGUUUGUGCUUGGAAGUUGUGGAGGGUGAUGGGACUGUCCAGUAUUAAUAGCCGUUGUCUGCGGACUAUUGCAACUUUUAAAUCUAUGAAAAGGGUGGGCUGCCUAUGUCAAACAGAGAUUUAGAUGUUUGAUUGUUGUUCUUAAGUUAAUGUUAUAGACAUCUUGGUCUUUCAUCUUUAGUUUAGUAUAACGUUAUCUCAUAAUUAAUUAAGGUAAUCUAUGCUUUCUGCGCAUAUGUGAGUGUGGAAUUGUGUUGGCUUCUGGUCUUGCUAAAUUAAUUUUUGUUUUCAGUGAGCCUAACAUAUAGUCACUAGUGAGCUAAUUUGCAUCUAAAACUAUCAUAACUUAAUCUGUCAAUCCACAAAACUCUGGUUUGACUAAUUCAAGAAGUGACCUACGUGUAGUUUCGAGUUUAAUUUAUCUUCAUUCAUAGUAUAGAUUACUUACUUCUUAGAUACAACUAGUAGUAGGAGGUUUGAAGCUGGCAAUUCUUAGAUACCUAUUCUAUUAGGUGAUUUAUAGUAACCAUCUAAAAGUUCUCUGGUCCAAUGACUUAAAACAUAGUAGAAGAGUAAUUAAACCAGGUCUAGGACUCUAUAUAGGGGGGAUAAAAACAAAAUAAAAUAGACUCUAAAUUCUUUUUUUUUUUUCCUUUUGUUUUCAAUUUAGAUAAGAGUUCAUGUGCACUGCAGUUUACACAAUUAGUUGGAGUUAAUCAACAAAAAUGUGGAUUUCUGGGAUAUGUUGUCUAGCUAGGUUUCAGCCUCAAGCUUUGCAUAUGGUGCAAAAGCUUUGAACACUUAUAAAUGCAAAAGCACAUCCAUGGAGUUAGAAUGUGUAUAUCAGAACUUAUUCAACCACCAGCCUUUGAGCUGGUGGCUAUCACCAGUGCAUUAAGACGUGGUGGGAGUGGGAGGCAAGGGUUUAAUUAAAUGUGGUCUUGGUUUAAAAAUUUAGACGGAUGCGUAGUGCACUCGUCUGAUCCGGUAGUGAUUCAGUCCCCUUCGGAUUACCCCAAAAUCUCUUCAGGUCCUCCCCCUCCCCAUAGUAUAGAAAGCUAUCGUAUCGAAAAAAAAAAAAGUAUAUCAGAACUUAUUCAUUGCGUACGAAUCACAUAUGUGAUAUAUAUAACCGGUAAAAAUUCAUGUGUAGCUCACAUUUAAAGCCUGUCUGUGCAAUAACUGUUGCACAAGGUACAAUCUCAUGAAGAGAUAAAAGAUUACAUGGAUUACAUAGUACCUAGUACAAUGUGGAAUUAAAUGAAAGAUGUUCCUGGAUUAAAAACAAUCAACUAAUAUGGUUGCGGAAAUUUAAAAUCAGAAUUGAACUUCCCUCCAACAAUUAUAGUUCAAAAUCGGUGGAGUAAUGGAGAUAUUUUAUUGGCAUAUUAAGUCAGCCGUAAUGCUUUUAGAAGUUUCCUAUAUGAUUAUUUAGCAUUUUUUUUUGGGGUCAAUUUUCUUAUUGUUUUAGCCUUUUAGGCAAGUUCCUAUUGUAUUUGUUUCCCAUUUACCUCAUCAUAUAGACUAUAUACAGGAUAUUUGAAAGUUGAGAAGAGUGAAAGUUUGGAAGCCUUAUUAUCGAUAUUAUUUCUCUCCUCCUCUAAUUAAGGGCUUGUUCUGUUAGCUGGAGUUGCCUCGUCAUGAAUUACAGACAGAGGUUUUGCCAGAACUGUCCCACUUUUAUGAGUGAACGACAUUUAGAUACAAACAAAAUACUACUAGCAAAAUAGAGCUUCCUAGCAGAAGAACAGAUAUGGAAUAGUAGAGUUACUUAGGAUGACCAAUGAAUUGAAGAAUGGCAGCUUGAGAUGCGUUGACAAAUUAAUGCAGUCACAGAUUAUCAUGUGCUCUUCUGUAAUAGUCAGUUAAUUGCUCCACUGAUUUGUACUGGCACUGCUAAUGAAAAUGCAUAAUUUCACAAUAAUUUAGUUCUGACUUUUGACUUGACUUGAGAACCUGCUAUAAAGGAGAUAUAGUAAGAGAUAUUGAUAUACAAAUGUAUAGUCUUUGUCAUUAGCAAACAUGGAGUAAAUUCCUCACAAUGCAAUUUUUGAUAUUCACAAAAAAGCUAGCCUAGGAAAAGAGGAAAGGAAAAGUUUUACCAUAUUUCAUAGUCGAUCCCCAUAUAUUAUCUUACGUGGUUCACAGAAAUUUUUACAUUGGAGCUAAAUAGAUGCGACGAGAACCAGAAAAGAAGAGAAAGGAAAGUGCAGGUAAUUAAGACUUCAAAAAUGGAAGUCCGUGGUAGAUUUUGCCAAAGGAGAGGUAAACUUUGCACAUCAUCUUUCCUUGUUCAAUUUAUUCACCUUCUACAUCCAAUUUUUUUCUUUUCUUAUCCUCUUGCUCGAAACGGGACAUGACUAUUAAGAAAAUCCACCUCAAAAGCUAGUCGUUAAAUUAGAACUUCUCACCACAAUUCCGUUUGAAUUACUAUUUUCUGGAGUUUUUACAGAAAAAAAUAUAUUAAAGCAAUUUGAUGUCUACGAAAUAAAAAUAUGCUCACGGAAAACAUAAAAAUGUUGACGGGAAAAAUGGUAAUCCAAAAAAGGGCGACCAAUUGCAACUGAGAGGGAUGGAUGGUUCUAACACUAAUCUAUACCUGUAUGAACAUUGAAUCAAACCUACUUCAAAAGCUAAACAUUGAAGUGGGAGAAACCAAAAUCAUAUUCAUCACAAACUAGAAUCUCAUACUUCUAAUAUAAAAUUCAAGUCCAAACCUUGCAAUUAUUCCAUAACACAAUGAUACUAGCGUCCUGAAUGGGUUUAUUGGAGUGUGUAGCUAGGAUCGAAAGCUUUGAAGUUGACCAAUCUCUCAACUUUUGUCACUCAUGCCUAGUUUAACACUCUUUUCUCAGGGAAAAAUACACUUCACGCCCUUGAACUAUCAUGUAAUCGCCUAAUCAACAAUUACUUCCAUGAAUUAAUCCAUCGAAUUAUUGAACUAAAUAGCAACAUCUUUGCCAUUCGCUGAGGAGAUUUUUCUAGAGAUCUAUUAAUGCUUGGCUUCAUCCAGAACAAAAAGAAUACGCCCAAACCUAUAUUUACUUCUCAUGGAAAACUUGGUUGGUCAGAGUCUGAUGGUGCAAAUAUGAAGCAGCCUUUACCAAGUCCAGAACAUAUACCUAGACGGCUAUCUGGCUUAUGCUUGCACAAAUUUUUGCCAGUUUUACUUCGACUUCUUUAUAGGAUAAUUUUCCAGUUUGUCUAAUAUAAAACCAACUUUCCCUGAUCUGAUUCUGACUACUCAGUGGAUCCCAAGUUGAAAAAAGGAACAAGUUUUUGCUUCAGAAUUGGCCAUACUAACUAAAAUUAGCCCUAGAAAGAACAGGCAAUGGUAACUAAAAAUGGUUUCGUGAACCAGCUUGUGAACACCACCCUAGCUAGCCCUUAGUAGAAAAGUACUGAGAAAUCAUUGAUUCGACCAUGCCAAAACUCAGAACUUGUCUACGUUAAAACAUCAUAAAGUCUUCCUCCGACUGUCAUGCAUUUCCAUAACAGCAAUAUUUGUCCCUAUGCAAAAUUACAAAGUACCGACAUCAUAUUCUUGAGAUCACUGUUAGAACAGUGUUGUUCAGACGAAUGAAUUGAGAAUGACAGCUAAAAUUUCGUCGAUGAAUUAAUGCAGUCAAAUAUAUAUUACUCCAUCAUGCAUGUUUUUUUUUUUUUACUCCAUCACCUUGCUCAUUUGGUACACUACAGGAAUUUACAAAAGGGUCCUCCUUUGAUUAUUUUUUUUUCCUUUUUUGUGUCAUUCCCUAGCUAGUAUUCUCUUAUCUAGGCCUUGAAAAAUUUUUAAAUAAGUAAAUACGGGGACUUUAUAAUUGCUUGCUUGGCAAUGGACAUGGCUAAGGAGAGCUAGCUAUUCGAACUGCCAUCGACCAGAUCAUUGUAUUCAAUUAAUCAGCUAUGAAUCUUUUGGCAAUAAGUGAAGCUGCAUUGUUGUGUGUACGUGCAAUUACAACUGCAAUUCACUUAUUUUCAAAAACGAAAUGGUCUGAGACGAGCUUUGCACUGUGGUGUUAUUGGAAAUGAAAAACUCUUCGGAACUAUUUCACGCAAAGUUGAAUUGUUUGAGCUUUUCGCUUUGGUACUUAUUUGAUUACCAAAUUCUAUAUGAUACGGGUAAUGGGAUAUUUGCACUGUUCCCAUCUUUUGCUCUCAAAAUAAGUUUUGAACAAUCAACAUUAAUUUGUUAGCAUAAAAACCAAAGUGAGAAUUUGAAGCAUGCCUAAGAUGAAUUUAAUAGGAUGAAAAAUAGAGGUAAAUUUUGUAUACGCUGACAAUCUAUAUAUACACUAGUGGAUAUAGGUUCAUACUAUCUAAUUUGAAUUUUAAUUCUUGCAAAUGUGCCAUGCAUUCAUAUCUAUUAGUAUGUAUUUUGUUAGUUAGUGUAUAAAAAAUUAAUACAAAAAAAAUAAGGUCUAAUAAUUAUUAUAAAAAAAAGGUCUAAUAAAAACCGUACUUCAUGACAAUCCAUUGUAGUGGGCUUGGUCUUAAUCUUCUACUUUGGGCUUGGAAGAAACCGUAUAUAGAGCGGAUGCCUUUUGGGCCCAGGAAAGUCCAUAUUCAAGAAUACCAUUCAAAUACAAAAUCAAAAUGAGAUAAAAGAAACUUCACUCUACAUAUUAUUGAGUUUAAACUUAUAAAACACUCGGAUUAAGCUUUUUUAACACAAUUAGUCUAGGAAUUUUUUUACACUAAUAAAUAUAAAUACAUGAAAUACGUGCAAAGAAAAUUUUCAAAACUAAAUAGAAGUUAUGUCUCAUGCAUUCCAUGUGCUAGUUUUUUUUUUAAAAAAUUUAUACUAACAAUGUAAGAACGAUUAAUCUAAAAUACUUUACUAUGAAAAGUUCGUAAUAAACUAUUGAUUAAUUGUUACUACAUUUCUGGUAUAAAAUUUUUUUUACGUUAAUGAGUUUGGAUGCAUGAUACAUAAACUUCAUUGAAAUUUGAGAUUUUGUUUUCAACAUUUUAUUGGUAGUGCAAAAAACAAAAAAAAAAGAAAUCAUUAACAACAUACAAAUCUAUAAAGAAUAGUAAAAAAAAAAUGGUAGGCAUGUUUCUAAAUUCAACAAAAAAUUAAUCUAAAUAUGAAAACUCCUGUAUUCACUCUACCACGAAUGUUUUAGAUUGCCUAAACGUUAAUAAAUAUGGAUUUUGGCCCCUUCAGGGUUCAAGAGAAAUAUAUCAUCAUCUCAUAAUUAGCCAAAAUAGGACUAAAUUUAAAAUUCUCUAGUUGGUUCCACAAGCUGAAAUUGUCAGACAAAAGAGUCCAACUUGAAAUUCUAAAAGGAUAAAAUGUUAUUUGCAUUCUCAUUACUCUAUUUUCAUUUUGAUGAAAUCAUAUUAUUGCUGUCCUAAUCUCUUUUCCUUGUCCAUGAGCUAAUUUUACCAAAUUUUCUCUUACAUUCUAAAACCAAUUAAUUAUUCCAUUACACAUUAAAAUGGCUAAUUUAAAAUUGUCGCUAAUAUGUAUUAUGUAUUUUUCUACAAAAUUUCACGAAAUUAUAUGAUGCCAAAGAUCAAUCUAACAAUAUAAUAUGAACAGAUUCCAAACUUCAAGACCAAAAUAAAUAAAUAAAUAAAUCCCAAACUUCAAAGAUGACAAAAAAUUGAGUACAACUAUAAUGUCUCAUAAAUAGGAUACUAAUAUUUCAAAAAAUCUGUUAAGAAUAUCUCAUAUGACCACAAUAAAGGAAGUGAAGUUUUCUGGUAUAUUUCAUCAAUCUCUUCUGGAGAAUUGUUUUCCAUAGUUUGAAAGCCCUAAAAUUUUUUAUGAAAGAGAAAAAAAGUGGAGUUUAAAAUUUCUUUUAAAAGAAAAGAAAGUGAAGUUGAUGUUUGCUGCUCCAAAGUUGUCUAUAAGUGAUAGAGCACAAAUUAGAGUGAGGGUAAUAUGUGAACAGCAUAUAGAUAAUGUGAACGCAAUAUAGGACAAGAGUAAAAAUUAGAGUAUCUUGUCAAAAUAAAUAGGAUAGUAAAAAUGCAAAUAACACAGGAGAGUUCAAAAAAUAACACAUUACCCUUCUAAAAUUACACGAAAAGACAAAAGGCAACAAAACACCUAAGCCGUCAAAAGCCAAAAUCAGAAACAAAACACAAUCAACGGAUUUUGUAGGAAAGUAGACUUGCGUAUGCUUGGAAAAAACACCCCGAAUAUGCUGAUACUUUUUGUAAGUAAGUGCCUGUUUUUUUGAGGAAGAUUCCCCCCCUCAUUCGCAUAUCCUUUUUCCAUAAAUACCCUUACCUUUUCGCCUUGUAUUUUUUCAAACCAUAAUCUGCAGCUUCAAAGAAAAACAGCAAAAAGAAGAAAAAAAGAAAAAUCCCAGCUGACUUCAGAUAGAUUGCUGCAAUCCCUUUUCUCCAGGUUCUUUAAUUUUACCUAUUUGUAGCUUUUUAAGCAAUCUCCUUUUUUCAUUUAAGUAGCUGAUUUUCUUGAUUGUUGUUCCGUUAAUGUUUUCUGGUGAUUUCUUCAUUUUGUGUUGCUUGGUUUUGUUUUCAAUUGAGAACCCUGAUGGGAUUUUGCAUCUUUUCAUUCCUUUCUGUGUGUUGAUCAUGGGCGCAUUUUUUAAAAAGUUGAAGACUUUAAUCGAUUGCAAGACUGGUUUGUUGAAGGGAUUUCAUUGCUUGCCUGAAGUUCUUGAUGGAUAUGAAGUUUACCUUUUUAUAUUUAUUAUCAUCAAACGAAAGAAUCAGUUUUAUUUAAGAGUUUUUAGUACCAUGCAGGAAGUAGCUCAGAAAAUCUUUAAUGCAAUGUGCAGAAGGAUAUCUAGGAUUUAAGUUUUUUCUACGGGAUAUUUUAUGCAAUAGUUGAUUUUGCAUAGAUAUAUCUGAUCAGGUGGUAAAAUUUAGUCUAGUUUUAGUUUGGUAAUUUUUGGCUGGAUUUAGAGACUGCUUUUUAUUGUUCGUUCUCGCUAAUUAGAUUAAAAUCUUGUAGCAGUAACCUUAAAAAAAAAAAAAAGAAUUUGUAGCAGUAACUGAAAAAUGGAAUUAAUAAAGAAAUAAAAUACAAGGUAAUACUUAAGGAUAUGAGUUUCUUUUUAUUUUCUCCUUUUUCUUGAGAUGGAAAUGAAUUGGUGAAAGCUUACAUGCAGUGCUGCUGGUCCUGAAGCCUUUUGUAUGCUUUACAUAUGUAUAAGAUCAGCACUGGUGUUUUGAACUCUUAUUGUGAUGAUUUAGUGACAUAAUUUCUAAUGACUUUAGGAUUUUUUAAUUCUGUUUUCUAAGUUGUUUCUGUUGGAUCUUUAUUCUUUACAUUUAGACAUUCUUGAACAUAAUGGAUAUUACAUUUGUUACAGGGAUUGGGAAUAGGUUUUCUGCUGCAUCCUGAGCUCUUUCUUUACCAGGGCAUUCAUGUCCUGCUGGCAGUCAGUCAGUUGACUGAUUGCCAACAGAGCACAUGAGUGACCAAAGUGCAUUAAUGCCUAUCAAAGCCUUGGAGGGUAUACACGGAGUACAACUGGUUCCUAAUUCACCAUUUACAUUUGAAGUGAUAAAACAUGAGGAUUUACAGCAGUCAACCUGCGAAAGUUUGACUGUUGGGACUAGCCAACAGCUAAUAUUGCAGUAAGUCGAGAAGAAUUCGUGUUCUCUAUCAAUAUAUGCUUCUGUUUUCAAUUCAACUUAAAAUGCUGAGCUGAUAAUUGUUUUUGACAAGCAUUAUAUAGCUGACAACAGCAAUCUAUUUAUCAGGAGAGCAUGGCAGCAAAGGCCUCCUUGUCUUAGGCCUAUUCACUCUUGCGCAUCUGGUAAUUUUAGAACUUCAUGUGUAUUUUUUAAUCAAUGGUAUUGCGGUGCAUGCUUCCUUGAACUUUGAUUUUUUUUUUCUUUUCUAAAACUUUUAUUUCUGUAUUUUAGGUGAUAAGACUAUUGUAGAGAGGAUAGCUAAUGUGCUUACAUCACUUCCUUUUAUUGCUCUUGGGCUUCAGGCACCAAGGUAGAGGCUUUCCCUUAAUCCUGCAUGUGUUUGGUGGAUAAAUGUGUAUACUAUAUUAUGUGAGUAAUUCGGCUUUUGGGAUGUUACAACAAAAUCCAUCCCCCAAAUGAACAGAACAGAAACAGUGAGGGGUCUGGGAGGUUGAAGAUAAUGGUUGAGACCUAAAUGCUUUUUGCUGAUGAUGCAGGAAGAAUCUAAACUGUAAACUUUAUGCCAAUUCCUUAAUUGGAGUAGGGCUUGCCUCCAGCUUGUACCAUGCUUCGAGAGGAAAACUAAGGAAAUAUCUGAGAUGGGCUGACUACACAAUGAUAGCCACAACAACAGUGGUAUGCCAUGACUAUAUAGUUGUCUUUGGAUGUAUGCAUUAUAUUUGCUAGAGUUCCGUAAGUUGAAUCGAGUAGAAUAAAUUUGUUCAGCCUUCAGUAUCAAUACUUCCAUCUAAGAAAAUUUUCUUGGCAUAGAAACAUAGUGGACAAGUACAUGCAAAUUGUGGCAGAUUGGUUUUCUAAUCCAUCAGAAAGUAAUAAGUGGAUGUUUUGAAACCUUUGGAGUGUCCUUGGAUAUUUUCUAUGUGCCAUUGCCUUUGUCAGGGGCAUCAAAAAUUCUGACAGACUAAUUUUUUGACAUUCACAGCAUCCCUCUGUUAUUCCCCCCCUUAAGUUACAUGCCUUUAAAUUGUUCUGUCUUUUUUCUUUAAUUUUAAGAAUUAGUGGCUUGCAACAGCAUCAACAUGACCAUUUCUUCUACUUAUUGUAAUUUGUCCUUUUGAUUGAGUGUAUCUGCUCAGCCUGUCUGUGUCUCCAGUUUAAAAAAGUUUACUUUCUAAAUAUGCAUCACUGGAUGUCUGUGAAUUCAGAACAUGUAUGCUCUAAUUUAUCCUGGAUUUUCAUCUCUUAUUUUUGUACUAUAAUACCUUGCUGAAUGUCUUAACAUAUAAUGACAAGCUUGUAUCCUGCAAUGAUGACUUGACUAAGUAAGGCUGAUAACAGAAAUUAUCAGAUUACGUUAUAUGUAACAAUGACUUUCUUGUGUGUCUAUUUGGAAAAGAAGCUUUUGACUCAGGUAUUCUGCACUCGUCUAGCAGCUAAAUAGGGUGAGCAACUUGCUUCACAAAGGGAAAGGGAAAGAUAUUAAAAACUAAAAAAAAUCUAAUCAUUGAUUUUAUGGACCUUUGCCUUUUUGCUGACAAGUUACUCAAAGGAAAAGAGAACUCUUGUGCUUAGAUAUGUCCACUCAUACAGCAUAUUGGUUUAAUGCAGCUCACCAUGCAUUGUUUGAUUUGUUGCUUUUCACUUUAUCUCUAGCAUGAGGAACAGAGGAAAUGGAAAGAUUAGGAUAUUCCUGUUGUAUAAAAAGUAGCGUUCGAUUGCAGUUUGUAUUUUUUCUGCUACAAGUUCAGUUAGGUUGAUUCAAUACCUGUAAGAAUUUCUCAAUAGUAUUUAUCCCAAGCAUUUUCUAGAUGCUAGCUAACCAGUAAACCUUCAUUGAAUAACCUAGAUCUGGAUUACAUUUUACUCUUUUAGUUUUCUAAUUGACAUUUAUUACUGAUUCCUUUGUAGUGUUUGUCAAGCGCACUGCGCACUGAGAACCCAAAGUUGCUCAUGGCAGCCUCUGCUGUAUUCCUGCCAAUCCAGCCUUUGAUGGUUUCUGCAGUACAUACUGGGAUGAUGGAGGUAAUAGACGUACAUGCAUAUCUAUGAGUUGAUUCAUAAGCCAGAAUGCAGUCUGUUCUAAGUCUUGUCUUUUGACUCUCUUAAGUGUAACUGAGGUCUGGGAGGCCUCAGGAACGAGCUAAAAGAGUUCAGACCCAAUCCUCUCCGUUGUGGCGUGCAUUCUGUGUUCCAAGUCUUAUCUUUAUACUUAUUACUUGACUGGCAUAAUAUACAUAUGUAGCUUACUAUUGCCAGUUAGGUAUGCAAGAUUGAAGUUGUAGUUCCUUGGAGUAGGGAAUCAUUCUGGUUAACAUAAUUAUAGAGCUGGAAUUAGUGGAAGCUGAAACACAGUUUACUACAUAGCUUGUAGUGCUUUAAUUUUCUUGGUUGUUUAUGCUCAUGUCCUCAUCUAGCAUGAGACACAUUGAAGAUUUGUUGUUCUUCUGGUGAUAGGAGGAGAGAGGAGGCAAAGGGAAUGUUGCUCAUGCCUUGGCUUGACCUAAAGUGUCUCUCACUUGUUUGAAAUCUAAUAUUGUCCAAAGUAGGUUAUUUUAGCAUUUGGUCGGAUUGUAAUUGAUUAGUAGACAAUAGAUCCAUAUGCUACUGAUUAUUGAUUCAUGAAUUUGUCUUUACAUCAUCAAUGACCUCCGCAUCCUUUUUAGAACCCAAAAAGAUGAAGCCAAGUUAGCUGCCCAAGUGAUCUGUCAAAUGUGUUUCCUAGUCCUACCAUCAUAAUACCUGAGAAGUAUAAAAUAUUGUCCACAAUUGACCUUCCUUGGGCCUUCUCAGUUGCUGCACACGCUGUCCUGGAUCCAUUGAGAUUCCAUAGCUUGCAACAUGCGAGUUAAAACACACCAAAGAGAACAUUGAGAAAAGCAUGCACUGGUUUACUAUAUGUAAUACACAACACUUGAACUUCUUCAUCCAUUUUUGAGAGGUCUCAUUUAUCCUACCUUAGUUUCGAAACUUGCUGUAACUAAAGAUGCCUAGCCACCCUUCCAUUUUUAUCCAAACAGUCCAAUCUCAAAUACUCAAGUAGCCGAGACAAAUUGGUAACGUUACCUUUUUUAUUCCCCAUGCAUCUGUCCAGGUUGCUUUUGCAAAAAGAGCAUUUCAAGAUCCAGAACUGAGGAUGGCACACAAUGUACAUAAGAUGUCAUCACUUUUGGGUGGUGCACUUUUCAUUGCUGAUGAUGUCUUCCCUGAAACUCCCUUCCUUCAUGCUGGUUGGCAUCUAGCUGCUGCUGUUGGAGUUGGCACUUGUAACAAGCUUUUAGAGCAACUUCAGAAUUAAUAAAUUAAUUUGUCGAAAAUACUUCAAUUCCUGAUAUAGAGCGUAGUUUAUCAUUGAUCAGAAAGCUGAAACUUGUUCAAUAUCCCCAUAAUCUUCAGAUUAAAAUGUAAUAAUAUAUUUAUUAGGUUAGGGGUACCGUCAGCAGUGGGUUCUGUAGUAUGCCUUUAUAGUCUAAAACGGUGGCAAUCUUCGUUGCCUUGUACUUUACAAAAUCAGUGGAUUCAUCGAAGAAACGAAUUAUUUGUACUUGCCCUUCUGUUUGUAUUUUGGUGAAGCAUGUAAGAUUUCUCAUGUUCUGCAAUUAACUGUACGUUUCGCUUGAGAAAAGAUUGUCCAACUCUUUUGGGCAAAUCAGCUAUUUGGUCUUCAAUGUAGAACCAUCCUUUGGAGACUAAUCAGGAAAAUAUAAAUAAAUUGGUAUUUCUGGGCGUCUGUGGCUAUGUUCUUUGGCUAUUCAAGUAGAAAUAAGGAAAUGAAGAUUUGAAAUCAGAGUUCUUCACCAGCUUCCCGUAUUGCUUUUAUCUCUUUCACAUUAGUUGCUUUAAAGAAUUAAAGAAAAGUAGCAUAAACUUUGCUCUUGCGUAUAUUUUUUUCCUUGUUUCACUCUCACAUGAUAAGGGUACGAAACCUAAUUGAGGGUAAAGGAUAAACAUGUCCAAAUGCAACACUGUUGGAAGGACUGUCCUCAAUGCCAAAACAGAAAGCUAGUUUGCUAGGAAUUCUAGAGUCUAGACAUAAGAUUUGUGGCAAGCCGAAAAAAGCAACCAAAUGAACGUGUUUCUCGAUCUUCAGGCAUCAUUUAGUAUUCGGGUCCUAGCUAGCAAAGACAGUAGUAAAUCAACUAAUAUAUCUUGUUGAUUGUACUGCAUUGGACAUGCACUAAGCUAAAAGUUUUGUUUCUUUUAUUUAGCUUCUUCAAUCCAAUGAAUGAGUAUCUGACUUGCAAUUUGAUUUCAGCACUAUUCAGGUUGUGGAUCACCGAUUGUGGAACUGCAGAAAACUAUUUCAAGCAGUUGACUAUUGAACCACACCGCUCUCUGCUCAAAAGUCUUCGGUGCUCUAUUUUGAACAUGAAGCAAUAAUUGGUCCAACGAAGGCUGCAAAGAAGUCUUAUGAACGUGUACAUCACUUGUGAAUCACUUUGCUGCUAACUAAUAAGUAUAUCACUUAUGAAAGUGAUAAACUGAACUCAUUGAGGCUGUUUUAAAAUCAAAGACAUACAAAGGGGAGACAGUUUAGAAAUAAGAAGUGUGAAAGGCACUGGAGCAUGAAUAGGUAGUAAAACGAGAAGGAAAAAGAAAAUGAAGUGUGAUGAGGGGCUGAGGCAGAUGGCAUGGUUUGAAGUAGUAGAAUGUGGAAUGCAAAAAUCAAGUCUUAUUGAGUUUUGAAACUUCUCUCAUCAUUGACAUGUCGCUUUUACAUCUCUUCCCCCAAUAUCUCCCAGAAUUUCACGCUUUCUUUUCAAUCCUCCCUAGUUUGCUUUGUCCUUCUCUUUUUUCUCUGACCACACUGCACAGCUGCAUAGCAUGGUCUACCUAUUGAUGAAGUACUCUUAUCUCUUGUUGUUUCUUCUAUAAACAAAAACCAUUCUCCUUUACUUCACUGCCCCCCAUCCCUUUUUUCCCCCUCGUUCCAUCUCUAUCACUGAAACUCAAGAAUUUCAAUGUCCCUUCCAGUACAGUAUUAACCUUGGGGCUGCAGAAUUCCUUUUUCACCUAAGCUUUUAUAACCGACCCACGAGAGAGAGAAGCAAGAAAAGCAAACACAGAAAAGAGCAUUCAAUAAUUGCACUAAUCUUGCAUCUGUACAUGUAAACACAUGCAUUAAAUUCAUGACAUAUGUUAGCAUUUUUGCAUAAGACCACCCAUCCCCAACCCUGGCCCUUCCUCCUUGCUUGCCUUUUCAUUUCAGCAGCAUGCUACUGGACCAUAUUGUCAACUAGUACUUGCUCCAUAAAUCUCUCCCAUCUUUCACCUUCCAAUCCCUUCUUCGGACACCUAGUGAACAACCUAUUAUGUGGUUGAAAAAUUGUGAGGAUGGUGUCAAGGAAUCUAGAUAUGAUGCAUUAUACAAUCAGCGAAUUCGCCAUAUCUUCCCAAAAUCUAAUGCUUCAAUGAGCAAUUGUGCUCCAUGUUGCUUGAUACCAUCUAAUUACUCCAGUCACAUUGGCAACGGGAUUGGAUUUCCCAUGAACUACCAUCAAAGUAUGUCACAAUUUUUUGUUAGUUUUUCUUCUGUUUUACUUAUUUGUGUGAUGAGUUAUGAAUGUCUUGUAGCUUGCGUUAAUCAUGAUGAAGAAAUUAAAGAUGAGAACCACAUGGAACCCAUAGUGAGUUCAAGGUGGAAUCCAACACCGGAGCAGCUAAUGGCCUUAGAGGAAAUGUAUCGACGCGGAGUAAGAACUCCCUCAGCUGAAGAGAUCAAGCUCAUUGCUGCAAAGCUUCGCCAGUUUGGUAAGAUUGAAGGGAAGAAUGUGUUCUAUUGGUUUCAAAACCACAAAGCAAGAGAACGACAGAAAAGACGUCGCCAACCGGACUCAAAUUCUAGCAAAAAUGCCACUGACGUUGAAACCCUAGAUGCAAAAGAGACAGGUAAGUAGGGUUUGUAUCGCACCAUGAUGCUAAUGCAAUAAACAGUUUUUCUUGACAUGAAAUAGGGUUUUCUUCUUUUAACUAUUUUCUUUACAGGAUUUAGCUGCAAAGCUUUGGAAGGUGAACACAAUAAGAAGUUGGUUACUACAAUUCCAGCAUACAGUUCAACUUCAAAGGUCUGUAUCCAUUCCUUUGAGUGAUAGGCCUUUGUGUCUUUUUCUUCUUCUCGUCUUAAAACAAAAACAAGAGAAGAUAUUUUAUGAGGUAAUGAAGGGAACAUUUUCUUCCUUCUCUCUUUUCUUUUUACAAAAGUAGGUCAAUUAAUUUUUCAAAAGGGCAAAAGUGACAAAUGCAAGAGGGAGGAAAGCUUUUAUAUGAUGGGAAAAACAAUAAGAGUUGAAAUUGGAAAAGCUGCAUUCUAUACUUUCUGGUAGUUAGGCCUGUUGGUCUAAUUCCUGAAAGGGUGUUAGUAUUAUUGGGGAUAGUGCAAAUUGACAGUGCCUUAAAUACUUGUUCAUUUCAGGAGUCUGCAUCAAUGCAAAGAUCAAUGGUAACAGAAAGUGGAACAGAUGGAUGGACUCAUUUGGAUGAGAGAGAACUGCAGAAGAGGAGCCAAAGGAAAAUAGCAAAGGGUGCAACUUCCCUGAUGGAUAUGUCUUGUAUGGCUCCCAACUCUGACCUAUUAAACACCAUAACUGCACCUUCCACACUUGAAUCUUCAGGGGAAAAUCAGCAGAUAACUGCAUUAAAUUCCAGCGUAGUUUCCCCAUCCUGCGGUGAAGAUAUGAUCAACUAUGAAGAUGGAAGAAGAAACCAUCACACACUUCAGCUAUUUCCACUGCGAAGCGACGAUCAUUGCUCCAUUAAAGCAUCAGAGACAGAGUUUAAAGAGCUUAGGACAACGAUAAGUUCCAAACUUCCUCCAAAACAGUUCUAUGAGUUCCUCUAGGAGCAGCAUAAGGAUGCUUAUCUUAUGUGCUACUUAGAAUGAAUAAGUUCAGCAUUCUUACUAGUAAGAUUGCAGCACUGAAUAGUUUAGCGUUUGCCAAAAAUUGAAUCUAACAAGCUAUCCAAAAUGGAGAGCUAGCUAGUCAGUAGCAGCCAAUGGAGACUGUGGAGUAGUAAUUGAUAUGAGAGGAAAACGACAGAAACUCUGGACUGAUGUGAAAUACCUUUGAUGUGAUGUAAUCUGGUACCAAGGAUGGGAGAAUGUUACAUUUUCCAUGCGUAUUAUUUUGGAAAUUUCACUAUUUAUAUAUGGCAUUUACGUUUUACAGUCAGAUCCAUAUAAAACUGAGAAGAAGAUGACUAAGAUAUUGAGUUGUACAGUGUUUUAUUUCUCUAAUACCUAUAUAGACUUUGUUCUAACUGGCUAAACAAUUAUGACAGGUCAAGUCAUAAUGCACAUUUUGAAGUAACUAAAAAUGGGUUAAGCUAAUUUGCCAAUCUAGUUAAUGUUAAAGUUUAAGAGAUUUUGGCUAUAAUAGGAUAACGUGUUAAAAAAUAUAUCUAUAUUACAUACAGAUUAUGUCUCCUAGUGUUCUUUCUAAAUUAUCCUUAAUAACUACCCACUGUCAACAUGUUCUUCUAUCAAGUAACAUAUAUUUCUUAUUAUUCCAUUUCUUAACUUAUUUAAUAAAUAUUGUUUUUUAGCAACUACUAGCUAUCAUUAUGCCUUACCACCAAAUAAUUAUUUGUUUAUACAUUUUAUUUUGAUAGAUUUUCUACAUAUCUAUAGUCAAAUAUAAAAUCAGUUCUCUUGAAAAUGAUUUCAACAAAUAUAUUUAAAAAAUCUUAUAAAUAUUGUUCUAUUAAUUGCAUACGCAUUGUUGUGUUCCUUGAAUACUAGUAAAUAUAGGUGGUGGACAUACUCUAAAUUUCGAAUACUUUAACAAGUAUACAUCCCAUAUGAACUUUACUCCAAAGCCAUUAUCGAGGAAACAAUAAAAAAAAAAUUGAAAACUCAAGUAUUUGCAAAGUAAGUGGUUCAUACUUCAAAGAUAUGAGACCUUAAAACGUGAACAUAAAACUCUUGUCAACCCUUUGGCUAUGCAGAAUUUAAUCGAAUUUAAAAACUAUCAAACAUAAAAUGCUGAUCGAGUUUGGAUCGAUUAGUUAGCAAAUCAAGCUUGAACCAACUGUUAUCAAAUCGGAUUCAAUUUGAGUAUUGAAUAGUUUGAUUCAUCUUUCAACCCUGACCAUAACAUAAAAACUAGUUAAAAAGGGUUGGAAGAAUGCCCAAGAUAUUAGAGUAUAAAAAAGACAUUAAUAUACAUUUUGUAUUGCUAACUCUCAUUUGCUUCUGUAUUCCAGGGAAAUUAGGCCAAUCCCUCUACAGCUAGUUAGUCAGAAAAUAUGUUUACCAAAAUAAAUGCAUAACCAAUCCCACUGGUUCUGUUGCUGCAUCAUUGGCCUUAGGUUCUGUGUUAGCGUCAUUCCCGUUGUAUAUAGGGCACGCAAAAUAUUAGUACAACUGCGAUGAGAACUAAAGUUGUCCACAAACACAAAGCCCACCAAAAAAAAAAAAAAGAAAAAGAAAAAAAAAUUGCAUUUCAAAACCUCCAAAUGAUAUUCACAAUGAUGUGUGCUGGCUUGUGCAAUUGUACAAACUAUGAGCAACUGACUGUGGACAUGCACGUUACACACUAGACUCAGAGAUCAAGGGGCCCUUUAACAGUUGAUCAGGCCCUUUUCCAUUUCGCAGAAUUUUAUGGCCAGGAUUUAGCUACAUCAAGGUACCAUGGUUCAAUUUAGUGUAUAAAUGGAUUUAUUCAAGCAAAUAUACAUCAACCCUUGUCCUUAAUUGGACCACAAAUCACAGUGACGAAAGUAGUGCAUACAGCUCUGUCCUUGACUGGGGCGAAUGUUAGUUCCUAAUGGUUUAGGAUCUCAAGUGUUAGGAUAGUCCAAAUAUAAUUAGAAUAAAUCUUAUAUACGCUGACAGUAUAUAUAUUAUCACUUUUUGAUUCAUGAUAUAUGUGAAAAAAUUGAAUUUCAAAUUUAAAUUUUACAUAAUUAUCAUUUAUCCAACGCUGAUAUCGUAUACACUGUCAGUGUAAAAAGAUUAAUCCAUAUAAUUAAGGCAAAAAAAAAAAAAACUCAAACACUUUAUCCCUUUUUUCUUUUUUACUUUAAAAUGGAGGUUGAAGUCCUCACACUUAAAAGAUGUUAUAUAUGAAUUAAUCGUGUAUAUCUAUGUUUUAAUCAUUACAAUACAAUUAUCAAAUAUUCGAGAUCUCAAUAGUUGUCAUCACUAGUUCAAAAUCAAAGACUCGAGAUCUCAACAAUAGUCACUAGUUCAAAACCCGCGGUGUUGAGCUCUUUAUAUUGAUUAUCUCCCAAAAUAUAUUGUUGUUUGCUACAAAAUACCCAUGCAGCUUUGGAGCAUUGAAUUAAUAAUGUUUGGUAAAUGCAUGUAGAGGUAUGAUAAAAAGCUAUGGAAGACACAGGAGAAGAAAGAAAAGAAUGUACUGAACAACCAAAAAAGGAGCCUAUUGCCGAGGAACCGACCGUAUGAUCUUAGACCGAAUCUAAGGUGGGAAGAGAUAUUUAAUUCCAUGGACUAAAAAGGCUGCUGCCUUUGGUUGGAUUGGUUGCUCUCUUUUAUUCUGCUUUGCCUAGUCCCAACAAGACAAUACACUUUACAUUUUAUGCAAAACCCUCCGAAGUCCAAACAACCCAAUGAGUCAGUGUGUACUUUGUAGUCCCCAUUAAUGGUUCUUGCUUCUUCAAGUCUCCCUUCUUAAAAUCAUGUUGUACCCUCUGUUGCUUCGAUUCAACUAAUUGGUACCUGUUUUCAAUUUUCUUGUCGAUUUUUGUUGGAAAAGUCAAAUUCAUGCAUCAUACUGCAAUGAUUUUUCUCUUGUUAACAGUAUCAAAAGAGUAUUAAAGUCAGCGAAAUUUUUUUACUUAUUUUGACUAUUGAGGAGGUCACGAUCAUGAUCUGAUAACAAUUGUCAUUUGAGAAAACUUGAAAACUAGAUUAGUUUAAUUUAAGGAACAAGAGCUAAUUCAUGACCAUUUUAUAAAUAGCAAAGUUUCAGUUCAUAGAAUACAAAAUGAAGACUUUGACUAGCACAAGCAAUUGCUUGUCUCUCUAUUUAGUUUUUCAUUCCUACUAAUAACAAGCCCAACCCUGAAGAAAUUUUAUGCCUCAGAUGACUUUUGCUUUAUUUGAGAUGAUUAUUAUAGUAUUUUUUAUAAUAUGACAUAUGUAAGAUAAAUAUAAACAGUAACACAACAAAAUUUUCUCACUUCUUCAAAUUUGUACCGAAAAUUUAUGUUAGUAUCCACGUUGUCAUUUCAUUAUCUACAUUUAUAUAUGCUGACUGGUUUUUCUUGUUUGACUUUUUUGUCAAUGGUCAAUGUUUAUGUCAAACAAAAAUUUUAAUCGGAAGCAUAAUGUUUGAAGAUAUAUUAAAUAGGACAACAUUUUGCACCGAAAAAAGAAACAUAAGAGACAAUCUUAUAUAGGCUGUCCUUUUGGAGUCUAGAUUAGAGAGUCAUUGUUUAGGUAGCUGUGCUUGUUUAGUCUAUAUAUAAGGGGAAUUGACACAUCAAACCUAGGUUUUACCAGACCUAUAUACAAGGUCUGUACUGAAACUUUUCGAGCACCCAUAAAGAGGAUCAAAGAUCACUGCAGAAAUUUGAUACAAUUCCCGGGACAGAUGAAUAAAUAAGUGCAGAAGCUGCUGUGAUCUGAUCAUUUACGUAAUUAGCUGCAUUUGGAAGAAUGAUAUCUAAAACAUCAUAGCUUCACAGCUAAACCUAGCUCCAAAGAAUGCUUACUCAUGCGGUAAUAAGGAUUCGUCUAUUGUGGGAACUCUGGACUGUGCGCACCAUAGGAAGUGGAAGGAGACCCUGGCACGUAUGGAGCUUGUCAAUCCAGGGCACCUGCAUUCCAAAUUGCACAGGCAAGACCCACAGCCAUGGUUAGAUACUAAGCAUGAAAAAGUAAAAAGAAGAAAAGCACAAAUGAAUUAGGAAAUGGUUAUGGGGUUGACCGAUAACCAAAUAAAUACACAUGGGGUGCUAGUUUGAAAUAUAAAAUAAGGGGAUUAUGGUAACUUAUUUACAAUUACUUCAUUUAAUAAAGCUUUUAGUAAUAACAUUUAAGUAUUUAAUAAGUACUUAAGGCCCCUUUUGAGGUCGUGUUACAUUUACCAAACAAAAAACCCUUUUGAACACUAAAAGUACUUCUGCCGUGUUUGGAAACUAAUUUUUCGUAACUUAAGGAACUCAGUUUUUAAUAAUUUGAAAAUUCUUUUGUUAAAAACACUUGUGUCAGAAGUAUUUCUGUAUAAGCCACCACAACUGCAAAUAGGGCCUAAGUGCUUUUAAGUAUAUUAUUUGGGUACAUAGUCAAAUAAGUACUUAUUGUAUUACAUAAUGUGUAAUUUAAAAAUUUUAAACAUAUUUAUCUCUUUAUUUAAUUCAUAAUAUAGGACAAAAUGAUUAAAUCUAAUAUUUUAUUUUUUAAAGACUCAAAAACAUUUUUAAAGCACCAAAUUAAAGUUUUUUUUUUAUAAAAGUGUUUUUCACACCAAAAGUUUUAUUUUUAAUUUUAUGGGGUGAUGUUUACCAAACACUUCAAAAAUCUUUUUGACACCUAAAAGUACUUUUUUUUUGGUUUACCGAAAGCAUCGAAGCAACGAACGGAUCCUAGGUAUAAUUUAUAAUUCUUGGGGAUUGUUGAACAAUUUUGACAAGGCAGUGACAGUGCAAUUAAAUUGGGGAUGUGGAAGUAAUAACAAAUUAUUUGAAGAGUUAGUAAUGAGUGUGAGAAAUCAUGCAAGGUCAAUAACAGCAAAAGAAAUAAUAACAAUUUGGAUGGGACAGGCAUAAAUCCCUUGUUACGUAGUUUAGUCACUAAUAUGGCAACCACUAAUUUGAGAGGUUGGGUUGGGUAAGUUGGGUAUUAGGUUAAUUUUGGAUUGGGUAAUAAAAAUUCAUAUAUAUUUUGGAUGGUUUGGGUAUUUGUGUUGGGCACCUAUUACUAACUUAAAUUUAAAAAAAAAACAAAUUAACAAAUUAAAAUCAAGAAACAAAAAAAAAAUGACCAGCCUUGUUGGAUCAAGCAAAACCCAUUUAUGUACUGGUAUGUAUAAUUAUCAUAUGUAUACUACUACUAGACACUGACAAGGAUGAUCAACGAGUAAUGCUUAAAAAGAACAAAAAUUGAGAAAUGAACGGUGCAGCACAAAUGUCAGUAGGAUUUUUUUUGAAAAAAAGAAAAAAAAAAAAAAGAAAAUCCUUGUGCUCUUCGCUCUUCACAUCCAUCCUUUUGCCGAGUUCCGGAAAAAUGCAUCCUAUUGUUCUUCUAUUUCUUUUUCUUUUUUUCAUUCAAAAUGAAAAAACAAGUCCCCCCCCCCCCAUUUAUUGAUCACUUCAUCGAGAUCUCUUAGUUUUGUUCCACCCAAAAUUGUUGCUUCGGUCUCUUAGUUUGGACCAAAACUAUACCCAAUUUGAAAAUCCUUAUUUGUAUAAAAAAUAGUGAGUUCAUCCAAAUAGUUUAAAUAGUUAGUAUGUGUGUGUAUUUGUGAAAGUAUAUUAGUUUGUAUUGUAAUGUGUUUGUAUUUCAAAAGAGUUUAAGAAGUGAGUGUGUGUGUUUAUGAGUGUUUUAGUGUAUAAAAAUAUGUCUAUCUAUGUGAAAAUGUAUGUGAAAAUGUAUUUGAGAGAGUUUAUGUAUUAAAAUCUAUUAAUUAAUAUAUUAGGUCAUAUUUGGGUCAUGGGUUUGAGAUGACCCAAUAUGACCCAACCCAAAAUUAACCUAAUCUAAAGUUGGGCGGAUUGGGUGUCACCUAUUUAAAUGAAAAUCAAGUAUCAAUCCGCCCAACCCGCCCAAUUGCCAGGUAUAGUAACCAACAAUUUAAAAAUAUAUAUUCAUAUAUUGAGGCAUAAUUUUUUAUUUGGUUAAAAAAACCUUUAAAAUAGAAAAACAGUAGAGAACUGUGUCCAUUUCUGUGCUUGCUUUUAAAAGAAUUUUGGCUUGUAUAUCAAAGAAUUGACAUCACAUUCCGUGUCAAUUUCUUGUCCAAACACGCACUCACUUCGUAUAGCAGGAACUUCCGUACAGUUCCGACCCUAGACUGAUCCUUUACGUAUGCAUUUGUGGGAAAACAAAAAAUUUGGUCAAGCUUUUGUUGAGAUACACACUCUAAAGCAGUAUUCUGCACUCUAAAUGAAAAUUUGAAAGUAAUUUUCAAGUCAUAUCAUCAAUAAUUGAAAUAUAAUUUAAGUAGUAUAAAUUAGUUCACAUCUCAUUUUGCAUUUACUUCUGGGAUAAUAUCAGAAAUCUCCCUUGAGAUUUAUUUUAAUAUCACUUGGCACUCUUGAGAUUUUAAAAAUAUCACUUACCUCUCCUAGUAAUUGUAAAAGGACUAUAUUAACAUUCAUUUGACACAUAAUUCACAACAAAUCAAAUAAAUGGAACUUAAAAAUUAAAAAAGAAAUGAAAGUUACUUUCUUCUUUCUUUUUCUCUAUCAUUCUCUCUUACUCAAAUUUUUUUGGAUGACUAUGUAAUAUUUUAUUUGUAAAUUAUAAUAAAUUGAAUUUUGUUUAUCUUUUACUUUUUAUGAUUGUGAUAAAGUUGGUUGUGAUUUAUUUGCUUAUUUUGAGUUGAUUUUUAUAAUAAUUGGUAUAAUUUAAUGGUUUGAGCAAGAGUUGAGAAGAUGUUGGAAAAAAUAUAAAUUCAUAAGAAAUCGAUUUUGAGCAUAUAGAAUUAAAUUGAUGCAAUUGUAUUUCUUUUCAAAUAUCUUUUUAUUUUUCAAAUUUAUAUUUUUUUUGGAGUAUAACAUUGUGAUAUGAUAGUACUACAAGAGAUUGUUUUUGAGGUGAUAGUUUUCUUAAAGUGAACAAAGUGGUUUAGGAAUAUUUUUAUUUAGCAAGCACAAGGGCAGUUUAGGAUUUUUAAAAAUUAUGUUACACAAAUAACAAAAGUAAGAGAGGUAAGUGAUAUUUUUAAAACUUUAGAGUAUCAGGUGAUAUUAAGAGAAAUCUUAGGGCAGGUUUAUGAUAUUAUCCCUUUAUUUUUACCAAGAAAUUAUAAACAAAUGUAUGUUGUGAAGUCCGAUAAAUUUUUAGCAUAUAUUUGGUUAUGAUUUUUUGCUUAUCAACAAAUGAUUAUAUUUGUGGUUUCAAAUUUAAAUUGGUAAAAAAUUGGAUUGCAAGACAGCUUGAAUGUUAUAAAAUGGACCACCUAUCUAGUAAUGGAAAAUUUGUAGCAAAGCGUCAAAUGCAAAUAUAGAAUUGAUUGUUUUUUUUCAUAGCUUCACCUUUGACUUUAAUGAAUUGUCCAUAAAAUAUUUUUCCAAAUAAUCUCUCUCUGUUUCAAUUAAAAAAAAAAUCUUGCUGUUUCAACCACAUUCUUCGUGCUUCUUUUUCAAAACUUCAUUGCUUUAUGCCAUUGUUAUAGCUUUCCAAGCCUUUGGGAUCAAGACCACAUUGUAACCAAACUAUUGGUGGAGACUUAUUAUCAACGUAGCUAUAGAACACUACAACAAAAAUGACCUUUCCUGACAUGCCUAUAAGGACAUUUGCUGGUUUGUGCCAUUAUAGUAAACAUAUCAUGACACUUAUUAAUAAAUUCAAUAAUAUGUACUAUAAUUUUUUUAUUUUAUCAUGAUAUACAAAUAAUAAUGUGCCUUUAGGCUACCUAUGAUGACACUCUGGAAACUGUGAGAUGAACCAAAAAAAAAAUCGAAAAAACAUAGAAAACGACAUCGUUUUAUUUUGGCUCCAAAACACUUGCUGAAGUACUGUGAAGUUUCAUUUUGCCAGCAAAAGGACUUGGUGAAAAUUUUCUUCUUUUCAUCUCUCUCACCUCUCAGCAUACAAGCUAUCUCGGCCAGUCCAGAAUGUUGGUAGCAAUCGAAGCUAUCUCCGCAAACAACCAUCUUUAUCUUUUCUAACCUCAACUUUAAAUCCCUCGGCUAAGACAUCUGGAAGGGCAGGCAGGAAGUAAAAGCUGAAGAACGGAGCUCUACAUUGGGAAAGCGGGAAGAUACUUCAGGUGCGCAUAUCUUGUUCCAAAAUUGAAGUGGUAAACACAAUGAAGCUGUUGCCCAUAACCUGUUCGAUAAAAUGUCAAUUCCCCUAUGUUUUUCAUUUUUUUCUGUGAAUCUCUUUUAAUGUUAAUAUAUGAAACAUAGUUGUAAUUGAAGCUCUGUUUAGGCUAUGAAUAGAAAUCGACUUGGAAGCUCUUUGAUGAAGAUCAAAAUAGCAAUGGGGUGACUGGAAUGACCUUUUUGCAAGACAAGUGCAAAAGUUUAAGAAAUAGCUAGGUUGAUGAAAAUUAAUAUUUAAGGACUUAAUUAAUGGACUUCUUGUUGAACUGCACAUUGGUCAUAGAUGACAUAGCACCCUUACUAAUUUGGCCAUAGUGUGGUAUACCCAGCUAGCAAAACUAAAGUUUGAAAGAUGAAUUGAAGGAAAUACUCGAAAGAUUGAAUCAAGAAGAAACUUUUGGAGAAGAAUGAAACUUUGGAUGCUUUGGAAAGUAGGGAAAGAGAGGGAUUUAUAGGAGAAAGGGAGGUGAAGGAGUGCAACUACCCCAACGAACUUUUAAUUGUGAUGGCGCGUAGGCAUUGAAUUUACCAGACAAGAAAAUAGCAGGAUUUCGUGUAAAACUGUAUUGUAUUUUUUAGUCUUUUUUCUUUUUUUUCUUCCCCUAUCCAUUUUCUUGUCGAACUUCCACCCCUCCCAGUUCAGGAUGACAUAGCACCCUUACGGGUUCUGUUUUUUUUUCUCAAUUUAGUCCUGUUUCUAGAUCAAUUAGCUGAACAGUCAUAGCAACUUAAAAGAAUCCUGGGACAAUCCUGGGACCAAAAGAAUCCUGAACAAUCAUGCUCAUGUGUUUGUUUAACCUUUGACAUUUCAGAUUGAAGUUAGGAGUUUUGCGAAGACGCGAGUGCAGGAGUUGGUGCGAAGGGCUUUGUUCUGGUAUUAGGUAAAUAUAAUUUCUAUCCGCUUGCUUGCAAAUUCUGUUUUUACAGAUUGUUGAGAAAUUUUACAUUUUGUUGAUUUCCUUUAUUUGCUGGGCUGCUUUAUUUAGUAGACUGUAAAUUCUUGAACUUGAAAUUAGGGACUUGUAAGCCAUGGCCUGAGUUUAAAAAAUCAGGGCGCUUCUUAUUCUCAAUGAUUUUAUGGGAUUUGUCUAGUUUUCUAAGUACUAAUGUGUAGUUGUUGUUUUCAUGCUCUUGGAAGCUUGUUGGAGGACAUUUAUUUAUAUUCAAAGUAUGGAUAAAAGAUGGAUGGAUUUUCCAAGAACAAGUGAAAAGUACGAGACAGGACUUCAAAUGUUUCUAAACUUUGCAUUUUCCAGAUCAAGUUGUGACGGAAAGAUUUUGUGUCCUUGCAAAGAUUGCGGCAUGGGUGUUUGUGUGACAAAAAUGGAAGCAUAUGAUCAUUUGAAAGUGGUAGGAUUUAUCAAGGAUUAUAAUAAUUGGAUAGCACAUGGAGAACUUUCAAACUACAAUGAAGCCACAUCUAAUUCUGAAAAUACAUCAAUUGGGGUUUCAAAUGGGACUAAUGACAUGCAAGACUUGGUCCAUGAUGUAUUUGGGAUACCAUAUGGAACAAAUGAAUUGAAUAGAGAAGGGGACAUUCCUGUUUCAGAUGCUGAAAAAUUUUACAAAUUGAUUGAUGAUUCUCAACAGGAUUUGUACAGUGGUUGCAAAAAUUUCUUGAAAUUGUCUUUCAUUAUUCGUUUGCUUCACCUAAAAUGCCUGGGUAAGAUGAGUAACAAGAUUUUUAAUACGCUUGUUGAGCUGUUGAGAGAAGCAUUUCCAAAGGCCAUGACUAAUUUGCCUUCUUCUUACUAUGAGGCUGAGAAAUUGAUGAAUACAUUGGGGCUGGGUUAUGAAAAGAUCGAUGCAUGUCCUAAUGAUUGUUCUCUUUAUUGGGGUAGUGCUGAAAAAAGAACUUCAUGCGAAACAUGUAACGAGCUUAGGUGGGUUGCUUCAGAAAAUGAUCCAACUGGCGAAAAAAGGAAAAUUCCUCAAAAAGUGUUGUGGCAUUUUCCCUUAAAACCUAGAUUACAAAGACUAUUUAUGUCUUCUAAAAUUGCGUCUCAAAUGAGAUGGCAUGAGGAAAAACGUACAAAAGAUGGUUGUAUGAGACAUCCAGCUGAUUUUCCAGCUUGGCAAACUUUUGACCAUCUACAUCCAGAAUUUGCUAAGGAUUGUCGAAAUGUUAGAUUGGGGUUGGCAUCUGACGGGUUUAAUCCAUUCAACAACAUGAGUUCUACACACAGUACUUGGCCUGUAGUUUUAAUACCAUAUAACUUACCUCCGUGGAUGUGUAUGAAGCAACCGUACUUCAUGUUGUCCUUGUUAAUACCCGGACCAUCCUCUCCUGGGAAUAAUAUUGAUGUUUAUCUACAGCCUCUAGUUAAAGAAUUGACCGAAUUGUGGGAUUUUGGCAUUCAAACUUAUGAUGCAUCCCAAAAAGAAAAUUUUCAAUUGCAUGCAGCUCUGUUGUGGACCAUUAGUGAUUUCCCUGGAUAUGCAAUGUUAUCUGGCUGGAGCACUAAAGGUGAAUAUGCUUGUCCUGUUUGUCACAAGUUCACUCAUGCACGAUGGUUGACUCAUAGUUUCAAAUAUUGCUAUAUGGGUCAUCGGAGAUUCUUAGAUAGUAAGCAUAAAUUUAGAAAGCAAGCCCAAUUCUUUGAUGGCACCGAAGAACAUGGAAAGCGACCACCUUUGCAAACCGGGGAUAUGAUUGUGAGUGAAUUGGGAGACUUGCAAAUUAAAAUUGGAAAACUUGUGAAAGGUAAUCCGAAGCUGCCUUUCAAUUGGAAAAAGAGGAGUAUUUUCUUUGACUUGCCAUAUUGGAAAGAUAAUGUCUUAAGACACAAUCUUGACUUCAUGCACAUUGAGAAGAAUGUUUGUGAAAAUAUUUGGGGGACAUUGCUGGAUAUUGAGGAUAAAGCAAAGGACCAUUAUAAUUCCCGCCGUGAUUUGAGAGAAAUGGGAAUAAGAAAAGAGCUGCAUCCCAUUGAGACAGAACCUGGAAAGGUGUACUUACCUCCAUCUUCCUUUGCAAUGGAUAAAAAACAGAAAACUAUGUUUUGCAAUGUGCUAAAAAAAGUGAAAGUUCCAGAUGGUUAUGCAGCUAAUGUCUCAAGAUGCGUUCGAGUAAAACCACCAAGAAUUUCAGGGCUUAAAAGUCAUGAUAAUCAUAUCCUAAUGCAGCAAUUGAUGCCUAUAGCUUUGAGAAAGACUUUGCCAAAAUCAGUGCGCUAUCCUUUGAUUCGAUUGAGUAGAUACUUCAGGCAGCUUUGUUCUAAAGUUAUUUGUCCUCAAGAUGUGGUUCGUUUGGAAAGUGAAAUUGCCGUCAUACUCUGCGAUCUUGAGAAAUGCUUCCCACCAACCUUCUUCGAUGUCAUGGUGCAUUUAGUUGUUCAUUUGGCAACUGAAGUGAAAUUAGGUGGGCCGGUGUAUUAUCGUUGGAUGUAUCCUAUAGAGAGGUACUGCUUGUAAUUCUCAUUAUGCCUUAAAUGUUUAUUCCUUUUUUGCUUUCUUUGAUUUGUGGAACUAAUUAGAGAGGUUGGAAUGAUGAUACUUUAGGUACUUAGGAACAUUAAAAUCUUAUGUUCGAAAUAAAAGUAGGCCUGAAGGUUCGAUUGCUCAAGGCUACUUGGCAGAAGAAUGCAUUAACUUUUGCUCAUUGUAUCUUGCGGACUAUGUUGAGACAAAAUUCAAUCGUCCAAGCAGAAAUGAAGAAGUACAUAAGGAAAUUGAAGAUGGUUUAGAUAUAUUCUCUGAAUCAGGACAUCCUUUGGGGAGGGGCAAGCCAACAGUCUUUGAUGCUCAUAUCUUGAGUAAAGCACAUCAGUAUAUUUUAUUUAAUUGUGAUGCUGUCACACCUUACAUAGAGUAAGUUCAACUACAACUUGAUGCAUUAAAAUUUUAUUGUAGAAUUCAAUGUAUGAUUACAAUUUUGACUCAUGUACUUCUAGGCAGCAUCGUAGAUUGAUAGAAGAAGGACAUCCUCAAAUUCCACAGCAUCUAAAAGAGCGCUUGCACUGCGAAAAUUUUGCGUGUUGGUUUGCUGAACAUGUAAGUAAAAUUCUGAAUAUUAAGUACAAUUUGAAUUGUAGGACUUCAAAUAUAGUUUCAUCUUCUUUUAUUUAUUUAUUUAUUUAUUUAUUUUUUACAGAUUGACAAGUUAGAACUUCCUCAAAAUGUUUCGGUGUUGAGAGAGUUGAGGUUCCUUGCUAAAGGUCCAGAUGUUGUUGGAAUCCAACAUGACAGGUAUGUUGUUAAUGGAUUUCGGUUUCACACCAAAGAAGUUGAGAAGAAAAGAAAAACGCAGAAUAGUGGUGUUACAGUCAAUGCAACAACAUCCAGUUUUGCAAGUAUAAGGGAUCAAAAUCCAGUUUUGAGUGAACUAGUUUACUUCGGCGUCUUGAAAAAUAUGAUUGAAUUAAUUUACGGAGGUCGUUGGGUGGUGUUAUUCGAAUGUGAUUGGAUAUCAAAUGGUUCGAGAAUGAAACAAGAUGCUGAUGGGUUUACUUUAGCCAAUUUUGCAAACGUGAGGCCUCAUGUUGAGCCAUUUAUACUCGCUUCAUAAGCAUCACAGGUUUUUUAUGUGGAAGAUCCAACUGAUAAGGAUUGGCAAGUGAUUAUCUCUACCACUGCAAGAGCUGGAUAUAACAUGGGCACAACCAUGGAUGUUGAGACAUAUUUGCAAAGUGAUGUUGGCAAUCCUGUUGUUGAGAAUGAAAAUGAGGAAAUUAGUUGGGUUCGUGAGAAUGGACUUGGGAUUGAAGUUGAUUUGUCCCAAUAUAAUCUGAUUUAGAAUCUUUUAUAGCUUUGAAGCUUACUGGCCCUAUUCUUCUCUGUUUCAAUUGCUAGGCCUAGGCUUUAUUUCCUUUUGUCGAUGGGUUUUGCAUUUUUUUUUUGUAUUUUACUAAUAUGACCGACAUUCUUAGUUUUGAAGGCAUUUACAAAGCUUUGAGUUUAGUGCUCUCGGUGUCAUGUUAAGCCUUCUGACAGAUGUGAUAAAAGACUUGGUGCUAUUAGUUAAAACUAGUGUAUUAAUUUGCCUCUUUAAGGCCUUUCUUCAUUGAUACUCCCCUGGUCCAGUUUUUGGAUUUCUAGUCUUGGUUAGUAAUCGUCAGUCUUAUUCAUAAAAAUGGUAUUGGAAUGAUUUUUCUUUUAAUGGCAUGACAACAAUUGGCAAUCGAGGCUAUGAUUUGGGGAGAACAAUUGGCAACGUACGGAAUGUGCAAAUCAUUUCAGACCAAACAUAAAACUAUCCAACUUUCCAAGGAACCCAUUACUCAUUUUAAGAGCCCAAUGGGCUGCAUAAAUACUGGUCAUUAUUUUAUAAGCAAUUCCAUUAAUUGUAAGCUGUAAUAUUACAUUUGUGAAUCAUUAUAUUAUGGCCAAUUCUUUUUUCCAGUAACCCGAGGUCUAAUUUUUUAUCAAUAGAAAUAUUUUGAAACUUUAAUCUAUAAAUUUCUUAAAUAAUUUUUUAAUACCAUGAAAAAAUUAUUUUUUAAACCAAUAACAAUACAAAAAGUUAAUUCCGAUAGAGUUUUCUAGUCCAACUGAUCUUUGAUCGAAUUUAAUCGGUUUAGUCACAAUUUUAGAUUAUCCUUCAAAGUGAAAAUGAGACACGAUCGAACCGAUCAAGCACAAUCAAAUCGAUCAAACCGAUCAUACUAUAUGUUUAUGUUCAAUCAAUGUGUUGUAAGUGUAAACCUAAGGUUAAUCAUUGAAAAGUUCAAUAUUAAGAUCUUGUAAGUGAUAGUAAGCUUCUAAUUAACACAAAGUUCAAUGGCAAUUGCUUUGGAAUUGAAAACAUUGAAUACAUAUAUAUAUGUAUGUUUAUGUUCAAUCAAUGCAUUGUAAGUGUAAGCCUAAGGUUAAUCAUUGAAAAGUACAAUAUUAAGAUCUUGUAAGUGAUAGUAAGCUUCUAAUUAACACAAAGUUCAAUGGCAAUUGCUUUGGAAUUGAAAACAUUGAAUAUAUAUAUAUAUAUAUAUGUAUGUUUAUGUUCAAUCAAUGCGUUGUAAGUGUAAGCCUAAGGUUAAUCAUUGAAAAGUUCAAUAUUAAGAUCUUGUAAGUGAUAGUAAGCUUCUAAUUAACACAAAGUUCAAUGGCAAUUACUUUGGAAUUGAAAACAUUGAAUAUAUAUAUAUAUGUUCAAUCAAUUCUAAUCCCAAUGUUUGUCAAUGAAAACUUCAUGUAUUCACAAGUUAAUUUUCUUGUUUCAUAAACUAAUUCGAUCCUUCCAAUGGCUUGUUAGACUACAAGCCGUACAUAAUUGCAUGCAGCAUAAAAUAAAUUGAGUAAGCGAAAACAUUUUGAUUAAAAGAAUGUUUUUAAUUAUUUUUAUAUUUUUAGUUGUUAUAUAGCUAUAACAAAUUUUUUGAUUGUUAUAUUAUAUUGUAUAUAGCUCUUGCAAAAUUUUUAUUUGUUAUAUUUUUAGUUGUUAUAUAUAGCUGUAACAAAUUUUUUGAUUGUUAUAUUAUAUUGUAUAUAGCUCUUGCAAAAUUUUUAUUUGUUACAUUUUUAGUUGUUAUAUAGCUUUAACAAAAUUUUUAGUUGUUAUAUUAUAUUGUAUAUAGCUUUAACAAGAUUUUUAGCCUUUAUAUUUUUAGUUGUUAUAUUAUAUUGUAUAUAGCUUUAACCAAGUUUUUAGUUGUUAUAUAGCUUUAACGAAAUUUUGCCCAAACACAAAAAAAUUGCUAUUAGUAGCGCAGCAAAUUGAAAAAUUCAAGAGGCUUGACUAAUUUACUUUGGCGUCAUUAGUACCGCCUUUAUUUCAGACAUUUUCUCUCUCUCUUGUUGUCCUCUGCCUUUGUCCUCUCUCUCUGUUUCAAGCUCGCACCACCAAUUUGAGUCAAUUGCCGUCCAUGAACUCGCACCCAUUUGGGUAACUUGGUUGAGCUCGCACCAGGCAAAUCCUUAAUUCGGCUGUUGUGUUGGCUUGGUGGCAACAAAUCAGAAAUUAGGGCUUCAAAGCUUGGGUGGUGGGUGGAGUUCAGAUCUUGAAGCUUGGGGAAACCGAGAAGUUAGGGAUUCAAGCCAUAGUUUGAGGUAAUUUCAGUAUUUUGUGUCUAAUUUUGCAUUGCAUGGUAGACAUGUUCUUGCAUUGCAUGGUAGAUUUAGUUUUCAGGCUAUUCGAUUCCCAUCUCUGACAAGCAUCUUCUCCGUUUCUGAGAAGCACAUUUCUAGGUAGAGUGUUUGCUUUGGGGGGUGGUGGUGGUGUGAAAAGCUUUUGGGGGUGGUGGCGGUGUGAAAAGCACAUUUCUGAGAAGCACCAAUCUAUUAGUGAACCUGGUCGAAUGGAGACUGCUACUGUGAGCUUCAUAACCAACCCGAUUGCCACCCCUAAACAUACAAAACCAAGCAUCUUCUCCGUUUCUGAGAAGCACAUCUCUGACAAGCAUAUUAGAUUUUAGGCUCUUAGAUAUUCUCUAUCUGGUUGUUUUAAAUUGUACACGUGCAAAAGCAGAUGCUUGUGUUUUGUUAUCUGAAAUUGCAGUUAUUUGGCAUAAAAUAAGCUGGCUGCCACUGAAGUACUUGUUUUUGGACUAGUCAUAUUGUUAAAUGAUAAUGAAGGACAAGGAGGGGAAAUCUCUCCAGGAUGUUUAGUUUUUUGGCAUAGGAAUGGAUAUCACUCCAGGUUGUUAGUUUUUUGGCAUCGGAAGGCUAUUUCCUUAUGCUAAGCUGAGGUGGUGAGUUUAACUAAGUAAUGGUAAUUUGAGUCGAUAUUAAAGCUGUGGGAUGUUGGGGGGUUUUUGUUUUUGGAGGGGGGGGAUAUGUUGUAUCGUUGUUGGCUUUGGUAGAGUAAGUUGUGUUUUGAAGGUGAGUAAUGUUGGAAUAUGAUACUGAUACUUGAAGCACAAUAAGACUGAUUGGGGUUCAGCACUCACAUUUUUUUGUUAGAUGUGUUUGUGUAUUAGAGCCAAGAUAAUAAAAAUAGAGUCCUUUUCAGCGACUUAAUUAAAAAGUGCAGACUGAAAUCAAUCAACCUCCAUUAUUGGUACACUGAACUAUCUCAUUAGUUUCAUUUACUAUUGAAAUAAAAAUCUGGUGAGGAGGCUACAAUAUGCAACAAAUAGGAAUCUGACUAGGAUAACAACAUGAUUCAGCAGGUUCCUCUGAAAGCUAAACUCGAAGAAUCAGAACCUAAAAAGGAGAGUAAAGUUUUAUAAAGCUUUGAAGUAAGCUUGCAGCCAGCAAGCUUUAUAAUGCUGAAUAAAAAGGAGAGUAAACUUGCUCCAUAGUCUUCCCCUGGUUUAUUCUUGAAGAAUGCCAUUUGUUACUUGUCAUGCCAGUUUAUUGUUUAAGUAGUACUUCUUUAUAAUAGCAUUUGUAAGUUAAAGAAACUAUAGGUAGAGUGUUUGCUCCUAUAAAUUUUAAACAUUUACAUUUGUCCCUUUCUUCACUCAAAUAUUAUGCAGGUAUGGCCCGUAGAGGUCGACAAUGUAAGCGCGCUGCAAAUGGAUUGAGAGAUGAACCAAUUGAGCAACCUCCCUCAUGUCAUGAAAUGGAACAAGCCAUGAAAAUGUAAUUGAACAAGUGCAAGGAGAAGCUGCUCGGGCACCUCAAUCUGCAAUUCAGAAUUCUACAUUGGGAAUAAUACAUGAAUCAGGUGACCAAGUUACUCAACAAGCUGAUGGAGGUUCCAAGUCGCAUGAGCACUGCCAGAACUCUCCAAUUCAACAAUCUCCACUUGGAACAAGGCAUGAAGCAACUGAAGAAAGUCCAAAUCAGGACUCUCAAGGUCCACAUUCCAGUGACACCACCUUUAUGUCAUGCAACUCGGACAAUGCAGGUAUUACUAACUGUUUUGAACCAAUUCCAGAAGUGCAUUUUGUUAUGUUCAUAACUUGCACCUUUUUCUUAUUUUAUACAAGAAAAGAAACUACAAAUGAUUCAAGUGAAGUACAUCAGAAAACCCGAGACCCUACAUUUAUGAAAGAAAUUUGGGCCUAAGGAAUUUUCACAGAUUGAGAUUACACUCGAUGACAAUGGGAUCCCAAUAAGUGAGAAAACCUCUUUCUCUGAAUUCUUGGGCAGUUUGGCUAGGAAUGGUAUGUAUUGUCCAGUAGAUGUUGAAACAUGGCUUAAGGUGCCAAGAAAACUUAAAAUGGACAUGUUAGAAGUGAUAAAGGUAAUGGUAGCUUUUGUAUUAUGUAUGCUUUGUACAAAAAUUACUGUGAAGUUGUGUUGAUUUUCUUGUUGCUAACUACGUUUCAGGAAAGGUUUGUUUUGCCUAUGGGACUGGAAGCUUGGACCUUAAGAUCUAUUGGCAAAAAAUGGAGAAGCUGGAAGGCAGAUUUAAAGGCUAACUAUUUUGAUCCUGCCGUGCCAAAUGCUGAAGCUCGGUUUCAAAAGGACAUAAGGGUACGGGAAGAGCAAUGGAUCAAACUUUGGGCUUAUUGGAAAAGUGAAGAAGCAAAGGUACAAAUCAGCUACAACAUUUUUCAUAAAGUUCUGUUUAUUCAAUGCUGUAAUCUUGCAUUUGAUUUUGAAAUUUAGAAACUAAGUGAGAGGAACAAGAAAGCUAGAGGGGAGAAGAAGAUGAACCACACAACCGGAAAAAAAUCAUUUGCUCAUCUUCGGAACCACUUGGUGAUACCUCAUCAACUUUUUAAUUGCUAAUCUUGUUGCUCGUACAUGUUUCAUUAUGUUAGCUUGUUUUUUAAUUAUAUGCUAAAUGCUAAAACUAUAAUUAAAACGAUUCAAUUUCUUAUAGUCCAAACAGUUGGGAAGACCUCCUACUAGAGUAGAAAUGUUCAAUAAGUUUGAUACCCAUGCCGAUGGAACUCCAUCAAGUACCAUAGUUGCUGAGAAUUUGGUAAGGAUCCCAGAACACAAGCCUAUCAAUUCUACCAUGGAUGUUUUCAAACAGUCUUUUGCAAUAACAAGUGUUUUCCUUUAUUAUGUAGGAAAAAAUGACUGAGCUGAAAAAUCAGCUUCCAUCGGAUUCGCAAGAUCCAGUUGGUCGUGAUGAUAUAUUUGCCCAGGUGGUUGGGCAAGACAAACAUGGUCAUGUUCGCUUGUUUAGUGACGGUGUGAAUCCAACGGACUUAUGGGAAGACAUUCCUAGUCGUAACACACGCUACCGUAUAAGUGUUCAGCAACAGUCAACAUUGGUCCGUUUGGAGCAAAGGCUUCAGCGACAAGAUGAUGAAAUAGCCAGCUUGAAGAAAAUGGUUUUAGUUCAACAUGGAAGGGGCUCUCCAAUUGACAGCCCGAGACAUCCUUCAUCAUCAUCUAACAAUGUGUCAAGCCAUGCUCCAUCGCGAGCCACGCGACCUAUUCGAGUAAGUAUUUACAACUUCUAUACUUUUGCAUUUGUAAUCUGGAAUUUGGCAUGAGUUUGAUUCUUGUACUUGUUGGAUGUUUGCUAAGUAGGGAAUAUGGUUUCACUAAAAAGUUUGUUUGACUCAACAAAAAUCGUGGCAAAGGGAUAUUUACGGAGUCUGAAUCCAUUGGAUGAGGUCGGGGGACAAGCUCUUGGGCCAAACUGGUGUGAAAUACAGAUACAAGUUGCAAUGACUCCACGUGAGCAAUUGAUUAGACCAUAUGGUUUACAACAAACGAUUCAAGAUGCACUUGGUGCACCAGUUGCUUGGCCUUGUCAUUUGGUGAGAUAUGCACUUAAAUACAUUGCGGAUUUUCUGGAAUUUUAGUUCUAGUUAUGAUGAUCUAAUGAUCCCCUUGGUCUUUGUGCACAGGUGGAACCAGCUGAAAAAUGAUGGGGACUUUGUGGUUAUGCCUGAGGACUCUCAACAAAAUGGAAAGUUUGGAAGCUACUUCUACUUCUUUCAACUUAUUAGGGAUGAGAGUCUUUUAUUUUGUGCUUCCGAUAGAGCUUUCAAGUUAUUGUAAAUGAGAAUCUUUCGGUACUGGUUUGAUAUUUUAGUACUUGCUUUUAGCACUUGUUUGCGAUUUUAGUAUUUGCUAUGUUUGUACUUGUUAUCGACUUUUAAUUCAAUGAAUUAUAUUUCAGUAUCGACUUCUUCUUUUACAUUGCUAUAUGCAUUCUGCUCUUUGGGAUAAAUUUACAAGUCCCCUUGGGAUUCUGGUUGAUGGAAUGUACAGCAGGGAGGACUAAUUGCAGGUUGCUUCCAUAUUAAAAAAAAAAACAGAGAAAAUUCUCCUGACAAUUAAAAGUGUCAGCAUAGCUUAACUUUCGAAAAACACUAAUAACAAAUGGGCAUGUCGUCCAACACAUUGUAGAUUCACAUGGCUAUGUGUCCUUAAAGCCGUAUAUUAAGACAACUGAAGAUGCCUUCAUAAAUUUGAUAUCCUAUUGAUUCCCUACUGAUGUCCUAAUCUAUACAGACACUUUCGAUUAUCACAAAAAAAGGAUUUUGUUGGCAGAGGUAAAGAUAUAGCAGCAUGGUUUGCCUGACACAUUUGAAUGCUGCUAAAAAUUUGAGGCUAUCCCCACAUUGGAAGGGACAACACUCGUCCUGGGUGUCUGGAUAGAUAAAGUGUCAGGUUAGAUAUUGUAUACUGACACCUUUAAAUGCCGCUAAAGGCCUUUUUUGUUGUAGUGGAAUCUGGGAAGUCGUCUUGGCGAGUUCACCCAAAAACUAGUACCCCAUCAAUUUGAAGUAUAAUGUACUAAUUAACAACAAAAUAUAAGUAAUUGUAAAAUUUGUUUGCUAUCCAAAUUACUUAUUUAACAAUAAUUUGAACCAAACUUCUUUAGUUUUGAUGCUUCAUAAAACAAAAUAGAUUUUUCUAAUAGAUGCCCAGUAGGCACUCAUCAAUACAACUAAAAAUUACCUAACCUACCAUGUAAAUAUACAUACUAAUAAUUAUUAUCCUCUCUUGCAUGCAUUUAUAUACAUUCCCUAGCUAUGUAAUCUUGCCUAUCUUGCCAUAUAUUUAUUUACUUUCUCUAAUUAAUCUUAUAUUUUCAAAAAUAUGGCACCUGAAAUAUAUCUUAGUACGAAUAUCAUAUUUAACUAAUGUAAGUUGAUCAUUCGUUGUGUUCUUAAGUCUCAAUUCAUGACAAAAGCUAAGAUUUAAUGUGGUUAGGUGAAUCAAUUAAUUUUGCUACAUAAACGUGAUUGUAUAUAUGACCCUUAGAAUAAAAAUUUUCUUUUAAUUUGCUACAGAAAUGUAUUCGUAUAUAUUGUGCUUGGCAUUCACGAAUUAAAAUGAUGAAAAGAAAUCAAGAUUUGCGGCGGAGGUGGUGGGCGGCGAUGAAUGUGUGGUGGAUCGGGGUGGCGGAGAAAGAAGAAGAAAAGAAGAAGUUUUUUUGUGUAUUAGAUAUUUUGAAGUGUGUAGAUUAAAAAAUUUGUUGAAUUUUUUUGGGUUCCUGUAGCUAAAGUUGUUAAAAAACUAGUAGUUAAAAAACUUGGUCAAAAAAACUCGAUUCCAAACAGGUCCAACAAUCAACAGAGAAUCUUUACUAUUGUUUUUAAGUUACGUUUCUUUCUAGUUUUUUUUUUUUUUUUUGGCUAGAAAAACAAAAGGAAUUUUCAUAAAUAUUGACAUUGAUCCUUUUCACACUAAAAACGCAAAAUAUGUAUAAAUUGGUCGGUGGAAUAGGCAGGAUUGGUAAGUAUACAUUCCCUUAUCAAAUCCGCUCUUGCAGGUAGCUUUUUCUUAUUAAUGGGCUAGGCUAAGCCCCUCUCCAUUGAAUUAGAUAUAAGUUCUCUCCACUCCAUUACAACACAACAAAUGAAUUUGGAAUCGACAACGUUCAAAUUAUACUUCAAUCACUUAUGUUAAUUACAUACACAAGCUGAUAUUAAAUUGACUCAAUUUUAUUUCGUUGAUUAAUCAUUGCAAAACUUUGUUAUGCGAUGAAUUUUUCACCAUUUAAAUAUUUCAAGCAAAUUGAAUGCUCGAGUAAUCUUAAAAAAAAAAUCUAUUUUUAAUAUGUUGAUCUACCCGUGAUUAAAAUAAGAAAAAAAAUUAACACAAUGAAAUGAUUCCUAAAAUGAUCUACUAGGAAUUUGAACAUAAAUAAAUGGAAAGAAACCUAGAAUAACUAGUGGAUUCCAUCCCCUUUGUCUUGAUCGAUGUCUUGUUUAUGCCACAAUUGCUUGUGCCUUUCAAUGCAUGUAAAAUUGUCCUUUUAUUACACUUUCUUUUCGUCUCCAUCACAUCCCUUGCUGUAAAGUUUCCGUCGGGCCUCUCCAUUAUUCUCCACCGUGGAAGGGGUCAUUUUCCCACGAUGACCAACAUUUCCACAUAUUUGUAUGUCCAGAAAAAACAGCAGAAAUUUUAGAUAUUAGCUUUGAUCCUUUUCACAAUGAAAAGAAAAAUAUGUAUAAAUUGGUCGGAGGAAUGUGCAAAUAGAAGAGUGGUAAGUAUACAUUCCCUUUCCUUACAUAUAUGCCUUAUUUUUAAAAUGUCCUUUUCAAAUCCACAGCCUCGUUUGGCAAAUAAACUUUUGGAUAUAUGUGUAAAAUUUUACCGUAACGUACUGUAAAAGUUGCAGGAAAAAUUUUUGAAUUGUGUAAAUUUUUGGAUAUUUUGAAAUUUAUAGUUUAAAAUUUUUAACAAGUUUUUUGAGAUUGCUAUAUGCAAAAUUGUUAAAAAAUUUGUAGCAGGCAAAUUUGGUCAAAAACUUGUUUGUCAAACAGGCCCCACUUAUGCAUGUAGCUUGCUUUCAAACCAUAAUUUUUUCUUCCUAAUGAACUAAGCUCCUCUCCAUUGAAUUAAAUAUAUUUUCUCUCCAUUCCAUUGCAUCACAGCAAAUGAACUUAAAUCCACAACGUUCAAAUUAUACUUCAAUCACUUAUGUUAGUUAAUGUAGAAACUCAUAUUAAAUUGACCCAAUUUUAUUCGUUGAUUAAUCAUUGCAAAACUUUGUUAUGUGAUGAAUUUUUCACCAUUUAUAUAUUCAAGCAAAUUGAAUGCCCAAGUAUUCUUUUUUUUUUUUUAAAUAACGAUUUUUAAUGUGUUGAUCUACUCAUGAUCAAAAUGAGAAAAAAAAACAUAAUCAGAUGAUUCUUAAAACAUUAUACAGAAAUUUGAAUAUAAAUAAAUGGAAAGACAAUUGUCUCGACGUAUUGCCUGCAUCCCUAAUGCAUGUGCCUUUCAAUGCACAUGAAAUUGUCCCUCUAUUAUCAUCUACAUCACAUCCCUUGCUGUGAAGUUUCCAUCGGCUCUCUCCAUUAUUUUCCACCAUAGAAGGGUCCUGGUAGAAAGGGUCAUUUUGCCAUAAUGUAUGUUGCCAUUAGGAUUGUUGAUCGCCGGUCAUCGGUAAUUCAGUAGAAAAAAUUUAAUUUUUUUUAUUUUUAAUAAGGUUAACAUCUAAUUACCGUUCAAACUUUUAUUUAGUAAUUGGCUUUGGACUAAACAAUCGAUAUUUCGGUAAAAUAUCCAAAGUUGUAGAUUGGUUUUCUAAUAUAGAUUAGUUAAGUAUAUUUAAAGCAUAAUUAAUAAUAAAAAAGUUAAUAAUAAAUUAAUUAAUAUGCUUUUAAGAUCACAUUUUUUUUAUAAUCAUAAAUUAUAACUUAUAACACUAUUUGACUAAUACAUUAAUAUGUAAUAUGAUAUUUUAAUAGACAUAAAAUAUUUAAUUAAAAUAUGAAAUUCGCUAAUUCAUCAGCCUCGAGAAUUCGAGAAUCGAAUUUCAACAUCCAUUUUCAAUUUAUUUUACCAAAUUUUAAGAUUAGAUCUUAAUCGUUUUUCCCGAAUUUUGUUUUACGUAUCAGCCGGUAAAUUGAGUUUUUUCCAACGUGUGAACACCCCCAGUUGCCAGUUGCCACCAUGGAAAAUCAGCUGGGUAGUGAUGGUGACUGUAACGGCCUAUGUUUAACACGCUGUAGACGUUCAUGGGCAUACCUUAGUAUCUUCGCAAGGACAUUGAUGAGUUUUUCAAAACGAGUCCUUUUUGUGAAUGGUUUUGUGGUCCAGUCAACGGAUAAAAAAUCGUAUAAUGAAGAUUGAAGACCAUGCUUUUAAAAACGAGGAUUAGUUUGUCAGUUCAGCCACCCAAAAAUAAAAGAAAAAAGACAGCAGACGUAGAAACUAGCUAAAAAAUAGAAGAUAAGCCGUUUAUUCCUUUUUUCUUCUGUCGCGUAGGGUCUUUUGUUUUAUAGAACAGCAUUUUUCUUUUGUCAAAUUUGCUUUCUGCACGAUAGGACCACUAGCUUUAUGCUUUCUCUAGACCGACUCUAUAUAUAACGCCUAUGAAAGGAAGCAUUCCCUGAAAAAUUAAGUGCACUCGAGGUUCCUCUUGUGUUUCAAUACAGAUUCCAGCUGCUAGCUAAUCAAUUUUAGUUUCCUAUUACUACUACACCCCUACUAGUUUUUCCAAGCAUGGCAUCUGGAAAUGGGAACGACUGGUCUACCGGCCUCUGUGGUUGCACCCAAGAUUGCCGUUCCUGUAAGUUCUAAGAACUCAAAUGCCCAAUAGAUACCAUCCGAUGAGGUUUCUAAGGGUCUUAAUUGUUCUACUAUGAUGCAAUCCAUGCUCCAUGUUCAUGAACAUUUUGGCUUGACAGGUUGCCUUACCUGCUGGUGCCCUUGUGUUGCCUUCGGGAGGAUUGCUGAGAUCGCGGAUAGAGGCCAAUCCUGUUAAGUACAAAACAAGAACUUUUCUUAUAGCUGUUCAUCAUUAAUCUUGCUAGCUAUCAUCAGAUAUGAAAUGCAUUCAUGAUCAUUAAUUUUCUUCUUCUUUUAAUUUUUUGAUAUAUAGCUUGCUGCCAGAUGGGGUGCGUUUUCUGUCUGCUAGGUCUACUCCUGUUGAAUCAUGGGUCCUUGUCAUGGAUUGUUAGCAUGGGCUAUCGCACCAAGAUAAGGCAACAAUACGGUAUUAUGGGAGGCUCAUGCCAUGAUUGUAUCCUUCAUUUCUGUUGCGAGCGUUGCGCCUUGUGCCAAGAGUACCGUGAACUUCAGUUCCAAGGAUAUGAUGUUUCUGCUGGUAUGAACAUUUUGCUACCCAUGUCCUCCUCCUUUUUAUAUUCUAAAUUCUGGAACAAUUUUGGAUGGUGUUUUAGCAACUUACAGAUGCGAGUCUCUGUAAAAGCAUAGAUUCUAGUAGCAUCACAGGCAGAGUUACAUGUAUAUAUAUUCACUCAGUAAUCACUUAUAUCUCUUAGGAUGAUAAAUACUCGUGAAAGUGUCUAAGAUGCAGGAUGUUAAAGACCUAAGGUAUAGAAAUUAAGAGAUAGCAUAAUGAUAUGUUUAAGAAUUUUAGUGACUAGCAAUGAUGUGUGAUUUCACAGUCACAGGUUCUAUAACAUUCUUGAGUUGAGGUACAUGUUGUGCCAAUUAGUUAUUAUAUAAUCUUCUCACCAGCUCGAAUGCUCCAGACAUCAAUCAAAAGCUAAUCUUAAUUAACCACAUACUCAAUAUUGUACCUGUAUGGACCGUCUCCCUAAAUUGUACUUUGGUUUUCAGGUUGGGAAGCAAAUGCUGCUAAAAAGACUGCUGGGGUAACUAUGGCUCCAGUUGGAAUACAGAUGACACGUUAGCUCAAAAGAUCUUCUGAAUUAUGGCCUGAACUCAUUUUGCACCUUCAAUUCGAAAACCUUAUCCUGUUAAUUUUUCCAUUAAAUUUUCUAUUUGCAAUAAUCUAGUACCUAAUAAAGCUCUUUAUCAACAAGGUGCAAAAUGAGAUUAGUACAACUUUAUCAAGUGAGCUCGUCUUCUGCCAUAUCAUUCAUCUGAUAUGAUGUAUGUUCAGUCCUUGGUUUUUUUUUUUUUUUUUUUUUUUUGGAGUGUAUGAUAUAUGUAGGUUAAAUAUUUUGUUUUGUGAUAAUAAUAAAUCGUACAAUAAUCCUCAAUCUGCCACAUGUGUACUAUUUAAUGUUGUGUGAUGUUUCUUUUAUACCCGGAUUCGAAACAAAUCUGAUGCACACUCAAUCUCCAAUUGCAGAUCAAACAUCAAGCAUUUUCGGCCUUGGAUAUACCUUGUUCCAAAACACAAUCACCAAAACCUUAUGAAUUUAUUGAUAAAGUUUGCGAGGUAAAAUUCCCAUCAUACUUUUACAUAGUAUUAGAUUAGAUUAGUCUAUAUUUAUUAAAUCAGGAUACAAACUUUUAUGUACAUUUCAAGUAGGAAUUAUUCAACUGUGAACUAACACGAAAGAAAAGUAAAUUUAAAUCUAAAUUAACCAAAGUUAAAUGUAGUUUGCAUUGUGCAAGAAUUGACUCCAUUUUUCAUCCAUGGGAGCAUCAAGCAUGAAACGAGGUUCCAACUAAUACUACACAAGCCGGCAUCAGAUUGUUAUGCAAACUGCAAAUAUGUUCAGUCAGGCCAAAAUCCAUCAUCCAUAUAUAAACGGGCUCUGGAACAACUUUUCUUCUUAUCCUGAAAGGAACAAUUGCACGAGAAAAUGUUAGGCAAAUUAUGGUAUCAAUUAUCAAAGGAAAGAAUGUUUAGAUGCACGUAAAGUGACCGGAAAAGUUUAAGUUUGAGAGCUCAGUAGGCUAUCUGGAGCAAAAAUGGCACUACUACUAACUCCCUGCUGUUGUUAGCAAAUUACUGAUUACAGAUAUAAAAUAUCCUUUUAUCUCAACUUUGAUAAGGAAGGAAAAUGAUAUUGGCGCUUCUCAAGUACUGCUUAAACUUCACCUAAUGCAAAAUAAAAAAGGAGUAUUUGAGAUUUUUUGAGAAGUGCUAGUAUCAUUUACCGAUAAGAAAAGAGGGUAAGACCAUGAAAUGGAAUAUCUUGAUCACUUUCCAAUGAGUAUGAAGAGCCAGUAAUGACUCGAUGAUACAAACAUCGUGUUGGAAUGUAUGCUCUAAAACAAUGAUUUUAUUUAAUACAUUUCUUAUUAUGUUUUGUAUUUUAAUAACUUCUUCUAUAUCUGUUAAAUGCUUGAUAUAAUUGAUAAAAUCCUUAGAAUACUUACUAAUGUGAUGGUAGUCACAAGCAUUGAUGACUAUGAGAUAUCAAUCACAUUUAUAGUAAUAUUCUUAAAUUUUAAUUGUCAUAGUACUAAUGAGAGAGAACAUCAUUAGUACGGAAAGACUAGUACACAGUUAGCCUCUACUUAAUGUAAAUAGUGGUUGUUAUCAUUAAUCAUGGUAUAUAGAGACCUAGGCUAAUGUGUAGAUGAUUUAUAAAUUACAAAUACAUUGGAAUGAUCUGCUUAGAGAUCCCAUUAGGAUAUCUAUCUAGUGCCAAUGGUUGUAUCUCUUAUGAAAAGUUAUGUAAAUGAUCCCACGACUUGAGAUCACCAUAGUAUUUUGAGUGUGAAUCACUACAUUUUGACUUUAUUACUUGUUACUGAGAGUGAUUUAGAGAAUAGAGAUUGGGUGUAGCGUGAAGCACAGAAAGAUAAUGAGUGAUCAAAAUAGGAUUCACCACUCCGAUAGUAAGAGUUGAUAUCCGGAUAGCCACCAGUAGGAAAUUAACCCUAAAAAGUCGACUAUGUUAGGUUAAUUGAAAAAUAUUUUUAAGUUAACCUAAUCUAGAGUUAAUUCUGGGAACUAGUAAAUUUAAUUAGUCAAUAGGAAAUUGGCACUCAUUCCUUAUUCCCUGACUAAUUGGAUAUCGGUGGUGAAAGGACAGUAAUUACAUGAUAACUUUUCAUGGAAAGAUUAGCUCAAAAUUCCCUUGACUAAUUCCGAGUACUUGGGUGGUCAUGACAUGUUGCUAGACACAGCUGAUGAUUUAUAAUUAUGAAUUAAUUAAUUAUUAUAAUUAAUGAUAAAAUAAAGUUAUUUAUUUUAUCUAAUUCUUUUUGGGAAUUAUAAGUCAUAAUUAUUGCCAAUGUAUUUGAAGCCUACUGGAUCACACACAUUAGAGAUUUAAUUCUAGAUUAAAUUAUGUGUCCGAGUGAAGACUUGGAAAUAAAGUAUAAGAUACUUUCGGGAUUUAAUUACAAAGAAAAUAAAUUCUAGAACUAUCUAAGCAGAUAGGAGAAAAAAGUUAUCUCCUAUCUAUCAGAUAGCUGAGAGAUGGAGAUUGUUAUUGGAUAUCUUUCGUUUUGAUCUUGAAUAAAACAAUUAGAUCCUAUCUCUUCUUUUUUUUUUUUUUUUUUUCUCUCUAUCUUACCUCUAUUAGUAUGAAAAAAAACUUAAGACUCCAAUGGGGUAUCAAAUUUUCUUUACCAAAUAGAGAGCGUAGAAUGGAAAAAUAUGUGAGACAUAUAUAGAGAGAAAAACAGCAAAGAAAAGUGAAAAGAAAGGCCGGCAACUUUCAUCACUUUCACACACAAAUUAUAAAAAUGAUCCAGAUAUCACUCUCGCGUGGAUUUUGACAAAGACAGGACAUCUUGACUGCUCAAGGGGUCAUUCGUCUUCUGCAAUACAUCAGAAAAAUGUCAUACGGAUUAAGGUAAUUUGUUUUUUCCCUUCUCCUUGAACCAUACGCAAAAACUAGGAUGAUCAUGAGUGGUUUUUGGGAAAAUUUAUGAAAUUUUCGGCUGCCUUAUUUCCCAAAAACCCAACACAUAGGUCAUAGGGUCUGGAAAGGUAAAGUCACAUGAAAGAAAGACAGUAAUUGAAGUAGUGGCCGUCAACUUUCAACUUCUCUUCUUGUAGUUGAGCUGAAACCAAUAAGCAAAAGAAGAUCGGAGUAACAAUAUGACAUGUUAGCAAAAUUCAACCACACAAAGCCUUAAUUUAUGCUAAUUGGUCGCAAACCACCAGAAGAAGUAGCCCUUGUUCUUGAUUGUUUUAGAUUUUACAAAAUCUAACUAUAAAAAUUGAUUAUGAAGAAUAAUCAAAAUCAGCAAAAAUUACUCUUUAAAUCAUUAUAGAUUUUAGCUUUUUUGGUCAUUGAAAAAUCUAUAAUUAUAAUACAAAAGCAACUGAGAACAUCAUAAAAACUGACUCUUCAAAAUCGGGAUAUAUAAUCAAUUAAAAUAAUUAAUCGAGAACAAUUCAUAGUAAUCUUUCUGAAUUGAAAUGCACAAAAUAUUCCAUCACAUCCGUCUAGAGCUUUGAUUAACAAGAAAUGGUGCAACUGUAACUACACUUUCAGAUAAAUUAUGGAUAGGCAAGUAAUUGCAUGCAGCACAUCAUUUAAGCCAGUUGCACACGACUUGAACCUUUUGUCAAGUGUCAUAUAUAAGAUUAAUACAAACUACUCAUGACGGUUUGUGUCCACAAACCUUGAAAAGCAAAUUAACAAGGUCUAAUAUUUUUAAAUAUCUAUGUGAACAAGACAAGAGGUUAUGCUAUCAAAACUGUUGAACUGUACAUUCUCAGUACAAAAUAUCCAGCUACACUAUAAAAUUUCUGACUCAUACACUAAAAAAAGGCAGGUACAUCAGCACUCUUUACACAAUCAUAAAGUAUAGCAAAGCGGGUGGAGCCAGAGUUUGCAUUGUGGAUCAGAAAUAGAACUCUUUUGAUAUACUAAGGGUACCAAUUAGAAUUUCUAGCAAAUCACCUAGCAUAUUCUAAAGGUUCAGGGAACCCAAGGGAAAUGUGCUGUUGCCCCUUCCUACAUUACUGGUAUCAUCUCUCAAAUUUUGGUUUCUGUUUCACUAUUAUCUAUUUAUGUCAAGAUGAUUAAUUAGCAUAUUAAGAAACUGGAGUUUGGCAAGAAAACUUUUUGUUCUCUAAUUGUACAUCAUCUAGGGACACGCCUACUGGAUUUUUUUUCCUAUGAUAUCACCGAGUGAUGCUUUGUAAAGUGUCCCUUUACAUUUUUUUUUUUGUGUUGCCUGCGGCGGCGGGGGGCGGGGGGGGGGGGGUGGCACAGUCUCGGAGAGUCUUCGAGUUAGCACAAAUUAUGUCCCACACAAAUUUACGUAAGGUAGAGUUUGGUUAACGACCCAAUUGCAAGGGCGGGGCUCUACCGGUUCGAUCCGAGCUCUCUUUAUAUUUUCUUUCUUUUCUCAUUUCACUUCUAGAUUCAUCUAUAUGUCCCUUGUUUUCCUGUUCCAUCAUUUAAUCUUCAUAAGAAAGUAAUUAAUUACAUUAAAAUUAUUUAAUUAGUACAAAAAUUCAUUUAUAUAGCAUAUAAGGAUGAUAUAGUCAUCUUAUUAUCAAAAUAAUCUUUUUAACUUUUUUCGAGAACAGCUAUGCAUUAUUAAAAUGACUUUUUUUUAACAGUAAAUGAGAACACAUGUGCUAUUUUUUGAUUUUUAAGAAUCAAUUUUACAAAAUCAUCCCUCACAAAAUCAAAAUCAGUUGAGAGCAUCCCAUGAUCAUUGGAUAGAAUAGGCUCUGAAGUUAAGAGUUUAUGUACUUAAUGGACAUUAAAUCAAAACAACAAUUGAUAAGAAUAAAUCACUUUUUCAUAAAAAAAAAAUCAUAUGUUUAGAUUCCAUUAUUGAUGCGAUCUGUGAAAAUCUCUAUAAGUGACCAAUGGUCUUGGAGAUUUUCUAGCCGUGAUGAUAACUGCAGUCAAAUUCACUCAAAUUUUUUCAUUCAAAAAAGUAAUAGUUUUUAGUCCUUACAAAGUUACACCCAAAUUUUAGCUUCUUAUACAUAAACAUAGGAAAUUGUAUCAAACCAACAAAGUUUAAUAAACGUGAGUGUGUUUAUUUAAAUGAAAAUUUGUGUUUAUUAACAAAUGCUUUCACAGCUCUACAAUUAAUCUUGAAAUAAAACAAAGUUAAUAUAUGAUUAUAUUAUUCUUUUCCACUACACUAGGGUUUUACGUUAUCGUCUUCUUUCAAGUAAGAGGAUUGAAGUAAAAAUUUGUGGUAAUGUAUGAUAUCUUGCUGUUUCAAUUACAACCCCAAAAAAAAAAAAAAAAAAAAAAUUCUUGCUGUUUCAACUACAUUCCUCGUGCUUCUUUUUCAAAACUUCAUUGCUUCGUGCUAUUGUUAUUGCUUUCCUAGUCUUUGAGACCAAGACCACAUUGUAACCAGGCUAUUGGUGCAGGCUUAUUAUCAACGCAGCUAUAGAAUCAGGGAGCUCGUCUUGGCAGGGUCAUGCAUGCUUCGAGCCCAUAAACUAGUACAACAUCAAUUUGAAGUCUAGUGUGCUAAUUAAUAACAAAAUAUAAGUAAUUGUAAAAUUCUUUUGCUAUCCAAAUUACUUAUUUAAGAAUAAUUUGAAUCAAACUUAUUCAGUUUUCAUGCUUCAUAUAUGAAUUAAUAAGAGCUUUAAUAUUUUAUUAGAUGAAUUCAGAUAAAUAAAGCAAGAUCUUGUGAAUCAAAACAUCACCAAUCCAUUUAAUAUUUUAAUUUUCUUAAGGACUUUAUUAUUUCCAUAUAAAAGAAAACAUUAGAGAGAAUCUUGUUAAAAUAGAAAGUCGGUAAUGAAAGUAUAUCACACUUAACUAAUUUGAGUUGAUCAUUCAUUGUGUUCUUAAGUAUGAAUUAGUUUGAAUCAUUGUAAGAGUCUCAAUUCACGAAAAAAGCUAAGAUUUAAUGUGGUUAGGUGAAUCAACCACUUUUACUGCAUAAACAUGAUUAUAUAUAUGGCCUUUAAAAUACCAUUUGAUUUUGCCACGUAAAUGUAAAUGUAAUUUUAUAUAUUAUGCUUCUCAUUCACAAAUUAAAAUGAUGAAAAGAAGAAAUCAAGAUUUGCAUAUUAGAAACUGAGCUUUAAUGUGCAAGUAAUACUGGUAAAUAAAAGUUACAUUGGGCUUAUACAAGUCCUAACUCAAGGAUGGGAAGACUAAUUAAACUAAUUAUUACCUAAUAUGGCAAAUAUAAAUGUUAAUUAGACUAACUUCUUACCUUUCUAAUACCGUGGAUCUUACUACCAACAUAGUAUUGAGGUCAAAUUAGAAAAACAACUCAAGUUACGGCAUUGGUCAAAACAAAAAACAAACAUUGUGUUUGGAUGGUAAGUUAUUACACUUUAUUUACACUUAUUUACAGACACUGAUUUACUUGCAUCAUCAACACAUUUUCUAAUCACCUUUUUAUCUCACAUACAUCAUAUCAAAAAAGUGUUACAGUACUUUUUUCACAAAAUUAUCUCAAAUAAUUUACAAUUCAAACACAAGCGAGGAGACUAAAGCUGCAAUUCCCAAAAAAAAAUCAUCUUCUUCGUUUAAAUCGUCACUGCUCUGUCAUGCACAUCCGUCAAUACGGGCUAAUUAAAACAUGGGAAUAAUUUCAGUCCUGAGAUUUCUGACAAUUUCACUGAACUCCUUUGAAGUUUGAAAAAUUGCACAUACUUUUCUUGUUAUUUAAAAUAACAAUAUUACCUUUAAAUACUUUGAUGAAAUUCCUUUGUUUGGUAUGCUUGUACUUAGAAUGACUUUAAAAUUAUUUUUUCAUUUUUUCCCUUCUUAUUCCUUUUUAUUUUCAUUUUUUGCCAAUAAAAUUGUAAAGUUACCACUAUUAUCUCUAGUUUCUAUUGUGACCAAAUGUCGAACUAAUGAUUUUUUUAAUGAGUUAACUUUAUAUGUAAUCUGAUGUUUUUUGCUAAUCUUUGUUUUCUAUUUUUUGGUAUUAAAAUUAACCAUAAAUAAAAAAAAAUUACCCAAAAUCACUACUAAAUUAUAAUAAUCCCACUACUCAAAAAAUUCAUAAACUUUGAAUCAAUUAUUUUAACGUUUUAUUUUCUAUCUUAUAAAUCUAAAUCCGUAAUAAAAUACCAUCAAAAGUAUCCUAUCAUAAUGAUAAAAUUAUUAUUAUUAUUAUUAUAGUUGUUUAUCAAAUAGUAGUAGGUAUGGACAUGAAAAUUUUGAUACCUUUUUUAUAGAGCAGUUAUUUGGCACAUUUUGCAGUGUUAUUUUGGCCUAAUUUUGGCUAUUUACUGUGCUAAGUACUGAGAUUUAACUCAUAUCUCACAUUCGUAUGAAUUGUAGGUGAUCGGCAUUAAAAAUGAUCUCGCGGGACAAAUUUCCAGAAGACUUGUCGUCCCAGGGCGUGGCCACGCCUUGGGAGGUGGACGAAACCGAAAGCCGAACCGUGGUCCACUGGAACCCGAAGCGUAGGAUCAAAACUCCAAAGGAGAUAGCUUUUGUGAGAUGAAUUGCUCCAGACGUCUCUUCCUUUGACUUCUUGUGUGCGGCGGCUAUAUAAAGAAAGGGGAAGCAAGAUUCAAAAAAAAAAACUACUUUAGCCUUAGGUUCUCAUUUUCUACUUCGAAAAAAAAAAAAAGACUUGUCAGACACUUUUGCUUUCUCUUUUGUUUUCUUCUGCGGCUCUGGGUCAGACAUUGGAGACUUUCUCUUUUGCUGUAGCUUUUGCUAUUGACUUCUGUACAAUUUUCCCUAUUCGAGUUUUGCUUCUACUUUCGCCCCAGGGGUACGAACGCGUAACCCAACAAAGGGAAGCGAAGGUUUUUCAGCCGUUCCUUCAUUAAUUCAUCUUUUCCAAUUCUUCGGUAAUUAAUUGAAUGAAUUCAAUUAAAUCACGCGAGAUUGACACAAUGAGGAGCGGCUAAUUUUCUCCUCUACCCAAAGGUUGACGCGAGGGCGCGAUCCAUCACACCUGUGAGAUUUAAUCAAGCUUUCAUUAUUUCUUCCAAUUCGUUAUUAUUCGUGCGUUUUCUGGAUUAAUUGUUCAUGGGUAUUUGAUUAAUUGAAUAUCAACGGCCGGGUAUUUGAUUUAAUUUAAUAGCCUACCGCCACGUUAGUUAAAUAGAAUCCGUAAUUGUUCAUUUAAUUGACACCCCGUGGCAACCACCAUAAUUGGCUUUAUGAUGGGGAAACGCAAGAUCUAAUUUAAAUAAACCCUCUUAGCGUGUUUAUUGGUUAGGGUUAGGUUCUUCUAUCUUUAAUGCAAUUGGGUAAUUAAAUUCCUAUGGUUGUACCUAGGGUUGUUAUCUGGUUAGAGAAGCAGUUAAUGGUCGUACCUUGACUGUCGAAAAGGUAAGGAAGAACUGGUUGUCAGAGCUUAUUGAUAACUAUAACCAACCUAGUGAUGAAUGGAUGAAAUAUCUUUGCAUCGAUAAUCAUUUAAUUGGACCGUGCCUGAGCAGUUGAUCCUUUGGGUAGAACUUUUAUUAAUUGCUAUUUUUAGUGAAUUGUGUUUUGUGAGUUAGUUUCGAAUUUAGUUCGCUUUAUCUUUAUUUUACUUUUAUUUUAUUUAUUUAUCUCCCAUUGAAAAUCCCCCAAUUUUGUUCUACUGAUUUGGAAAGAAAUAAUUUUCUACCCGCUCCCUGUGGAAUCGACCCUACUUGCCAUUGUAUGCAAAAAUUAAUAUUUUUAUAGACAAAUCCGGUAUAUCGAAUCAAGCAAACUCUUCGGGAACAUGGUGAAUCAAGUAACCCAUUGCACACCUAGGGUCCGUGCUCCAGUACUUGGAUUUGUUUUAUAACUAUUUAAUUGAGGUGGUAAUUAGGACUUUUUAGAAUUAUUAUUGCACAGGUUCGGCACCUGUCACUUUUCCUUAUAAUUACAUUAAAUAAUCUUAUAAUUCUAUACGGAAGUAAAUUAAAACUCAUUACACAAGAGCAUUUCUGAGUAUUCAUUUAAAAAUUUGAUCAAGUCAAAUAUUAUUUUAAGGUUUUGUUACUAAAACUAUCAAAUCAAGGGAGGUAUGUGUAAUUUUUCAAAUCUCAGGAAAAUCAGUGAAAUUGUCAGAAACCUUAGGAAAGGUUUCUGAAAUUAUCCCUAAAACAUGAGUAGCAAUCCACUGAGAAUCUUUAUUUUUGUUUUAAAGUUAUGUUUCUUUCUAGUUUUUGUGCUUCCUUUCUUUUUUUUUUUUUUUUUUGAGAAAACCUUGGAGGCAUUUAGACAAUUACAAGUUCCUAGUUAACCAUAGACGAUAGCAAACAUCUUCAUAUCAACAUUAGAGAUUCACAGAAAAGUUUCAACAAGAAAUGACAAGAAGCCACCCAACAUUUCCACAUAUUUGUAUGACCAGAAAAACAAAAGGAAUUCUCGUAGAUAUUAACUUUGAUCCUUUUCACACUGAAAAGCAAAGUAUGUAUAUGUAUAAAUUGGUGGGUGGAAGAGGGAGGCUUGUGCAAAUAGAUGAGUGGCAAGUAUACAUUCCCUUAUCAAAUCCACUUUUGUAGGUAGCUUGUCCAAAUCAGAAUCUUUUCUUACUAUGGACUCAGGUCCUCUCUAUUGAAUUAGAUAUAAAUUCUCUCCACUCCAUUACAUUACAACAAAUGAAUUUGAAAUCAACAGCGUUCAAAAUAUAAUUCAAUCACUCAUAUUAACUAUAUGCAGAAAUUCAUAUUAAAUUGACUUAAUUUUAUUCGUUGGUUAAUCAUUGCAAAACUUUGUUAUGUGAUGAAUUUUUCAGCAUUUAAAUAUUUCAAGCAAAUUGAAUGCCCAAGUAUUCUUAAAGCAAAUAUCGAUUUUCAAUAUGUUGAUGUAUACACCAUCAAAACGAGAAAAGAUAACAUAAUCAGAUGAUUCUCAAAAAAAUUAUAUAGUAAUUUGAAUAUAAAUAAAUGGAAAGACAAAUGGUGAGAAACCUACUGUAGCUAGUGGAUUUCAUCUAGUGCUGUUAAUCGAGCCGAAUUGAAUCGAAUAUUUGAUUCUCGAACUUGACUCGUGCCUCUGUCGAGCCAGGUUCAAGCUCGCCCGACUAAGUGGACGAGUCUUGAAGUGUGUUUGAGAUCGGUUCGAUAAAUAGGGCUUGUGACUCGAGUUCGACUUAUUUAUCACAUGUGAAUUGAGCUCGCUCAAACUCAAAAUCUCAAACAGCUUUUUUUUUUUUGUCAAUUUUUGUGAUAUUCAUAUAAAUGCCACAAUUCAAUCACAAAAGUUUUAUGAAAUGACAUAUAUGUCCUUUCUUAUUGAACCAAACGAGCUGCUUGAAUAACAAACAAGAGUUGGCCUAAUUUGUUAAUUAAUCGAGUAAAUUUUUAGCUUGAACUUGACUUGUUUAUUAAAAUUAAUGAGCCAAGUUCGCGCAUUAUCGAGCCGAGCCCAUUCGAGCUUUCGAGCUUCUUGUUUGGUUUAACAACACUAAUUGCAUCCUCUUUGUCUUGAUUCAUGUCUUGUCUAUACCAUUAUUGCAGGUGCCUUUCAAUGCACAUAAAAUUGUCUGUCUAUGACACUUCCUUUUCAUCUCCAUCGCAUCCCUUGCUGUAAAGUUUCCAUUGGCUCUCUCCAUUAUGUUCCACCAGCUAGAAGGGGUCAUUUUGCCAUGAUGUUAUGUUGCGACCAUGGGAAAUAAGCUGGGUAGUGACGGUGACUGCAACGGCCUAUGUAUGUUUAACAUGCUGUAGAUGUUCAAUCCGACGUUCAUGGGCAUACCUUAAAAUCUUCGCAAGGACGUUGAUGAGUUUUGAAACGACCCCAUUUUGUAAAUGGUUUUGUGGUACAGCCAAAUCUUUUUUUUUUUUUUUUUUUUUUGGCGGAUUACAAAUGAUUCUUUCUCUUUAGACUGACUCUUUAUAUAACGCCUAUGAAAGCAAACAUUCCCUGAAAAUUAAUUGCACUCGAGGUCCCUCUUGUGUUUCAAUAUAGAUUCUAGCUAAUAGCUAAUCAAUUUUGGUUUCCUAUUACUACCACACCCCUACUAGUUUUUCCAAGCAUGGCUUCUGGAAAUGAGAACAACGAUUGGUCUACCGGCCUCUGUGAUUGCACUGAAGAUUGCCGUUCCUGUAAGUUCCAAGAAUUCAAAUGCCCAAUAGAUACCAUUCUAUAAGGUUUCUGAGGGUCUUAAUUGUUCUAUUAUAAUGCAACCCAUGCUUCAUGUUCAUAAACAUUUUGGCUUGACAGGUUGCCUUGCCUGCUGGUGCCCUUGUGUUGCUUUUGGGAGGAUUGCUGAGAUCGUGGAUAGAGGCCAAUCCUGUUAAGUACAAAACAAGAACUUUUCUUAUAGUUGUUCAUCAUUAAUCUUGCUAGCUAUCAUCAGAUAUGAAAUGCAUUCAUGAUCAUUAAUUUUCUUCUUUUUUUUUUUAAAUUUUUUGAUAUAUAGCUUGCUGCCAGAUGGGGUGCGUUUUCUGUCUGCUAGGUCUACUCCUGUUGAAUCAUGGGUCCUUGUCAUGGAUUGUUAGCAUGGGCUAUCGCACCAAGAUAAGGCAACAAUACGGUAUUAUGGGAGGCUCAUGCCAUGAUUGUAUCCUUCAUUUCUGUUGCGAGCGUUGCGCCUUGUGCCAAGAGUACCGUGAACUCCAGUUCCAAGGAUAUGAUGUUUCUGCUGGUAUGAACAUUUUGCUGCCCAUGUCCUCCUCCUCUUUAUAUUCUAAAUUCUUGAACAAUUUUGGAUGGUGUUUUAGCAACUUACAGAUGCGAGUCUCUGUAAAAGAAUAAUCUCAUUCUUUCUCAUUAGAAGUUAGAAUUAAGUCCUGAGUUGAGGUACAUGUUGUGUCAAUUAGUUACUCUUUUCACCGACUCGAAUGCUCCAGACAUCAAUCAGAAGUUAAUCUUAAUUAUUAACCACAUACUCAAUAUUGUACCUUUGCGGACCGUUCUCCCUAAUUGCACUUUGGUUUUCAGGUUGGGAAGCAAAUGCUGCUAAAAAGAUUUCUGGGGUAACUAUGGCUCCAGUUGGAGAAAAGAUGACGCGUUAGGUCAAAAGAUCUGAAUUAUGGCCUGAAUUCAUUUUGCGCCUUCAAUUCGAAACCUUAUCCUGUAAAUCUUUCCAUCUAAUUGUCUGUUUGCAAUAAUGCAGUACCUAAAACUCUAUGUUGUACCUUCAAAACUUUGAAUGGUGCAAACUGGGAUUAGUACAACUUUAUCGAGUCAGCUCUUAUCUUCUGCCAUAUCAUCCAUCCAUCUCAGAUGUUGCUCAGACUCCCGUUACGUAUGUUCAGUUCUUUGUUUUUUUAUUUUUAUUUCUUAUUUUGAGGGUAUGAUAUAUGUAAAGCCCUGUUUGAUAAUCCAAUUCAUCAUUUAAAUUUUGACUGAUUCAAAUCUUAAGAUAUUCAAACACAGUUGAUAAUCAACAGUAAAAAAAUAUUUUGAAUGAAUUAAAUGAUACUGAAUUUUUUAAUCAAAAUUUACUCUAAAAAAACCCAUGUUUUUAAACUCAGAUUAGACCAACCAGUCAAAUCGAGAACCAGUCAAAUGUCCUGUCCGAUCGAGUUACCUUAAAAACUUAGGGUCGUAGAAACUCGAUCAAACCCAGUAAAAAAUCGGGUUUGACCGAAAAUCUUAUCUUCCAUUUUGUUGAAUUUUCUUUUUCCUUCCUUACCUCUAACUCCAAAUUUUUGUGAGCUCUUCCCUCCUCUGUAAAUCCAUUUUCACUCUUUCACUUCAAUUCAACCAUAAAAAAUCAAUGUUUUAACCUUUUUUUAAACAAGAUCUAAUUAAAUCUUGUAUUCAAAAGAAGAAAAGAUCUAAAAAAAAAUGCAAAAAACGGAGUGGAGAAGAGAAAAGUUUCAAGAAAACAGAUAAAAACUUGAUAUUUCAUGAGUUUGAAAAUAAAUAACUAACAAAAUAAGAAUGAAAAUGAAAUUUAAAAAAAAAAAAGAAGAAGAAGAAGAAAGGAGUUGCAAAAUGGCAGGAGAAAAAGGAAGAUGAAACUCUGGUUGUUGUGCUCUAUGGAAUGCGUCAGGAGUGGAGGAAGAAAUUGAAAAGUGUGAUGAGGGGUCGAAGCAUUUUAAAUAUUAUGUUUUGACCCGUCGGUUGUUAAAAAUUAUUAAUAUACGUCAAAUAUUUUAUAUUUUAUAAAUGUUAUUCUAAAAUUUGAUGUUAUUUUUCAAUCAAGUCCAUAAUUUUAAUUCUAAACUUGUUAAUGUUCAUUGAAUAACUAUUUGAUCGUUUUAAUUUUUUUGUAUUUUCUUGUUAAAUGCAUUUGAAACAUCAAAUAUAUAUAAAUAUGUCUAUAUUGAAAUUAAUAUGUUCUUAGGUAUUUUACAUACAAUAUUAUAAAUUUUAAAUAAAUUAUAUUUAUGACAUCAUCCUAAUAGACCCUCAAUUAAACUCAUUAACCCCUGAGUUUAACCGGAUCGAUAUGUAAUACACACUCAAAUAUAUUAAAUUUAACAUUUAACAAUUCAGUAACUUAACAUGUUAACUUAUUCAGACUCUGAAAACAAUUCAAUAAUUUAACGGUUUUAUCAACAGCACCCUAAGUUAAAUAUUUUGUUUUGUGAUAAUAAUGCAUCGUACAAUAAUCCAUAUCUGCCGCAAGUGUACUAUUUACUAUUAUGUGAUGCUCCUUUUCCACCCAGAUUCGAGACAAAUCUGCUGCAGACAUUUGCAAUUGUCAAUUUCAAUUAUACUAUAUUAUGCGGGCGCAACAUAUCUAAAUACUAAAAGUAUAGACAUUAGAAUAGUAACGUACCAAAAAUACAACAAAUUUCUUUACUCACAGAAGGUAGUUUCGGACAAUUAACUCCAUCCACUCAAAUUCAGAUUAUUCCAUCUGGGUCAAUAAUUAUAUGGUGCAAUUGCAGAGAGUCCUGUUCCAAAAAAAUUCUUCUAUUGUAGAUCAGACAAUCAACCAAAGUCAAGUGUAGUUCGCAUUGUGCAAGAAAUGACUCCAUCUUACAUCCAUGGGAGCACAAAACGAGGUUACAACUAAUAAUACGCAGGCCGGCUUCAGGUUAUUACGCAAACUGCAAAUAUGUUCAGUCAGGCCAAAAUCCAUCAUCCAUAAAUGGGCUCUGGAUCUACUUUUCUCCUUAUCCUGAAAAGGAACAAUUGCAUAAGCAAAUGUUAGGCAAAUUACAGUAUCAAUUAUCAAAGGAAAGGAUGUUAGGAUGCACGUAAAGUGGCCAGUAAAAGUUAAUUUUGAGAGUUCAGCAGGCUAUCAGGACCAAAAAUGGCACUAGUAGUUAGCAAAUUACUAAUUACAGAUAUAAACACCGUUUUAUCUCAACUUUGCUAAGGAAAAAGGGUAAGAUCUUGGAAUGGAAUAUCUUGAUCAUUUUCCUAUUAGUGUGAACAGCCAGUAAUGACUUGAUCAUACUAACAUAGAUUACAGGACAGGGUAACAUAGUGGUCGUCAACUUUCCACUUCUAAUCUUUUAGUUGAGCUGAAACCGAUAAACAAAAGAAGAUCAGAGUAACAGUUGUUAGCAGAAUUCAAGUCCACAAAGUCUUAAUGUUAUGCUAAUUGGUCCAAAACCACGAAAAGAUGUAGUACUUAUCUUUCUGAAAUGAAAUUGCGCAAAAUAUUCCAUCACAUCAUCGGGAGCUUUGGUUAAUAAGAUAUGGUGCAACUGUAACUACACUUUCAGAUAUAUUACUAUAAAUGGGCAAGUAAUUGCAGCACAUCAUUUAAGCCAGUUGCACCGGACUUGAACCUUUUGUCAAGUGUCAUGAGACUAAUACAAACUACUCAUGACGGUUUAUGUCCACGAGACUUGAAAAGCAAAUUCACAAGGUCUAGUGUUUAUAAAUAUCUACAUGAAGACGAGAGGUAAUACUAUCAAAACUGUUGAAUUGUACAUUCUCUGUGUAAAAUAUCCACAUGCACUGCAAAAUUUCUGAUUCAUACACUAAUAAAAGGCAAGCACAUCAGCACUCUUUACACAAUCACAGAGUAUCACAAAGCAAGUGGAGCCAGAGUUUGCAUUGUGGAUCAGAAAUAGAACUCUUUUGAUAUACUAAGGGAACCAAUUAGAAUUUCUAGCAAAUCACCUAGCAUAUUCUAUAGGUUCAGGGAACCUACGGGAAGUGUGCAGUUGCCCCUUCCUACAUUACUGGUAUCAUCUCUCAAAUUUUGGUUUUUUGUUUCACUAUUAUCUAUUUAUGUCAAGAUGGUUAGCAUAUUAAGAAACUGGAGCUUGGCAAGAAAGCUUUUUGUUCUCUAAUUGUACAUCAUCUAGUGACACGCCUAGUUUUUUCUCAUGCAUCAUCCUAUGAUAUCGCCGAGUGAUGCUCUGCAAAGUGUCCUUUUACUCUUUUUGUUUUUGGGGGGGGGGGGGGGGGGGGUGUGUGCGUGUGUGUCUUGGAGUUAGCACAAUUUAUAUCCCACAUAAAUAAAACUAAAAAGCAUUAUCAGGAUGUUUAUAACAAAUUCACCAAAACUUCCACAAGGCAUUAGUCUAUAGUCAUUGGAUAGAAUAGCGUGUGAAGUUAAGAGUUUAUGUAUUGAAUGGGCAUUAAAUCAAUUCUUUUUCAGCUAAUCAUGAGCUAGCUUGGCAUCAAAGCAAGCAAGAAAGGGAAUGUGAAGGAAGAGAAGGAGCUAAAGAAGAAUGAAAUAGUCAAAAUUUGUCUUAUUCAAAAAGAUUCCAACUACUUGGCAAAUCAUUAUUUCUGAGGUAUAUACUGGGACAUCUAUGAGCCUACAGAAUGUGGAUAAAUAAAUUCUUAAAGAAAGACUACCACAGGAUUGUUCCUAGUGUUCUGCUACUAAAGCUUACCUGUUUCUGGAUUUCACAUCUCUGUACAUAUCAAAAACACCUUCAUUUUCUUAAGUAUUCAAUUAACAAAUCUUUGUUAAAUAAAAAUACAAGAAAGACAAUGAAGUCCUACUCUUGAUAUUGCCUCACAAACUGAACCACAAGUCCUAUUUUCAGACCAAUAGCAAUGGUGUUCUCCCCGUAUAAGUACUGUAGGCUGCUCUAUACUCAAUAUCUUAAGAUAUAUUGAUCGAUAAGAUUAACUUCGAGAAGAAGGACCACAUGAUAAUUUAACAGAGAAAAAAACAAAAAGAGCAUAAAGCGCCCAAUGAAUUUUAGAACUGGCAACACAGGUAAGAAAGCCAUCUUUAACUGAUUGUAGCUCUCAUCUAUAUGCUGUUAAUAUAUAAUUUUAUAAGAAGAUAUGCCAUUAUAAUUAUUCUUGAAUUCCAUAACCAUUACAGGAAAAUUUAACCUGGAUCUUCCAAACCUUUAGACUGGAAUGUAAAGCAAAGAAUCAAAACAAUCAACACUAAAGGUGUGCCCAGAUAAAAAUCACAGUCAUGGUAGAGUAAGGAAUUAAAAUACGGGCAUCUGCAGUCACUAACCAAUUAUCUUGUGCCCAUCUGCAACCAUCAGUAUCCACCACAUGUAAACUGUAAGCAUGUCUUGAUUGUGAUGACCGAUUCUCAAAACUGUAGACCAAAUAAGUUAAAAUAAAAAAUCAUGAUGAAGGCAUGGAAUAAACUAUGUUAAUUAAACAUCUAUACUCAACAAAGAUCAGAAUUUUCUUCCUACUUAACCACUAAUCAUUGUUCAAGUUCCUGAGAAAGUUACCUUUGGUGGAUGAGAUCUCCAUGAAUGACUACCAAAGACCCUGCUUUCACUUCAACAGGAACAAAAUCUUUUUGGUCAUAGGAUGGAGAUGGCUUAUCAAAAUGUACACCAUUCUCAUCUCUAAUGAAUCUCCUCACAAGGCCAUCUGUAAACAAUCAAAUAUUCUUUAUGGCUUGAUUUGGUAUGCUUCUGGGAAAGAAAUAAAAACUAAAUAGAGGAAGAUUGUUACUUUUAUGGGAUCCAGGAAUGGCCCAAAGGCAACCAUUUACGAGUGUUGCAUCUUCUAAAGCAAGCCACAGCCCUGUGCAAGUUGAUGGUUCAGUAUAGAGGAAGGAGUUAUCCUGGUGCGGCACUACUUCACCUCCAAUACCUGGUUGCUGAAAUUAAAGUUUAAAAUGUUAUGACGAGAAACCAAGCAUGCACGAUAACAUCAGCAUCUAAAUCGAAGAAAGUCAUCAGGUCAACUGGCAUCACUUUAACAGAAAAACUUCCAUGUUAAUUAAAAAUGUUUAAAAUUAACUAUUCAUUACCAGUGAAAAAAUUAGGCUUCAAAGUUAUUUUUGAGUCUUCAGAAUAUAAGCCAUCCAAAGUUUGUGCAUCAUUUACUGAGAAAUACAUCCAUUUCAGUUAUGCCUUAGGUCGGGAGAGGAAUGUCAGAAAAAACGAUGGAUACUGCAUGAAGACUUCUUCCUUGAAACAUUUAAAGUAUAGAAGUUUUCAAAUAUAUAUCCUAGUAUUGUCCAAAUAUAAAUGCAGAAAGAUAAGGACUUUUGACAAGAAACCUUUCAAAAACUUAAGAUUCACUCCUUUUGUAACUAUUGGAAUUUGGAAGUAGCACAGCAUACAUUCUUCAUUCACAAUGAAGCUAAUACCAUUAAUGAAAGCUACUUGCAUUUCAAUAAUAACAAUGAAAGGAAUACCUUAAAGAUGUACAUGGAUUGGAUAAUAACUGGUUUUUUAUAACCCAAUGAAAGCAACAACCCAGACAGCUUAUCUGACCUAGAGAACUUCUUAAAUACAGGAUCAAGCUCAUCUAAGGCUGCAAAACAAUACUUAUUGUUAAAAUAUUUUUCAAUGCCAGUAUAAAUUAAUUAAAUAAGCACAAAGUUCCUUCAUAGCAUACCAUGUCCAACUUUGUUGAUUGAGAGUUUCUUCGGUUGCUUCAAGUUACCAUCCUCAUCAAAUGCUUUCUCUGCAAAGCAACUUUUAUCAGCAUACUAUACAACACAUGAAAUGCAAAUCAACAAAUCAAGUUCAAGGCACUUCUAUCAAGACUACUGCAAAGUACAGUAUACCCAUUAGCAGAUAUCAAGAGACUUAUUGAAAGCAAAGAAAAAAUAUUUUAUAAUGUUUAAAUUGCAUCUGAUUAUCUAAUACCAUUAACAGGCAUAUCACCAGUGUUGGGCCUUGGUAGGUGUGCAUCAAAAGUCAAUGGGUUUUUGGUCGGAAGGACAGGAGAAGAGACUUGAGGAGAAGGAAAGGGAGGGGUGGAAAAAGUUUGAGAAGAAAAGGAAAAACAGUAGGAUGAGAGAAGUCUAUUUCCAUGAAACCAGCAGUAUCUUUUCUACAAUAUCCAAUGAAAACAUGAAUAAUUAGGUAAGUAGCCCACUUGUGAACCGUAUAAAUUUCAUCAGGAAUAAUCGGAACAAACCAAAAAAGGGCAUCUAAACUUAAAAAAUUUCUACUUUACUUCAAUUCCACAUACGAUUUUCCUGUUUAUCCUCCCAAACACAUUAAAUUCAAAUAAAAGACGAAAAUGGAAUUAGUGGAUCAAAAGGAGGACAAUAGCUCACGAGUCAACAACCACAAUACCUUCAAAGAAGAAUGAAAUCUUCUCAGCACUUUCAAAGAAGUAGUCAUUUGUAGCAUGUUGCUAAACAAACAAACAAAUCCCAGAAAAAAAAAUCAAUUAAAAUCAAAGCAACCCAAAAAACAAAAAAGCAAAACUUGAUUAGCUGCCAAUCAUAGUUUUCACAAUUCUUACGUGGGUUUUGGUGGAAAAAAUAGUGGAAGUUGUAGAAGGGUCAAAUUCAUCAAGCAAAUCAUCCAUUCUUUUCCUCAUGGAUUCUAUCUCCUCUAGGCUUGAAAAUGAUUCCAUCACCAAGUAUCCUGUUAGUAUCAGACAGCAUUCAAAUUAAUCAAGAAUCAAAUCUUCCAUCAGCUCUAUUGUUCAUAAAUUAAAAGCCCAUAUAAAUUAUUACUUAGACCACCAAAAACAAAAUAGAUGAUGUGGGAUUAUUACCUUGGGUAUUGAAGAAGUUAAGCUGGUCUGAGCUGAGGCUUCCAUGGAUGCCCAUGUUGACUUGUUUUAUUCUUCUUCUUCUUCUUCUUCGUGGCAGGCUUGAGAAUCCCAGAAAAAUGCACUAGACUACUAGCUAUAGUUAUCUGCUCCAGUCAGGCGAAUAGUAGAAAAUCCCAGCAUCAGCUGCAUCUAUUUAUAGUGUUCCUUUUGUUUUGGUUUCGUAGUCUUACCCUUCUUUUCUUUUCCUUUUCCUUCAAUUCAUGUUUUUCAUAGUUUGGUUUUUUAGCCUAUUUGCACUCAUGGUACUUGUGAAAGUAUAGAAAAACAUAUGUGCUUAUCUAUUUUGUUUAGAUGCCAACUUUUGCUAGGAACGGUAGCUUUUGUUCUUCGUAUAAUUUCAGUGACAACAUAAAACAUUAGGGUACAUGAGGUGACUGGUAGAUAGGGGGUAACAUGUCUAGAAUAAAAUUGCGAUGAGUAAUAUGGAUACAAUUUGUAAUUUAAGGAUGCAUAGCGCCAACGUGAGAUUUGAUGUAAACCUUAGGGCUGCAAGUUAAUUGAUACAAGUCCAACUAUUGAUGAGCCUUCCCUUUUUUUCUUCCUUUUUCUUUUAUUUUCUUAAAAAAAAAAAAAAGAAAAGCCAAGAAAUCUUUUUUAUUGCUUAGCAAGAACAAUCGGAAAUCAUGUUCACGAAGUCAACUCAGAACUUGCAGGAUAAAAAUUUUAAUUGAUCUGAACUACAUUUGAGUAAGCCUUAAUUUUUGCAAUGAAAGAAGUCUCAAUGUUUUGUGCGUUUUCAGCCUUCAGAAGCACGAUGUUGUUCAACAAAACAAAAAUUUAGGAGUAUCGAUGAAGAGAUGAUGAGCAAGCACCUUUCAGGAUAGGGUGAAUUCCUGUACAGUAUCUCAUUUCCUUUUCAUGAAUUUUCAUGCCAGGGUUGGACAAUCAUAAAACUCAAAAUCUAGCAAGGUCAGAAGGCAAAAGAAGCAGAAGAUCAACAGGUGUUCGAACCAUUGUUCCAUACAUUGAUAAGCUCAUAAACAAGAUUCUCAAUCAGCCUCGUGCCCCAAAGAGUCCUGCGACCCCAGAAGAAAGUUGAAAACAAUCAAGGUCAAAAUAUGAUAUGAUACGAGCCAUGCAAUGCAAAUUCAAUACAAGGGCAAGUAUCAAACCAGAAACCAAAGCAGUGCCAUUGGUAAAAGGGGCAUCCGAAGUGAAAAAUUUGGAACCCCAGUUUUAUAGAUAUGGACUUUUCAUCCUGAUUCUAAAGUCUUACAAUGCUAAUACAUCUAACUGAUGUACAAGAUACAAAAAGGGCGCAAAAGGACUGGGACACUAUAUCGUGUGUCGAUUUACAUCGUGUUAGAUACAACAGCUGCAAGACGAAUUGAUGUCAAGUCAAUGCCUGAGAAACUGGUGCGGUUGAAAGAUCUUCUGGCAUCAUUUUGCAGAUUGAUGCACUUACCGCUCAACACGUCCCCAGGAAAUACUAAUCGAUCAGUCAUCCAACAAUUCCAAGAAUCAAACUUCGGCCCUCUCCCAAUUUGAGAGGGGAAAAAAUGAAAGAAUCACAAUCAAGACGUUAGCAGCAAGAGGCACACACAAAAUUACAGCAGGCAUACACCUUGAACUAUUUACUGGGAGAGAUCACGUUACUGAUGACAAUUUUGAAUCUUCUGUUCUAUUCUGUCGGCACAUGCAAUCUGGGCAUGGGAACGAAUAUGGAGAGUCAUUUGGCCUUUUGAGCUCAAUCCCUUUGGAAUCACUAUGAGCUCGCAUGCUUAGCAUUUGCCUCUUGAAGCUCCUCCACCUGGAGACAAGGUCACUAAAACAUAAUUAAAUAGGUAAAGAUACAUUAAUAUCAUAUCAAAAGCAAACUUAAACCUACACAACAAUGUGAACACCCAUUGAUGUCAUUAUGAUAGGUGAACACAUGAAUGCUGCAUCAUUUUCUGCCCUCAAAAACUUUAGACAACAAACAUAUAUACUGAUCCAAUAAAAACCCCCGCCAAAAUCAAAAGCUUAUUUCCUGCCUUCUAGGAAAGCUAUAUAGUUCUCUCUAGGUAGCUUGGCAACACGAAAGAAGGUUAAUAGGGGAGCAUAUUAUAACCAAGGUGCCUUUCAUAGCGCUUUCACAUUUUGCAGAAAUACGCUAACUGGGCUUCUCUCCAGCUGAAGCAUGCUAUUAAACCAAUUUAGAGGCCGCCUUUACACUCUCUUGCACCAUAACCAGAUUAACAUACGGAGUCCUUGCACGUGUGCACUAAACUAUAGCAUACAAAUGCUGUGAUUUAAGACAAAAACAAAGCUAAGAAAAGACAUCAUACCCAAUAUUUGGAUUAUCAAAGAUUACUGCCAACUUUCGCUUAUCAGGCUUAACCGUCCGGGAAUGUCCGCCAUACAAAAAUCUUCUAUGGCCCAAAAGAAAAUGGGGAAAGUUUCCACCUUGAGUUGUCACAAAUACUUCGCUGUGAAGACAAACGGUGUAGUCUAUAGCAGCCAUCCUGGAAGAGUAAUUCUUAAAGCAGUAACUCAAAUUAAAACUUGAUCUUCAAUUAAACAAAACAUAGUACCACUAAAAAAACUUUAACAACUAAAAUCAAAUCAUUCAGACCUGAAAUGGUGCUAGCUCUUCUUCAGAUGCGAGCAUUUCUUUUGUUUGUAAAAGCGGAAACAUUUCGAGCAGAGGAGCCAUAUACCUCUCAGAAUCAUAUAUCUUUCCUGACGCUAAAAAUAUAGCUGUAUUUUUAUCAAAACCCAUCCCCCGUAGCAUCAAACCAACCUGAUCAAAUACAUGAUAAUACAGACACAAUCAAGUGGAUGGACAAUUUAGAAAUAUGCACCAUUGAAGCAUCCAUAAUUUAAGUCAUUGCAAAACGGAGAAUGAAAAAUCGUCCAAUGUGAAUUGGACGCAUGGCUGGAAUGAUUAGGAGGGUAAGAGGCAAUGUGGAAGAAGACCACAAAGGUCAAUAGUUAGUUUAAUCAUUUUAGAAGAGUAUAAUGAGAAGAGAAUAAAAAGCUAGAUGGGUCACCUUCAUUUCAAAUUGUCCCCACAAACUCCCUUCAUCCUAGUUAAAUUGAUGUACUUGAACUAAGAAUCUUUGCAACUAAACAUAUCAAUAAAGAGUCUUUCCUAGAAUUUGGUAGUUAAUGACUUUAAACUUUUGAUAGUGGACAAUUCUUCUCGAACCACCAGAAAAGGACAUAAGGACAAUCAAAAAGUGGAUGGAAGGAGAACUACUCCUUUGAUGUCAAAAUUGUUCCCGAUUUAUAAAACUUGAUUUGGUUCUUAUCAACUUUUUGAUUCAUAGUUGGAUAUAGGCUCUUUCUGUUGAAGAUAAUACUGAUUCCUAUAUGAUAAAUGUAUAUUUGCUUCACGUAUAACUUUUAUGAAUUGAAUUCAUGUCUAGGUAUCCAGACAGUAAUUGGAAACAAAUUCAUGAGUGGAUGCUUCACCAAAUUGCAUUCAACUUCAGGUUCCACCACAGGUACCUGACUUGCUACCAUUAGAUUUUUACUUAAAACUGACAUCCUCAAGCACAAAAUCAGUUUGAAACUGUAAAGCUCCAUCUUGACUCUAUCCCAACUAGGAUGUACUUUGCCACUUCAGACUUACCAAAUGGAAAUGAAAAGAUAUUAAAUUUUGCAUCCUGAUUACUUAAAUAUGCUUCAAAGCACACAGAAAGGUACAUUUCCAUACAUUCAAGCACAUAAUCUUAAAUACUAAUGGUAAAUUCCAAAAAGAAACAUAGAGGCUACAUGGCACUACUAAUACCAUUAGAUAAAGAAAAUAGCAUGAAAGUACAUAACCCAUAAGCAAAGGAGGAUACAAGUAUAGAUUGAUCAUUGAGUAAACAAAACCAACUUCUGACAACAUAAUUGGAGGAAUUAAGAAU
RNAcentral lists this long non-coding RNA (128227 nucleotides) under Coffea arabica (coffee). Its description in RNAcentral is "long non-coding RNA (CARA_LNC007559)". The record is from RNAcentral. Lineage: Eukaryota; Viridiplantae; Streptophyta; Magnoliopsida; Gentianales; Rubiaceae.